This 123071-nucleotide long non-coding RNA is filed under the name Malus domestica (apple). RNAcentral describes it as "long non-coding RNA (MDOM_LNC001349)". The record is from RNAcentral. Lineage: Eukaryota; Viridiplantae; Streptophyta; Magnoliopsida; Rosales; Rosaceae.
CUGGAACAGUUCUUUUUGUAUUUCUUCCCCUCUUUUUAGAUUGUCCUCAUCAAUAUAAGCCUGGUAUCCCCUGUCUGUUAAUGCCCUGUGGAGGUGGCCCGUGAAGCCAUUGCGUGUGUCUACACCGCUGAAGCUCAAGAACACAUCGUAAUUCCAAAGUUUUGACUUGGAGGAGGAUGAAGCGGAGGCUUCGUGGGUCGUCAUGGCGGUAUCCACCGUUAUGGCACUGCAGUGGUUCAGAUCACGACUGAAAAAUGGCAGUAGUUGUGUUCGUGCCGUCAAACAGAUGAUCCUGAAAUACCUAAACCCAAGUCAAGCCCCUUCAGUCAACAAGAACAAAGUUUAUAAUAUAAUAAUGUUGGUGUAUGGACUUGAGAAACGACAUAAUGUUGGCCGGAAGGUGCAGAGAAAGAGAGAGGAAAAGAGGAAAGAGAGGAACGAAAGGACAAAGACUAUCCAAAAGAUUCUUGGCUAUAACGCUGAGGCCUUGUACAGUUGUAGUAAUAAUAUAUGGGUUGAUGCACCUGCUGCUCAAUGGAUUUGAUUUGCUAAAAAAAAUAAAAAUCUAUAAAUACAUUCACGUCCAAUUUAUGAGAAAUCAUGGGAAAGCAAAUGCACUGAUAACGGAAUCAUGAAUAUGAAGAACUUGCCAAAAAGAAAAAGAAAACUUCUUAUAGUGUGCCAAGAACAUCCUCCUACUCCUAGCAAUUUUUUUAUGGCAUUGUCCACUUCUCAAUUCAUAAUUCAACCAGUAACUCAAAGUAUAUAGUGUAUGAAAAAGUGAUAUCUUAGUUGAUCACCAUGAUAAUUAAGCAGAUUAAAUGACGACCCAUAAAGCAUACAAAUUCAGAAAAGAAAAGGUUCAAAACUGCAAUAAGAAAAUGUAGAAUAUAUAAACGGGAAAUCAAAAGAAGAGAAGCGAAAAAGGAAGAAAAAACCAAACAAAAAUAUUAGGUUUGGGAUAUACCUUUAUCUGAAUCGCCACAAUCAUCAAAGUCAAACACAAACAAUCCAAACAUUUGUGGAAAAUACCAAUAAAUGCUCAGCUAAAAACGAAAGAAGACGUAGAAUAAGUUUACCAGUUCGGCCUGAAAAAAUUAGUAGAACAUGACAUGAUGAUAAGAAUCUAGUUCUAUUUCCAUUGUUUAAAACCCAAAUUCCAGAAAUCAUGAAAAAUGGAAACUUCAUAUGGAAAUUGAAGCUUUACCUGCAGAUCAGCAGCAGCAAACGGAAUCCAACGGCAUGUACGUCAAAAGUGAGAGAGAGUGCUGAGUGAGAUAAGUGAGAAAAUCGAUAAACAAAAGGAAAAUGGUCAGGCAACGGCAUAUACCUCAAAAGUGAGAGAGAGAGAGAGAGAGAGAGAGAGCUGAGAGAUGAGUGAGAAAAUCGAUAAACAAAACCCCUCAAAAUCACAAAAGAAAAUUUGAACAGAAAACAAAUUUGCAAAUCCAAAAUCACAAAAACGAAAUUGAAACAGCCACACCGAGAAAGCUGUAAUACUCACCAGGAAGCUAGCUUUUCUGGGUAAAAAAAUUAUUCGAAUCGAAUUGAACCACCAAGGAAAAUUCUACUGGUUCAGUAGUUUUUCCAGCAAGAAAGCACCUUGUUUGUAAUUCGUGAGAGGUUGGACAGCGAGAGAAACUGAUUUGGGAGCCAAAGAAAGCGAGGUUGGAGACCGACAGAGGCUGAGAAUUGCGAGAGAGAAAAAGGAAAAGGAAAGGAAGAGCGGAGAAGAAGUCACGAUUAUCGACGCGUGGGUAGCAUUCCACUGUGCCAAGGACGAAACGAACGGGCAAUGAACCCAACCAUUGAAGAAAGAAGCAUCAAAAUACACCAAAGUAAAGACUUGACUUGGUUUAUAGAGUGAAACUUUAACGAAAAGUUUCUGGUAUUAUUUAUUUUAACAAAAAAAAUAUAUAUUUUUAUACUAAAAAAUCAAUCAUGGUAUUACUCACUUUACCUUUUAUUUUGUGCUUAUCGUUAAAAUUCAAAGUUUUCAAACUCUUUUCAUUAAUUUUCCUUUUAUAUAAUUGGAAUGUGAUACACCUUAUUUUACUUCUCACAUUUUUUUAAUUUUCGAUAUUCGGAUCAGAUGAAUUGAAGAAGAUCAACGAACAGAAAUUAUCAAGGAAUGUGAAAAGUAAAAUAGGGUGUGUAGAUAGCAUACCCCAUAUAAUUAAUCAAUAAUAUUCCAUAACAAGAGCUAGGGCCAUAUAUUAUACAAGAUUCUAAUAGAUGCUAGACGUUAAUCGGACAACGAGUUAGGACCUAGCUGUUAGACAGAUUUAAGUAAAUUUACUAUAUAUUAUAUAAAUAAAUGUCUUUUAUACUUAAAAUGACACAUAAUUGUAUUGGGAUAUAUAAAUUACAAAAUAAAAUGACAUAUAUAUUAUAAAGUAUUAAAACAUAGGAGAAAAUACCCAAAUGUGAAACAACAACUGUAAACAAUUUUUUAAGGUGGACGGUAAAUGAUUCAGCUAUUUACAAAAUUCAAAAAGUGGGAUCACGAACUACUGGAUGGUUGUAUUAAUUAUUUGGCGGUGCUCUAAUAUAAUACAUCCAAAUGGGGGUGGACCACAUAAUACACCCCAAUGGAUCGUUUUAAGCUACUCCACUGCUAAAACUAUUGCAAAAUGCGCAUCAGGAUUGUACUUCUAUUAGCUACGCCUUUCCUUACUUGGCAAACGAACCAUAUAGUACACCAAGAUGGAUGUUAUACACGUUGGAGUUUGAGCAGAAUUUUAUUUGUUAUCUCAUUGUCUCACAUUGCUAAAAUUGAAAAGUUUAUAAUAUAUAACGUUUGCGUAUGAACUUGAGAAACGACAUACUGUUAGCCGGCCGAGAAGUUACAGGGAAAGAGAGGAAAGGAAGAAAGAAACAAACACGAAAGGACAAACACUAUCCAAUAGAUUAUAAACAAUGACUUAUUAGGGUGAUUACAGUUAUUCAACCAUCAAUAAUGCAUUAUUUUAGUUUGGAAUUUGAAAGCAUUUGAGAAGUAACAUGACAACAACAACAUAAUAAACACAAGUGAUUAGAAAAAAAGACCCAAAUGUGAAAGAAUAAUUAAAAACAAUUAUUCAAGAUAAGCGAUAAAUGAUUUAACCAUUUACAAGAUAUGAACUUAAAACAACAAUCCAUUGAAUCAUUGUAUUAACUAUUCAAUGGUGCUCUAAUAUAAUAGAUCCAAAUGGGGACCGACCAUAUAGUACACCCAAAUGGACCAUUUUUAGGAUCCACCGCUAAAAACUAAUGCAAAAUGGCCAUUAGGAUUGAACUUGUAUUAGCUAUCUUUCCUUACUAGUCAAAUGAACCAUAUAAUACACCCAAAUGGAUGCCAUAUGUGCAUAUAUAAACAAUGUUUUCAAAGGAUGAAAUGACUUUCUUGCCGGUAUGGGGGAAGAGGAAAGAAACUAGCACGAAACUGCAGACCCUAUCGAUCCAUUAUAAUAAAUUUCAAUGGUCUAAGUUGUUAGUUAAUUGUGCAAGGUAAAAACUUAUUCACAGUCAUCAACUUAACCACGUAUCUAUGGAAGACAUCGUCUCAUAAAACUUGGAUUAAGAACUGAAGUUCUCUUGUAACUCUACACAAUUGAAAGCCAGGCUCGCUCAAUGGGGCUUGAGUUUUUUGUAAACUUGCGUAUUUAGUGGAGAGGGCAGGGACCUCAUUUUUAUACAUGGAAUUCAAUAAGGAUCCCUCCCAUUAAGUGAUCCUUAUCAAAGAGUAACCUUAUCACCGUGAAACACUUAUGCAUUAUAUCAGCUAGAAGACUUUUAGUUUUACCGAGAAUGUAUCUGACUUGAAACUGUAAAGAAAUACAACUCCUGAUAAGUCUACCACAUGUGUCAAUCCUUAUCUCCUUAUCAUUCCACAUGUCUUUAAUCAAAUCACCAAGUGUUUGCUCUCAUAUACAACCUACACAAGUCUCAUGUAGUUUCAUUUAACUUAUUUUCCACAACGGUAAAUAUAUUUUAAUGGCUCCGGUUUUCACAUGCCAGUCAGUCACACGCUCAACUUCUCAACGUUAGGGCUCAAUGGCUCGAAGAGAGCUUCCCCAAUGGAUCGUUUUAAGCUCCUCCACUGCUAAAACUACGGCAAAAUGCGCAUCAGGAUUAUACUUCUAUUAGCUGCGCCUUUCCUUACUAGGCAAAUGAACCAUACAAUACACCAAGAUGGAUGUUAUACACGUUGGAGUUUGAGCACAAUUUUUUAUUUAUUUUUUGUUAUCUCAUUGUCUCACAUAGCUAGAAUUGAAAAGUUUAUAAUAUAAUAACGUUUGCGUAUGAACUUGAGAAACGACAUACUCCGGCCGGCCAGGAAGGUGCAGUGAAAGAGAGGAAAGGAAGAAAAAAAAACGAACGCAAAAGGAAAAAGACUAUCCAAUAGAUUAUAAACAAUGACUUCUUGAGGUGAUUACAGAUAUUCAACCAUUAAUAAUGCAUUAUUUUAGUUUGGAAUUUGGAAGCAUUUGAGAAGUAACAUGACAACAACAACAUAAUAAACAAAAGUGAUUAGAAAAAGACCCAAAUGUGAAAGAAUAAUUAAAAACAAUUAUUCAAGAUAAGCGAUAAAUGAUUCAACCAUUUACAGAUAUGAACUUAGAAAAACAAUCUAUUGGAUCGUUGUAUUAAAUAUUAAGUGGUGCUCUAAUAUAAUAGAUCCAAAUAAGGACGAACCAUAUAAUACACCCAAAUGGACCAUUUUUAGGCUCCACUGCUAAAAACUAAUGCAAAAUGGGCAUUAGGAUUAAACUUGUAUUAGCUAUAUUUCCUAGUCAAAUGAAUCAUAUAAUACACCCAAAUGGAUGCCAUCAUGCAAUAUAUAAACAAUGUUUUGAAAGGACAAGGUACCUAACACUGUCUUUUUAUAUAUGUAAGCAACAACCCUAAAUCUUAUUGGAGCUAAUUAACUAAUGUAUUUAUUAGACAGUUGGAUUCCUUAGCAAGUGGUUAACUAUUUUUGUUUAGUUUAGUAGUCAGGUCGUAAUUAAUUAGUCAAAUGAACCAUAUAAUACACCCAAAUGGAUGCCAUAUAUGCAUAUAUAAACAAUGUUUUCAAGGGAUGAAAUGACUUUCUUGCCGGUAUGGGGGAAGAGGAAAGAAACUAGCCCGAAAGUGCAGACCCUAUCGAUCCAUUAUAAUGAAUUUCAAUGGUUCAAGUUGUAACUUAAUUGUGCAAGGUAAAAACUUAUUCACAGUUAUCAACUUAACCACGUAUCUGUGGAAAACAUUGUCUCAGAAAACAAGGAUUAAGAACUAAAGUUCUCCUGCAACUUUACACAACUGAAAGCAAGGCACGCUUAAUGGGAAUGGGACUUGAGUUUUCUGUAAACUUGCGUAUUUAGUGGAGAGAGCAUGGACCUUAGUUUUAUACAUGGAAUUCAAUAAGGAUCCCUCCCAGUAAGUGAUCAUUAUCAAAGAGUAGCCUUAUCAACCUGAAACACUUAUGCAUUAUAUCAGUUAAAAGAGUUUUAGUUUUAUCGAGAAUGUAUCUAACUUGAAACUGUAAAGAAAUACAACUCCUGAUAAGUCUACCACAAGUGUCAAUCAUUAUCUCCUUAUCAUUCCACAUAUCUUUAAUCAAAUCACCAAGUGUUUGCUCUCAUAUAGAACUUACACAAUCUCAUGUAGUUUCAUCUAACUUAUUUUCCACAACGGUAAAUUUCAAUGGCUCCGGUUUUCACAUGCCAGUCAGUCACACGCUCAACUCCUCAACGUUCGGGCUCAAUGGCUCGAAGAGAGCUUCCCCAAUGGAUCGUUUUAAGCUCCUCCACUGCUAAAACUAUUGCAAAAUGCGCAUUAGGAUUACACUUCUAUUAGCUGCGCCUUUCCUUACUAAGCAAAUGAACCAUAUAAUACACCAAGAUGGAUGUUAUACACGUUGGAGUUUAAGCAGAAUUUUUUUUGUUAUCUCAUUGUCUCACAUUCCUAGAAUUGAAAAGUUUAUAAUAUAAUAACGUUCGCGUAUGAACUUGAGAAACGACAUACUUGUUAGUUUAUAAGUGUAUUUGCUGAAAUAUAAUAAGAAGUCAGUUUUAAAUAUCAGCCCUUGGAUCAUAGUCCAAGUGUGCAGCUAAGAUGUAAUCUUAGAUUAAUUAAUAUUUCCUCUUGCUACAUGUGCUAAGUGUGUGUGAAUGAAUGAAACAGUGCAGAGUUCGUUUCUUCUUCCUCAAGCUGAAUUCUCUCACUCUCUCUCUAGAUUUCUUACUCUCUUCCUUUCUUCAGUAUUUUAUACAUUAAUUGAAACACUCAUACAAGAUCAUAGUUUGUAUGCUAACAUGGCCUCAGAGCUGUGUUCGAUCAAUUGAUACUGGGCAUUUGGAUCUGUGAAGAGAGCUACCCAGCAACUCAAAGCUGCGAUCGAGUUGAUUGCGAUCUGAGUCUAACAUGGAAGGAUCGGGUAGUGGUGAGGUGAGAGCACCAAUUUUCAAUGGUGAAAAUUAUAAGUUCUGGAGUAUUAAGAUGAAGACCAUUUUCAAGUCCUACGGAUUGUGGAAUCUGGUUGAAAAGGGUUUCGAUGAAUCAGAUCUGAAGAAGAUUGAUGAAUCUGAGGCGAAGAAGAAAGACAAAGAAGAGUCUAGUGGUGCUGGGAGGAUGACGCUUGUUGAGGUGCUCAUGAAGGAUGCUAAAGCUCUGGGUCUGAUUCAGGGCGCUGUUUCAGAUGAGAUAUUUCCCAGAAUCUCUCAUGAAGAAACUUCAAAAGGCGCAUGAGACAUUCUGCAGCAAGAAUACCAUGGUGAUAAACAGGUUAGAAGUGUUAAAUUGCAAGGUCUUCGUAGGGAAUUUGAAUAUACCCGAAUGCGAGAUGAUGAAUCACUUUCUGUUUAUCUUACAAAACUAUUUGAUCUGAUAAAUCAAAUGCGGAGCUAUGGAGAGGAAUUAUCUCGAGAGAGAGUUGUUCAGAAAUUAUUAAUUAGUUUGCCAUCAGCUUAUGACUCUAUCUGUUCUGUUAUUGAGCAUUCGAAAGAUUUGGAUGUGAUUGAGGUACAAGAGGUGGUGGCUUCUUUGAAGAGUUUUGAGUUAAGGAUUGAUUGGCAUUCUGAAAAUAAAACUGAGAGAGCAUUUGCUAGCCUUAGUGUGAAUCCCAAACCAGUUAAGUUUACUGGAAAUCAAAAUGCCAAGUACCAUAAGAAUUGGAAGGACAAAGGCAAGAAGUGGGAUAACAAACCCACAGAUGGGGCUAGAAAUUCUUGUAAGCAUUGUGGCAAGCUACAUUUUGGUGAGUGUCGAUUCAAAGGCAAACCAAAAUGUUACAACUGUGAUAAGUUUGGUCAUCUAGCAAGGGACUGUAAUAGCAAGAAGGCAGUGCAACAGCUUAAUUAUGCCACUCAGGUAGACUCUACACCAAUCAUGUUUUAUGCUAGUAAUCAAACUAAUACUAGUGUAAAAGGAUGUGAAGAUGUAUGGUAUGUAGAUAGUGGGUGUAGUAAUCAUAUGACUGGAAGGGAGGAUCUACUGGUUGAUAUUGACAAGUAUGUGACUGCAAAGGUUGAAAUGGGUACUGGACAGCUUGUUGAUGUAACUGGUAAAGGAAGUCUUAUGGUUGAAACUAAAAUAGGCAAGAGAUAUAUCAAGGAGGUUAUGCUUGUGCCUGGAUUGAAAGAAAAUUUGCUCAGUGUAGGUCAAAUGAUGGAGCACGGUUAUUACUUGGUGUUUGGAGGUCAUAAAGUAGAGAUCUAUGAUGAUAGCUCAUAUUCCAACCUGAUUGCCAGAGUACCAAUGAAGGGAAAUCGAAGUUUUCCAAUGAAGUUACAGUCUGGAAUACAUAUUGCCUACAGGGCAAAUGUAUGUCCUUCUACUGCUAUGUGGCACAGAAGAUUGGGUCAUCUGAACAUGAGCAGUUUGAAAUUGAUGCAGGAACAAGAAUUGGUGGUCGGGUUACCGGAGAUCAAAGUAAUUAAAGGAGUGUGUGAAGGCUGUGUUCUUGGCAAACAAUGCAGAGAAGCAUUUCCAAGAGAAGCCACUACUAGAGCAUCAUUUCCUCUUGAGCUUAUACACAGUGACAUUUGCGGACCAAUGCAGACAACUACAACAGCUGGAAAUCGAUACUUUCUCACUUUUAUAGAUGACUGCACCAGGAUGUGUUGGAUUUAUUUUCUAAGGCAUAAAUCUGAAGUUCUCAAUGUGUUUAAAAGGUUCAAAGCUACUGUAGAGUUGCAGAGUGGAUAUAAACUGAAGAAGCUUAGGAGUGAUCGAGGAGGUGAAUACACCUCAAUGGAAUUUAACAGAUUUGUUGAAGAUGUAGGCCUGGAAAGACAACUUACCACUCCAUACACACCAGAGCAAAAUGGUGUGGCAGAGAGAAAGAACAGAACCAUCGUGGAAAUGGCUAAGUGUCUUAUGUUGGAGAAGAAGGUUCCACUUGAAUUCUGGGCUGAGGCAGUCAAUACCUCUGUGUACAUUCUGAAUCGAUGCCCAACCAAAGCCUUACAUAAGAAGACACCUUUUGAAGCUUACAGUGGGAGAAAACCAGGAAUUAAGCAUCUAAAAGUGUUUGGUUCUUUGUGUUAUGCUCAUGUGCCAAGUCAACAGAGACAAAAACUCGAUUUGGCAAGCAAGAGGUGUAUUUUCUUGGGAUAUGGUAGUUGUGAGAAGGGAUAUAGACUGUAUAACAUUGAAUCUGGAAAGGUGACUAUUUCCAGAGAUGUUGUGUUUAAUGAAGAAGCAUGUUGGGAUUGGAAUGCACAGAAGGAAAGAAGGGAGAGUAUCCAGAUCAUUGAAAUGUCUGCAGGAGAACAAAACUGUGAAGGAAGUGCUUGUGAUUCUGAAACACAAUGUGAAGUCAGUGAAGAGAAUGUUGGGUCAGAUUUAGUUACUGAGCUAUCUGAUCAUCAAGAAAGAGUGACAGGUCCACAGGAUUUUGAUCACACUCCUCUCAAGUACAGAAACAUUGCAGAAAUAUAUGAAAAGUGUAAUCUGUGCAUAAUAGAACCCGAAUGUUUUGAAGAGGCUGCCAAGGAUGAAUCAUGGCAGAAGGCUAUGGAAGAUGAAAUCUCUAUGAUUGAGAAGAAUCAUACUUGGGAUCUUGUUGAUAGACCAUUUGAUAAACCAAUCAUUGGAGUCAAAUGGGUUUAUAAAACAAAACUAAAUCUGGAUGGUUCAGUGCAGAAAAACAAAGCACGGUUGGUUGCAAAGGGGUACUCUCAGAAGCCUGGAAUCGAUUUCAAUGAAACUUUUGCACCUGUGGCAAGACUUGAUACUGUGAGAACCUUGGUAGCCCUUGCUGCACAGAAAUGAUGGAAAUUAUUUCAGUUAGAUGUAAAGUCUGCAUUUCUAAAUGGAGUGUUGAAUGAAGAGGUGUAUGUGGAUCAACCAUCUGGUUUUGUUAUACAGGGCAAGGAAGACAAAGUGUACAGGCUCAGGAAAGCUUUAUAUGGUUUGAAAACAAGCUCCAAGAGCUUGGUAUGAAGAAAUAAAUUCCUAUUUUGCAAAGGCUGGAUUCCACAGAAGUCCGAGUGAAGCUACUCUUUAUAUCAAGACAUCUCACAGUGGCAUUCUUAUUGUGUCACUGUAUGUAGAUGAUAUUAUUUACACAGGGAGUUCAAAGGAGAUGAUAGCUGAGUUUAAAGGUGAGAUGAUGAGACAAUAUGAGAUGACUGAUCUAGGAUUACUUCAUCAUUUCCUUGGUCUUGGAGUAUUGCAAACAGAUAAUUACAUCUUCUUGCAUCAAAAGAAAUAUGCAAAGACUUUGCUUGAGAAAUUUGGACUUAGGGAUUGUAAGCCGGUUGCAACACCAUUAGCUAUGAAUGAAAAACUUACAAAAGUAGAUGGAAGUGAUCUGGCAGAUGAGACUUUAUAUAGACAAAUGGUGGGAAGUUUGCUAUAUUUGACAGCAACAAGGCCAGAUAUUAUGUUUGCAGCAAGCUUAUUGGCUAGGUUUAUGCACAAUCCUACCAAGAAGCAUAUGGGGACAGCUAAGAGAGUUCUGAGAUACAUACAAGGCACUGUGACCUAUGAAGUUGUCUAUGAAAAGGGAAAAGGAGCAGUGUUGGUUGGUUAUUGUGAUAGUGAUUGGAGUGGAAGUGAAGAUGAUAUGAGGAGUACAUCUGGCUAUGCAUUCAAUCUUGGUUCUGGUGUGUUUUUCUUGGGCCUCAAUCAAACAAAGCAGUGUUGCUCUUUCAACUGCAGAGGCAGAGUACAUCAGUGCAGCAGAAGCUACUGCACAGGCCAUUUGGCUAAGAUUUGUACUCUCUGAUUUCGAGGAAGAACAAGCAGAACCAACUAAGUUGUUGUGUGAUAAUACCUCAGCAAUUGCCAUAUCAAAGAAUCCAGUUCAUCAUCACAAAACCAGGCACAUUAAUCGGAAAUUUCAUUUCAUCCGAGAUGCACUUCAAGAUGGUGAGAUUGAUCUGGUAUACUGCAAGACUGAAGAGCAGGUUGCAGAUAUAUUCACUAAAGCUUUGGCAAGGGAUCGAUUUGAAGUACUGAGGACAGCUUUGGGAGUGAUUUCAGCACAUCACUUAGAAGGGAGUGUUAGUUUAUAAGUGUAUUUGCUGAAAUAUAAUAAGAAGUCAGUUUUAAAUAUCAGCCCUUGGAUCAUAGUCCAAGUGUGCAGCUAAGAUGUAAUCUUAGAUUAAUUAAUAUUUCCUCUUGCUACAUGUGCUAAGUGUGUGUGAAUGAAUGAAACAAUGCAGAGUUCGUUUCUUCUUCCUCAAGCUGAAUUCUCUCACUCUCUCUCUAGAUUUCUUACUCUCUUCCUUUCUUCAGUAUUUUAUACAUUAAUUGAAACACUCAUACAAGAUCAUAGUCUGUAUGCUAACAAUACUUAGCCUUGUUCACCGCCCAGAGAUGAUAACACUUAGUGUAUUUCCUUUAAGUUAACAUGGGCUUCAUAAAAGAAGGGAACCUUUCCUGUAUCUUAUAUCACAACAUAGCAAAAUGAUUGACUAAAAAUACUACCAAACCUGAGAGACGAAUUUGAACUUGCAACUAACUGCUCAAUUAUCACCUAUGGAAAAAAUGACGAUAUAUAAUAUAAUCACCUUUCUUUUGUUGGAAAAUAAUAAAGUAGACGCCCUUUAUGACAGCGAGAUCGAAACAGUAUUUGUUCAAGGCCUUCAUCCUCGCGCAUUUUGAUUGCUUUUGACACUGUUAAAGCACCCAUUAAAAUUUGAAAGGGUCACCAUAGAUCAACAACUAUACAAUACAGAAAAGUAACAUCAAAGCUAAUUAAGCAAAAACAACAGUUGGAGAAGAGUAUGGCAUUUUGUUUGGCCAGGGCUGUGGAAAAUGUCAAUAUCAUUUAGUUGUAAGGUGAGAAGCAUUCUUUAUCCUUUCUGUACGAGAGACAAUAAAUUUAAAGUUCUUGUGAUGAAAUCAUGUAAAACAUUCAGAAGUCUUGAUUUAACCCUUUCUCAAGAUCAUAGGUUUGUCAUCUCAACUUAUAUCUUAGGUCUUAUGAGUGCUCGUAAUACACUAAUAUGACACUUGUGUUCUAGCCAGGACAGAAACAAAAUCAUGCAGGAAAUUGUCAUGACAACUCAAGUGUAAAAUGCGACCGGAAAAACACUAAACAGGAUAGCUAUGCUCUCUUAGUGUAAACCUUAACAACAAAGACUAUACCGUAUCUGUCACAGUGAUAUGCGACCAUAAGCCCAACUCCAAGGAUCAGCUUUCCAAGAGCUUUGAAGGCUACAAAUCAAAAGUUACAUGCAGUGAUGACAUAAUCAUGCAAAAAUACAAUCAUAAAUUAAAGGAAAACAUACUGACUUCUAGUUCUGGCAAUUCACUAUUGGGCCAUAUAUUUGAACCACAGUAUGAUGGAUACCUACAAUACAGAUCACAAAUAAAAUCUGUGCAGACACAAAGUAUUAUGUUUUGUUUACGCAAAAUCUGUAAGUUCUCAAAUAGGAUAAAUAAAGGUAAACAUAUCCUAGCAUAAAGAAGAUUUGUCCUGGCUAAUUCUAAGAAACCUUGUAUCAAAUGUAUGAUAGUUAUUCAUAACUAACACAAACAACAGUUUGGCCAAACAUUACUGGUCUGAGCGAUAUACUGUGUGACCACAGACAUAACAGACCCCACAUGUACUCAGAUUAUGAUUGAUGUCCCUAUAGACUUUUACCUUUGAAUUAGAGAUUUAUCUGUUGUAGGGCUAUCCAAUAUUGGAUUUGCAUAAAACGAGCCUUUUAACGUAUCUGCAAAACCAGAACACAAACGGAAAAUGAAUGAUGCUAAGAUCUUAGAGUUUCCAAAGAAACAAAAUUUAAAACAAAGAACAUAAAGUGAUACCAGGCUUUCCAGAUUCCAGCUUCUCUUUUCCAUGACUCCAUCCAAAAUUGUACCUAAACAUGGAUGGCAGGUAAAAAGAAGAUAAGCAAUAAAACAUUGUAAAGAUUCCCAAGAAAAGCAAUAAAAGUACGUAAAUAUUAGUUAAUAAUGCCAAGACCAUAGUCUGUGACAAAUCCAAGAGUUGAGAUGAGACUAUCUUUGUGGCAGGAAUUUUUGGAAUUUUUCUCUAUUGUAAGGAAAACAUAGAUUGAUGUUUGCGUUUACACGAAAAUUAUGUCAACGGCUUAAGAGAAAUCAAAGUAUAACAAUGGGAGUAAAAUGACUUACCUACUAUGAGGAUCUUCAAGUUCCUUCUUCACCUCUUCGGGCAGAUUGGCUAAUCUAAUAAACGAAAAGAAAACUCCCAUGAGCAGUGCUAUAACAAACUAUCUUCCUAAAUUCAUUAUGAAUUGCAGUUAAAACUUAAAAUGAACAUGAAAAUCCUACGUAGAAGGGAUAUACCUAGGUGACAAGCCUAGAAGAUUCCCGCGCAAGGAAGAAUAUCCCGGAACCUGCAAUUGGAAACUCAACGAAACAAUUACAAAGAUGCUAGAAAGAAAAUACGUAUUAGUUUACAACAAAACGCUAGCUCUCACGAGAAUCGAUUAGGUAUGAAGCAUCAAAACAAUAGCAUGAGACACCAUAAUUUAUGAGCUAUGAAUGGAAUAAUGGAGCAAAAUAUCGUUGCCCAAAGCACAAUCUACAAUCUACAUGACAGAGAAAGUACCCCGACAUUACAUAUGCAAGUUCAUGUGGUUUAUCUUUUUAACCGAUUCGUUAACAAAUUCUUUCUGCACAUAUAGUUUUAACUUACCAAAACUGGUAAUGGAAGAGAUAAUCAGUAAUUAACAACGGAAAUCGCAUAACGAAAUCAUACUUGAGUGAUUGAUAGGAUUCCCAACCCAUUUGGUCCAAAUCCUUCUUCAAUCUUCACUGACAAAUCUUUGUCCCUGUCCUGUAUCAAUCCAAAAUAAAAAAACGAUAAUUAGAAAAAUCGAAUUCUCGACAUGAUCGACGAGUUAAAACAUAGCAAUUAAACAAAACUAUGAAUAAAACAAUUAGAUUCUGUUUGGUUGCUGAGAAAAUGAAGAGAAUAACAACCAAAAAGUCAACUGAAAUAAAAUUUUGCUCUAACUUCAACGAAUUCUCUUGAGUUUCUGAGCACCCAAACAGAAAAAAAAAAAUUAUAGGCAAUCAAACCAAACUCUCAUGCUCAAUUUUCUCGGCAACCACAAAAAGAACUUAGAGGGGGGGGGGAGAGAGUUACUUGGAGCUCGGAGUAGGAUAUGGUGACUAGUGUGACGGUGGGGACGGCGGGGUCGGAGGACGGAGGCAUAGUUCGACAAUAAAUUUGGCGGGAAAGACGGCGGUUGGAGUGUGACGAUGGGGAAGAAUCCGUGGGAACGAAGAGGAAUUUUGGUGCGGAAGGAGGGUUUUUAUAUCGGAGGGAGGGAGGGAGGGAGGGAGGGAGGGAGAGAGGUUGAGAGCGAAAGGUGUGAUUGUCAAUUUCAAAAGAAAGAAGAGAGGUUUAGCGUCAAUUCCCUUUACCUCCAAACCAAAGAAUGCAUUCACGAUCAUGACGUGGCAAAAAUUGAAGGUGGAGACGAAUAUAUUAAAUAGGUAUAAGUAUUAGUUAAAUUUAAAAUUAAUUGUGUACUAUUAAAAAUUUGUUUGAAAGGAUUUUUAAAAUGACUGAAAGCGUUUUUUAUUAAAAUAUUUUUCAAAUCAAUUCUUAGUAAAACCAAGUGGAUCCUAAAAAGUUAUUUGGAUUACUUUAUACAAAAGCCGCAUAUCUUGAGCACGUAAAUAACAUGCUCUCUACUACUUUAUCUAAAAUUAAUUGACGAUGAGCCAAUAAACUGAAAGAUUAUGCGCAACUUUGAUUAUCCAACGAGUGAAGAGGCAAUUUACACCGACCUCAAGAAUUUGGGCUCACAAUCACUAGCCGAUAUGUUUUUUUCUCACAUUUACCUGACACGGCAAGUUCAUAGUUCAAUAUUCUGGUUCUGGUGUCCUAUGACCCUGACACGGCAAGUUCCACUUUUUGUUCAUUUUCUUGACGAAACCAUCACAUUUACCCUUACGGUACGGCACGGUUCCGGGCAUGGAGUAUGGAUUGGGUUCCGUUGCAGUCCCGACACUACUUGGCACUGUAGAGAGGGAAAUACAAAGACAACUUUGGAUUUCUUACAACGUAUUGUUCUUAUUUCACGUCCUGUUUCUCGAGUUCGGUGUUUCCGGUUGCAAAUUUUGGUUCGGCAGUGUAGUGCUCAGGAGAGGGGACUGUCUCACAUUGUUCCAAGCAGAGGCGUUUGACAACGAUUGCGAUAAUGUGUUUUUCUACUGGGAGAACAUACAGCAGUCAGCAGUUAUCUUUUCACAACCGUCUUCAGUAUUUGGAGGCACCUCAAGAAAUUAUCAAGGACAAACGAAUGUAGAAAAGAAGAAAUAUCGAAGUUAGUUGACAAAAGGGGACGAAAAAUUGUGAGAUACAGAGAAGAAGAUAAGAAGAAACUCGAUGCAAAUUUUAAGCUAGAUUAGUUCUUUUUCAUUAACGAGCGAUACAGAGAAGAAGAAACAGCUGCAUUUGGAAAUAGCCGCUUUAGUUGCCUAGUUUGUAACAUUAGCUUUAUGUAAAUCCGGGGAAGAAACAGGAGUAAAUAAAACACAAUCAGGCAGUACCACAAAAGAAAAAUGUACAAUUAGGAACAAUCGUCACUUCUCAAACUUUGUAGUAGAUCCAGGUAUCCGAAGGACUCGGGGCUAAUGUACCUGCAUUAACAAAAGACAAAGAUCAGAUUUGUGGAAGGGAGUCGCAUGGUAGUUAAAAUACUCAGCCAUGCGUGAACGGUUUGAGAUACCACCAUAGAGGCAUCCUCCAAGUGUGAGUUUCUCUCGUAUAGGAUCACUUAUUGUAAGAAUAUCAGUAGUGACAGUGAAAUACCUUUGUCGGGAAAGGAAGUCAAUGAUGACAAAAAAGUAAUUUGGCUUGAAACAUUGUGUCCUCCGUAUGAUGCUUGCAACAUGCAUCACUGAAUCAACUUGAAGCUCUCCACCUCUCCAUCUGUUAAAUGUUUCAUAAGCAGCAUUGUUAAAGUUCUCUCUGUUUGGGGGGAUAUUGCAGAUGGUUUUGAAUGAAGAAAGGCAAAAAUUCAUGCUAAAGGCAUAGUUUACAACUAGUAUUUGUAAAAGCUAAGCUCUAUAGGUCUCACCUUGAUUCUUUGGCACAAAUAGCUAAAGUUUUGAGAUGGGACAAAAUGGGUCCCAAGAUCCACAUACAGCGCAUCCGAUGGUGUUGAAAUCCUUUUCCCAGAGAUAAGCACCAAGAAAGACAUGACAGUGCUAAACUUAAAACAAAUACAAGGACAAUCGCCACUUCUCAAACUUUGUAGUAGAUCCAGGCAUCCGAAGGACUCGGGGCUAAUGUACCUGCAUUAACAAAAAAAAAAACAAAGAUUAGAUUUGUGGAAGGGAGUCGCAUAGUAAUUAAAAUACUUGGCCAAAUUCAAAACAUUUGAACAAUCAUAAAAUUUUGAAAGAAAUACGAAAUACAGACUUGCCUUCAUUAUCGAACUAAGAAAUCGAAAAAUGAAAGAGGCGUUUGACGAACUGAUUGUGAUUUGACUCAAACAUAUGAUGAUGACAAUGCAUCACCACCUUGAUUGUGCCUCUGGAUCAAAAACACACCAUCAGGAUCAAAAUUGUGCACAUUUUCCUUCAUAGGUUUGUCCCAUACUAGAUUAACCCCUGUUCUCUUAAUUGUCACAUAAUGAGCAUUUCUAUCUGGCAUUUCAAAAGUUAUAUCAACUUUAUCCCCGCUUUGCAAAUUGAGCUUAUUGUUCGAUAUUUGUCCCUGCCAAAGAAAAUAGUCUCUAAACAUAAUAUCACCCUUUUCUAUAACCCAAUCUUCCUUGCCUAUGCAGGUCUGCAACUCAGUACGCUUGGUAUUAUUUAUAUCAAUACUGGCACGAGGAUGACCAUCUUUACAUCUGAUAUAAGGUAUUGAGUGGUGAAAGCAGAAUAGAGUCAGUCCUUCAAAAUUACGACCAUUACUCGGUGGAAUUUCAAAACUGAUUGUAUUACCAUCUUCGACAAACUCAAACCAAUCAGGAACAUAAUUCCCACCGAGAAAAAUGCCACCAUAUCCACAAUAAGUCCAUUCCUAUAUAUACAAUGCAAGUGUCAUAUAUACUAGCAUAUGGGCACACACAAAGUGUGAGAAAUUUUUUUAUUUUUGUUUUUGAAAUAGGAGAGAGGAAGCGAGUGAUAGAGAACGUGGGAGUGGGAAAUUUUUUUAUUUAAUUUUUUAUUUUUAUAAUUAGAAAUAUGUUAAAGAUUACAUAUAGGUGAGGCCUUGAAAGAAAAAAACAAAUUUUGGUUGUGUGAAAUUACAUUUCUGCCUCAUAUUUCUUAUUCAUGUUCUGUUUUAAUUAGAUGGUUAAACUGGUAAUUUCAUAGGAUUUUGGUUGACAAUGAGUUUUAUUAAUUAGUAGAGAUAUAUAUAUAUACACACAAACACAUGUACAUGUGAUCGUUGUGUGUGUGCAAGUGCGCCAUAGGAAGGAAAUUAGAGAGAGAGAUAUAUACACACAAACACAUGUACAUGUGCGCGUUGUGUGUGUGCAAGUGCGCCAUAGGAAGGCAAUUAGAGAGAGAGAGAGAGAGAGAGAGAGAUACCUUUAGGAUGUUCCUCCUAAAAUCAGCUGUGAGUUUGGUGCAACAUUGCAUAUCAAUCCAUGUCAUGGAGUUUAAUGACUUAUCCAAGCCUGGAACCUCAGUGAUUGCGCUUGAAUCACGUACAUUCAGUUCUAUCAUAUUCGACAUUUUCGAAAAAUUGGGCAAUGUUACCAAAUUAUAGCAAUCAGAUGCACAAAGAAAUUUCAAAUUUGUUGGUAAAUCAUAGAUUGUAUGAAGGCCAUAUCAAUCAUCUAACCAGAGACUUUCAAGCUUUGAAAGAUCACUGAGGCUGGGUAGGGUGUGAAUGAUAUAGCAGUUACUUAACUCCAGAGUUAUAAGCUGUGAAAGACCACUCAGGCUGGGUAGGGUAUGAAGGGAACUGCAGUAACUUAACCGCAAACUUUCUAGCUUUGAAAGGCCACUGAGGCUGGGUAGGGUAUGAAAAUCAUUAAAUGAAAGAUUCAAAUGUUCUAAAGAAAUUAGACUCCCAAAACCUUUUGGGAAUGCAUCAUCGCUUAAACUGUUCCAUGAGAGAUCUAAAUUUCUUAAAGAGUCUAAGCCGUGUAACGAAUCGGUAAAUUGCAAAGGAAACGUCAUGCGCGCUAGAGAUAAAUGAGUGAGAUUCUUCAAUCUUACUGUGGAACGCGGUACUUGGCUUAUGGCUGUGUAAGAUGCUUUAAGUACUCUCAAUGAUAUCAUCUUCCCUAAAUCCUCGGGCAGUUCACUGAAUUGCAAACAUCCAUUAAGAAUAAGAGUAUGAACGGAUUUGGACUUGUAGAAAUCCCCAGGAAGCGAAAUAAGAUUCCUGCAGUAAUCAAGGUUCACCAAAGAAAGUUUUUUAAGAUGACCAAUGGAGGGGUGAAUCUCGAACAAACUCUCACACCAUUCCAAUAUCAACUCUUCAAGAUUUGGGAGAUUUGAAAAGUCUGGUGAUUUUUUUAAGUCAUGGCAACUUCCGAGAUUAAGGAUUUUCAAGUUUCCAAGCGACUGUUGCACAAAAUCAAAGGAAAAUUAAAAUUAAUAUCCAAAAGGAAUAUCUCGUAAAAAAGAGAGGGAAAAUCAAAUAGAAACAUAACAUCAUUAUGUGUAAUCGAUUGUACCUUGGAGCCCUCCCAAACUUGUACCAGUUUGCUAAACGUUAUUUUUAAAAUAACUAGUUCUCGUCGUUGAUCAAAGAAAUCAUCUGGUAUGGACUCUAAAGGGCAUCUAUCCCAGCACAACCAUAUUAACUCUUUGGAAAGAUGUUUGUAUUCUCCAUUGAGCUGCAAGUCAUAGAGCUGGAGCAGUCUCAGUUUCUUCAUAUUGGCAAAUGCUUAUGUACUAAAACUAGCCUGCAUAUAGCUUGGAAACGAAUCAGGGAAACCUACAACAAGUCCUUCAACUUCUUUAGUUCCCUGUUAACAACACAUUAUAGUGGGUAAGAAAAGGAUUAUCUGCAUCUAUUCCUAAUUGAGCUUCUUUAUGUAAAUACAUAUAUUUACACGUGAAUGUUUCUAAUGUAUAAUAGGCAUACGUGAAUGUUUUUAAUGUACGAUGCAUUAAUACAAAAUUUUAUUUAUCGAGAAUGUACUUAUAGAUUUAUCUCUCAAUACAUCAGUGACCUCUUGAUGGUUCCACAAUCUACUCCAUUCUCCAGGAGGACGACGGGGAUUUCCAUAAAUGAUUACUUUGGUCAUUUCUCGAAGCAAAUCAUGCAUAUUCAACUUGUUGUGUUCAACAGUUAUAAGGCAUCAUUCACAGAGGACACUGAUUCCUAUUGUUGCAAAAAAGUUACAUCCAUCUAAUAUUUUUGCGACAUCGUCCUUAUCCCAUCCAAUAAAGAAACAAGAUAUGUCAAGGAAUAUAUCCUUUUGUGUAGGAUCUAGCCUUUCAAAGCUUACUCUUAGAGCUUUCAUUAUUCCUUCAUCAGGAAAUUUUUUCAAUUUCUCCAACUGAUUUUCCACUAUGUUGGGGUUCUUUCAAUCAUAGAAGAACCUAAAACUUCAAGGGCUAGUGGCAAACCACCACAAUAAGAAACAACCUCUUUUGAGAGUUCAAGAUAUCCUUCAUUAGGCCAACUAUUUCCAAAGGCAUGCCAACUAAAGAGCUUCAGAGCUUCUUCUUCAUUCAUUUCCUUAAGCGGAUAUGUCUUGUCCACUUUCAUGUUCACUUGCUUUAGUAAACGUUCAUCUCGUGUCGUUAUGAUAAUUCUACUUCCUGGGCCAAACCAAUCACGAUUUCCAGCUAUUGCAUUUAGUUGUUCCACUUUGUCUACAUUGUCAAUAAUGACAAGUACGCUUCUACGUUGGAGAUGAUUUUUUAUCAGACCCAUACCUCGAUCAACACUGGUUAUCUUAGACUUGGUAUGUUUCAAGAUGUCAGAAACAAGUUUUCCUUGCAAAUCAACCAGAUCAUAUUCACCAACGUUGGCAAGGAAACUUUUGAAUUGGAACUUAUGAUGAAUGUGGUUAUAAAUGGCUUUGGCAGCUGUUGUUUUACCCAACCCACCCAUCCCCCAAAUUCCAACCAUGCGAACAACAUCUGAUCCACCAUUUGAAAUAUAAGUGAUGAUAUCUUGAAUGCGAGUAUAUAUUCCAACUGGGUGCUUGGCCACAUGUAAUUUUUCUGCACUUGGAAGCCAUUCCGGGAUAAUCUUGUCAACAAUUUCUCUAAUAAGCUUUGCUUCACGCCUGAAAAAUUAAAUUGGUAAGCUUAGUACGUAGGCUCAGUAGGAGCUAUUAGUACUAAUAUAAACAAUUUUCUUUCCUUCUUUCCUUCGCGUGUCUCUGUAUAUAUAUAUGUACACAAACUAGCUACUAGCUAGUAUGUGAUUUUGUGACCAACUUCAAUAAAAGAAACAAAUUCAUUCAUGGAUAUAUUAAAGUUAGGUGUAUCAAUUAAACUCCAAUUAAGAUUCAAGAAAUUUGUGGGAUGCAGGUUCGGGGUUCGGGUGAAGGCUGUGUUGAGAAUCAAUGUCAACCCAAAACCAUAAGUAAUCCACAACCCAAUCUAAAGUCCAAGUCCAUAUCUAGUUUGAUGAUGUAAGUGCUUACAAUUGCAAAGUUAGGCAAGUUAGGUUGUGUGUGAAAACAAAGCAAAGUUAGGCAAAGUUAGGUUGUGUGUGAAAACAAAUAAUUAGGUGCAAUUAAUGUGUUUUGUGUGGUAGUAAAUAAUCUUAGUUUAAUUAAGUAGCUUUCAUUUGGUUUGCUAUAAAUACCCAAGUCCCCAAGCCUUGUAAUUCAUCCAAGGAAAAACAAAGCCUAGAGCUAAAUAAGAAAAGCUUUGCUAAUUAGUUUGUUUUGUGAGCUUUCUUUAAGAGUGUGCUCUAUUUUUCUUCUUCUUGGGAUCAUUAGAGUUAUCUUGGAUACUCUUCUUAUUCAACAAUUAGUAUCAGAGCCAAGUCGGUCAGGGAUCGUUCUUGGUAGAGCAUUGGUUGUAAAGUCUCUUGAAAUUCCGAGUAUGCUCUGUGGUUGCAGUUUUGACUGAUCUUCCACAUCAGAAAAGAUUUCUUGAGAUUAUUGCUGGGGUUAUCACAAACCUUGAGAGGGAGCUUCUUUGUGUCGAGAGUAGUGUAUUACUCUGCACGGUAGUCACUCAAGCUUGUUCGGUGUAGUCAAAGUCUUGCCGAUACGAUGGGUGAUCUUCAAGUUGUUGGAGGAAUCAAUAAGCUCAACAACCAAAACUAUAACACGUGGGCAACGUGUAUAGAGUCUUACCUUCAAGGUCAAGACUUGUGGGAGGUUGUCGGUGGUAGUGAAGUUACACAACCGGCAGCGGAAGAUGCUAAUGGCAUCUUGCGAAAGUGGAAAAUUAAAGUAGGCAAAUCAAUGUUUGCCUUAAAGACCACAAUAGAAGAAGAAAUGUUGGAGCACAUUCGAGAUGCUAAAACGCCAAAGGAAGCAUGGGACACUUUUGUUACACUCUUUUCGAAGAGGAACGAUACAAAAUUGCAACUUCUCGAGAAUGAGUUGCUAUCGAUGGUACAACGCGACAUGACGAUUGCCCAGUACUUUCACAAGGUGAAGUCGAUAUGCCGCGAAAUUUCAGAAUUAGAUCCAACAACUCCUAUUGGGGAAACCAGGAUGAAGAGAAUAAUUAUCCAUGGUUUGAGACCCGAAUAUCGAGGGUUCAUUGCCGCUAUACAAGGAUGGCCGACACAACCAUCGCUUGUUGAGUUUGAAAAUUUGCUUGCAGGUCAAGAAGCUAUGGCCAAGCAAAUGGGAGGAGUCUCACUGAAGAGUGAAGAGGAAGCGCUCUACACCAACAAAAGCAAAGGCACCUUCAAGCGGUACACUGGUAGUGAAUCUAAAAAGGAUGGAGAAAAGGUGCAAAGUCACCAAGGAAAUGGAGGCUCUCAUUCUGGGGGAGCUUGGAAGAAUCGCGGUAAUAGUAAAAAGUUUAGUGGCAAGUGUUACAACUGCGGGAAGAUGGGCCACAUGGCGAAAGAUUGCUGGACCAAGAAAGAGCCUGCUGAAAGUAAUACUGCUACUUCCAGUUCGAAGGAGAAUAGUGAAGAUGGCUGGGAUGCUGAAGCAUUAUUCGCUACAGAGGAAGAAGAAUUAGCUCUCACGGUAACAACACCAGAACGAAUUGACUACAAUAAUGAUCCAACAAGUGGAAGAUGUUACACUUCACGAGAUGUGGUGUUUGAUGAAGCGUCCUCUUGGUGGUCAUCAGAGAAGGAGGUGCUACCAGACUCUAGAGAAUUUGGAGAACAGCUGCAACAGAAGAUGGGGGAGCAUACUAUCCAACUCCAACCAAUUUCAGAUGAAUCAGGAGAUCCAAAUGGCAAUGAUGUCGAACAAAGAGUGGCUCAGAAUCCUUGGGAAACUGGCGUGUAUCAACAACCAAACGAAGAAGGUGGGCCGAGUGAAACGGAAGAAUCAACUCCACAAUCUCAACUCCGAAGGUCAACAAGAACACGAAGGCCAAAUCCUAAAUACGCCAAUGCAGCCAUAAUUGAAGAAUCAACAGAACCUGAGACGUUCGAAGAAGCAUCGCAGAGUUCUGAGUGGAUGACAACUAUGAAAAAAGAGAUCGAUGCACUUCAGCAAAAUCAGACUUGGGAUCUCGUGCCAAAGCCAAGAGAUGUGAAAUCCAUAUCCUGCAAGUGGGUUUACAAGAUAAAUCGCCGUCCAGAUGGGUCAAUCGAGAGGUACAAGGCACGAUUGUUAGCUCGUGGUUUCUCUCAACAGUAUGGACUAGACUAUGAUGAAACGUUUAGUCCAAUGGCGAAACUUACAACUAUACGAGUCCUACUUGCACUUGCAGCCAACAAAGACUGGAAUCUGUGGCAGAUGGAUGUUAAGAAUGCUUUUCUUCAUGGAGAGCUGGAUCGGGAGCCAAAUGUCAAAAUGAGUGCAUAUGAAGGAAAAGAUUUGGAAGAUGCGACGAUGUAUCGACAAUUGGUAGGUAGUUUGAUCUACUUAACCUUGACUCGACCUGACAUUUCUUAUGCAGUUGGUGUGAUGAGUCGGUACAUGCAAAAUCCAAAGAAGCCUAAUUUGGAAGCAGUUCGACGAAUACUGAGAUAUGUGAAGAGUACAAUUGACUAUGGUCUUUUGUACAAGAAAGGUGAAGACUGCAAGUUAGUUGGUUACUGUGAUGCUGACUAUGCGGGAGAUCAUGACACCAGGAGAUCAACAACUGGGUAUAUGUUUAAGCUUGGUUCUGGAACCAUCUCUUGGUGUAGCAAGAGACAACCGACGACAUCAUUGUCAACCACUGAAGCUGAGUAUCGAGCAGCAGCAAUGGCAGCUCAAGAGAAUGCAUGGCUGGUACAGUUGAUGAGUGAUCUACAUCAACCAGUAGAUUAUUCAGUACCACUGUACUGUGAUAACCAAUCGGCAAUUCGCUUGGCAGAAAAUCCAGUCUUUCAUGCAAGAACUAAGCAUGUGGAGGUACACUACCAUUUCAUUAGAGAGAAGGUCUUGCAAGAAGAUAUUGAGAUGAGACAAAUCAAUACAGAUGAUCAAAUUGCAGACUUGUUCACAAAAGGUUUGAGUACUGGCAAGUUUGAAAAGUUUCGUCGUCAACUCAGCAUGGAGAAAAGAAUGAGAGCUGACAUUGAGGGGGAGUGUUGAGAAUCAAUGUCAACCCAAAACCAUAAGUAAUCCACAACCCAAUCUAAAGUCCAAGUCCAUAUCUAGUUUGAUGAUGUAAGUGCUUACAAUUGCAAAGUUAGGCAAGUUAGGUUGUGUGUGAAAACAAAGCAAAGUUAGGCAAAGUUAGGUUGUGUGUGAAAACAAAUAAUUAGGUGCAAUUAAUGUGUUUUGUGUGGUAGUAAAUAAUCUUAGUUUAAUUAAGUAGCUUUCAUUUGGUUUGCUAUAAAUACCCAAGUCCCCAAGCCUUGUAAUUCAUCCAAGGAAAAACAAAGCCUAGAGCUAAAUAAGAAAAGCUUUGCUAAUUAGUUUGUUUUGUGAGCUUUCUUUAAGAGUGUGCUCUAUUUUUCUUCUUCUUGGGAUCAUUAGAGUUAUCUUGGAUACUCUUCUUAUUCAACAGGCUGUGGUCCGUGGGCUACAGGUUGGGGUCGGCUGGGGAGUGGGGAUUAGGGAUUGGGGGUUGAAAGUGGGAGGUUGACGGGGUGUGAAUCAAAGAUGGAAGGUGAAGGGGUGGGCUGCGAGCUUGCGAGCGUUGGUGGGAUAAGGUAGGCCUACAAUUUUAUAUAGAUACAUAGGUGAAACUAACAUGUAAAGUUGUGAACACUUGUAACUAAAAUUUAAAGGAAUUGGUUACGAAGGACUAACGCUCCAUAUUUUAUCAAGUUCAAGGACAAAAUGUAAUGAAUUUUUAGUUGAGGAACCAAAACUACAAUUUUCCUCUAGAUUUUAUAUGAGAGAUUAAGGUGUAUUAAUUAAGCAUGUUAAUUAGAGUAAUACAACUUAAAUAUUGAAAAGCACGUGAAUGAUUACCUAUUAUCAGUGAUUUGAAGAUGGUAGCCAGACAAAUUUGCAGCUUUUGUAAGAACCUCUCCCCACUGCUUUACCCCUUUUUGUUUAGCUUCACGUUUCUUGUCAUCCUUUUCUUCACCCAUGCCCUCUACGUGCUCCUGAAAUUCUUCGGCUAACUCUGCAGCUUCUCUAAGAGCCUUUCUCCACUGCUUUACCCUUUCUCGUUUUUUUUCACGUUUCUUGUCAUCAUUUUCUUUACGGAUGUUCUUUUUGUGCUUCUUAAAUGCUUGGGCUAAAACUCCAUUCUGCUUCCUGACAUGUGAAGGAUCAAUGUGAUAGAAUAUUGGCAAAACAUGUCGCCCCAGUUUGUCUCUGCACUCCAUGAUCUUCACCAGCUCGUUAAGACACCAACUCGAAUCCGCAUAGCUCUCCGAGAAGACAAUGAUAGAGAUCUUCGAUUUUUCGAUUGCCUGUUCCAGUUCUUUUUGUAUUUCUUCCCCGCUUUUUAGAUCAUCCUCAUCAAUAUAUGCCUGGUAUCCCUUGUCUGUUAAUGCCGCGUGGAGGUGGUCUGUGAAGCCAUUGCGUGUGUCUUCACCGCUGAAGCUCAAGAACACAUUGUAAUUCCAAAGUUUUGACUUGGAGGAGGAUGAAGAGGAGGCUUCGUGGCUUGUCAUGGCGGUAUCCACCGUUAUGGCACAGCAGUGGUUCAUAUCACGAUUGAAAAAUGGCAGUAGUUCUGUUUGUGCUGUCGAACGGAUGAUCCUGAAAUACCUAAACCCAAGUCAAGCUCCUUCAGUCAACAAGAACAAAGUUUAUAACAUAAUAAUGUUGGCGUAUGGACUUGAGAAACAACAUAAUGUUGGCCAGAAGGUGCAGAGACAAACUUGAAUGCAAGCUUUCUCAAAUUUUCCAAACAAUACAGAUGACAAAAUCAACAAAAUAGAAUGGAAAAUGACUUACACUUUUAAGGCAUGCUCGAAUCUUGAUCUAAAAUUGGUGCUGGGUCGAUUGUUGGUCACCAAAUCUAAAUGAAGAAUUCCUCAGACCAAAUGAAAUUAAAAGUUAGGACUUCACAAAACCAAUUGAAAAUCUGAUUCCAAAGUUCCAAACACCCACCAAAUGAUUCCGGAUAAAGUUUAAACUCAAAAACCCAACAGAAACAAAAGCAUUGGUGUGGAUUAACUAUAUCUGAUUGUCGAACGGAUGAUACUGAAAUACCUAAAAGGCUAAACCCAAGUCAAGCUCCUUCAAUCAACAAGAACAUAGUUUAUAAUAUAAGGGCACGUUUGUUUGACAGGAUUAGCAAGGCUUGGACUGGACUAGACUAUAGUCCUGUGUUUGGUGUGCAACCGGAUUAGCUUUAAUGGGCUUAGGUGGGACUCGCUCGGAUUACACGCCUCCUUACAAGUUCUUAACGAAGAACCCCAAUUUUGGGCGGACUCGUAAGCACGGAGAGAAAACCGCGAGGAUCCCCAACGUCCUGCUCGUCCUCAUCUCUGCGAGGAUCCCCAACGUCCCUCGUCCUGCUCGUCGCUCGUCGUCGAUCUUGCCCUGCUUCCUCGUCGUCGUUCUCCUCACCCUCAUCGACGAAAGCUUCUCGUUGGUGCCCAACCCCAUGCCUUUGCCUCCCAUCAACGAUCUCACUUGCAUUGUCACUGGAUCCACCAGCGGCAUCGGCCGCGAAAUCGCCAGGUCUCCUCCUUCUCCUUCCUUCAAAUCUCCAAACAUUGACGAUUUCAGUUUUCUUGUUAGCUUGUUUGUUUAGUAUAAAUAAAUCAACUCAAUUUGCAAGAUUGCAUUAAGACUUAGGGGUCCCACUGUUUGGUUACUGAGAAUUUUGAUAACCUGGUGCCCAUUUCUCAGUUUCAAUUGUGAAUUUUGAAUUAGUUUUGCUUAAACAUGAAAACUGAACAGGCAGCUGGCGGAAUCAGGCGCGCAUGUUGUAAUGGCGGUGAGGAAUACGAAAGCAGCUAAUGAGUUGAUCCAGAAGUGGCAAAAUGAAUGGUCUGGAAUGGGGCUUCCUCUCAAUAUUGAGGUAACUUAUUAACAGGGCCAACGCUAAUAUCUACAUUUCAUUAAUUAUAUACAAACAAUACUAUUGUUUAACUUUAAUAGGUAAUGGAACUUGAUCUGCUUUCAUUGGAUUCUGUUGUGAGAUUUGCCGAAGCAUGGAAUGCUCGUUUAGGACCUCUCCAUGUUCUUAUCAACAAUGCUGGGAUAUUUUCAAUUGGAGGUUGAUCGCUUUGUUGACAUUUUUACCUGAUUUCAAAUGUUCAUCCCUUCAGAAUCUGAUCGGUCAUUUGCUGGACUACACUGUCAUUGGUGUGUUCAGAGCCGCAAAAGUUUUCUAAAGAUGGUUACGAAGAACACUUGCAAGUGAAUCAUCUGGCUCCAGCGUUGCUAUCCGUCUUGCUAUUGCCUUCCCUUAUUAGAGGAUCUCCGAGUCGAAUUGUUAAUUUGAAUUCCGUUGUAAGUUCCAUGGUCAUCAUGCAUACAAUUUUACACUCUUCUACUUUUGCUUUUCUGGGUAUAUAUGAUAUAUAUAACAUUCGCACACCUACGUACACACACAUGGAAAGAAAAACUAGUUGGCAUAUAUGCUAACUAGUUGUAGAUACAUCCUUAGGUUUUUAGAUUGGCACUAUAAAUGUAUUUCACAGUUUGAUAUUCUUGUUUUAUUGUUAUGUUAAUCUGAGAAUGCUCGUUCUUUCUUUAUAUAGAUGCAUUAUGUUGGCUUUGUUGACACAGAAGACAUGAACGUUGUUUCCAGGAAAAGAAAAUAUACAAGCUUAGUGGGUUACUCAAGCAGCAAGUUGGCACAGGUGGUCUUGAAAGUCUUUAUUGUUUGAUGGUUUCCAUAUUUUAGCUGGAACAAGCUUGUAAGAGCUACAAGCUUUUCUUCCUAUCCAUCUUUGUGGAAAUGAAUUCAGGUCCUCUUGAUCUGUAAAGUUUAACUACUUUGUGCGAUAUAUAUAUAUAUAUAUAUUUGAAAUACAGGUGCCUCUGUCUUUAUUUAGAUCUUUUUAGUUACUUGGACCUGUACAUUGAUCAAGUGCUUGAUGAUUGGGUGCUAUAAUCUGCUUGUGUUUUUUUUUUAAUUUUUUUUUUAAUUUUUUUAAUUUUUAUGGUUUCAACUUCUGCUUUGAUCUCUCUUUUCUAUUAGUUUGUAAAAGCUGGUCAUCUAUUACCCAAGGCUGGACACUUGCACAUAAUUAAAUGUCAAUUAACUGCGGUGGUAUGUAUAUAAUUUUCGACGCUAAAACAAGACUACUCUAACCUAGUCGUAUAUGGAUUGCAGAUUAUGUUUAGUAGUGUCCUACAUAAGCGGCUGCCUGCUGAAUCUGGCAUUAGUGUAGUGUGCGUUUCACCUGGAAUUGUCCAGACUAAUGUUGUAAGUAUCUUGACGCGUUCCCCUCCCUUCCUUGUUAUCUCGAAGAAGGAUGUGCCUUCAAGGUUUCUAUAUGAAAGUUCUAAUUGACAGUCUUGCAUGUUAUUAUUUUAUGUACCUUGAAGAUUUUACGUUCAAAUAUUAUUUACAUAUACAGUAUAGUAUAUUGAAUUUUAUGUAUCAUUUUGGAUUUCAAUUAAUUACAGGCAAGGGAUCUACCCAGGAUUGUUCAGGCUGCGUAUCAUCUAGUACCUUAUUUGCUGCAACAUUCACUACUUUGCUGGCGGCCGUCGUAAGCACCCCAGGCGCCGCCGCUGGUUUUCUGUUAAAUGGGUUUUUUUCUUUAUUUGAGUUAUUUUUGUUUUUGUGGGGAAGAAGAUUGGUAGAUGAUGUGGUCCAAUCUGGGAACCAAUGCAUUUUCUUAAACGGCUGAGAUUGAAAGACUGAUUUGGCCUGGUAGAGCAUCCAAGUAAAAAUUUGGGUGUGUAAUCUGUGUGUGUGCAUCUGUAUGUGUGUGUGUGUGUGUGUAAUCUGUGUGUGUGUAAGUGUAAUAUGUGUGUGUAUGUAAUCUGUGUGUGUAUACUAUGUGUGUGUGUGUGUGUGUAAUCUGUGUGUAUGUAAUCUCUCUCUCUCUGUGUAAUCUGUGUGUGUGUGUGUAAUCUGUGUGUGUGUGUGUGUGUGUGUGUGUAAUCUGUGUGUAUGUAAUAUCUCUCUCUCUGUGUGUAAUCUGUGUGUGUGUGUGUAAUCUUUGUGUGUGUGUGUGUAUGUAUGUAAUCUCUCCUCUCUCUGUGUGUAAUCUGUGUGUGUGUGUGUAAUCUUUGUGUGUGUAAGUGUAAUAUGUGUGUGUGUGUGUGUGUGUGUGUGUAUAAUAUGUGUGUGUGUAAGUGUAAUAUGUGUGUGUGUGUGUGUUUGUGUAGUGUGUGUGUGUGGGUGUGUGUGUUUGUGUAUUGUGUCCGUGUGUGUGUGUGUGUGUGUGUGUGUGUGUGUGUGUGUGUGUGUGUGUGUGUGUGUGUGUGUGUGUGUGUGUGUGUGUGUAUUGUGUGUGUGUGUUUGUGUAGUGUGUGUGUGUGUGUGUGUGUGUGUGUGUGUGUGUUUGUGUAUUGUGGCCGUGUGUGUGUGUGUGUUUGUGUAGUGUGUGUGUGUGUAUGUGUGUUGUGUUGUGUGUUGUGGUAUUGUGGUCGUGUGUGUGUGUGUGUAUUGUGUGUGUUUGUGUAGUGUGUGUGUGUAGUGUGUGUGUGUAUUGUGUGUAAGUUUGAACCAACUUAAGUAGUACAAUUUGAUUAUGUAUGCAGUGUAUGUAUGUAUGCAGGGUGUGUGUGAGUGUAUGUCAGUGUGUGAGAGUGUGUAUGUCCGUGUGAGUGCAGUGUGUGCAUCUGACCAGUGUGUGUGUGUGUAUGUAUGCCGUGUGUGUGUGUGUGUGUAUGUAUGCAGUGUGUGUGUGUAUGUAUGCAAUGUGUGUGUGUAUGUAUGUAUGUAUGUAUGCAUGGUGUGUGUGAGUGUAUGUCCGUGUGUGAGAGUGUGUAUGUCCGUGUGAGUAUGUGUGUGAGUGUGUAUGCAGUGUGUGUGUGUAUGUAUGUAUGUAUGUCGUGUGUGUGUGUGUGUAUGUAUGCAAUGUGUGUGUGUGUGUGUAUGUAUGCAAUGUGUGUGUGUGUGUGUGUGUGUGUGUGUAUGCCGUGUGUGUGUGUGUGUGUGUGUGUGUGUGUAUGUAUGCAGUGUGUGUGUGUGUGUGUGUGCAGGGCAAUCAAACCGGAACUCAAGAAAGUGUUCGUCCAAAGGCUUUUAAGCGACAACGCAAGUGGAUGAAGAUUUUGGCUAAUGUUAACAUGGAUGUAUUUUAUUAAUGUUAACAUGGAUGUAUUUUAUUAAUCAUACAAUCUUAUGUUAUGGCUUAUAACUUAGCUUUGCACUAGUAUUUUGGCUUAUGUUAACUAGCCAUUUUGUAAAUUAUGGAGAUCUAUUUUGGCUAAUGUUAACUAAUGUUAUGUUAACUAAGAUUUUCUAAAUUAUGGAGAUCUUCUUAUGUACUUGUAUUUGUUGAAGUUGCAUGUAUUGGGCACUAUUAUUUUUCUUCUGUUGGGUGAUAGAGUUUAAACCAAGCUACAUUUGCAAAUUAAACCCAAUUCUAUUAGCAGGUAAUAGAAACAAAACAAUUGUCAAUUUUUUUUAAGAUUCAUAAUAUACAUGGCAAAAAUAUGCUCCAAUUAACUCAUAUCAUGAGAUUUGUAGCAUUACUCUAUUACACAAUGGCAAAAAUUUGUAGUCCUAGUCUAAGCAAACACAAAUCUGGUGAACAGUAUUGUUUUUCUUAUCCUGCUUCUUAGUCCGACAUUACACCAAACGCUUCACUAAAUUAGUCCAGCUUAGUCCAGUCUAAGCCAGUCCAGCUUAGUCCCGGCAGCUAGUCCAGCCCGAGACAGUCCGGCGCAACAAACGCACCCUAAUAAUGUUGGUGUAUGGACUUGAGAAACGACAAAAUGCCGGUCGGGAAGGUGCAGAGAAGAGUAAGAGAGAGAAAAGAGGAAAGAAACAAACACAAAAGGACAAAGAUUAUCAAAUAGAUUGUAACAAUGACUUCUUUGGUUGAAAUGUGUAAGCAUACUUCUUUGGUUGAAAUGUGUAAGCAUCUAAGAAGUAGCAUGACAACAACCGCAUAAUAAACAAAAGUGAUAGAAAAAAGGACCCAAAUGUGAAACGACAACUAAAAACAAUUGUCUCGCAAGCCGUCGGGUUUCGCCGGAAAAUCUGGGUUUUCGAAGAAAACAAGUGUGCAUGAAUAAAUAGUCCAAAAAUGGACCUCAAAUCAUCACCGGACAGGAUUUAACCCAUGAAUAUAAAGGUUAAACGAGAAAUCUCACCUGGGUUUUGAGUUUCGAAGCUUGAAACUCUUGGCUCCAAGGGUGGAUCACUGAAAUGGUGCUCCGAUGAUGCAUGCAAAGAUAUAUUCGAGUUCCUUGAGUCUCAGGGAUUCCAAAUAUGUGAUUUUGGGGCUGGGUUUGUGAGAGAAUCAAAGUGAGAGCAAGGGUUAAGCUCUCGGAGUUUAGAGAGAGAAUGAGAGAAUUUGAGAGUUAGAGAGAGAGAGUGAGUGACAGGUGUCGAGCAAGGGGAAGAAGGGAGAGAUUUGUCACGGGUGAGGUAAAAACAAAAACUGUGGGCCGGAUUUUUGGGUUUGAGAGUCCCACGCCCAAAGAUUUGGGCCGGAAUGACAAAGCCCAACACGAGGGCAUAAUCGUAAUUUGCACCUACUUUCAGAACGGGUUGUUACGGUUAUCCACCGUUAUGGCACCGCCGUGGUUCAAAUCACGACUAAAAAAUGGCAGUAUUUGUGAUUGUGUACCGAACGAAUGAUAUUGAAAUACAUAAACCCAAGUCAAGCUUCUUCAAUCAACAAGAACAAAGUUUAUAAUAUAAUAAUGUUGGCGUAUGGACUAACGACAAAAUGCCGGUCGGGAUGGUGCAGAGAAGAGUAAGAGAGAGAUAAAGAAACGAACACAAAAGGACAAAGACUAUCAAAUAGAUUUAACAAUGACUUCUUGGUGGUGAUUACAAGUAUUCAACCAUCAAUAAUGUUUUAUUUUAGGUUAAAAUGUGUAAGCAUCUAAGAAGUAACAUGACAACAACUACAUAAUAAAUAAAAGUGAUAGGAGAAAAGACCCAAAUAUGAAACGACAACUAAAAACAAUUAUUCAACGUGAGUGAUAAAUGAUUCAACCAUUUACAAUAUUCAAACGUAGAACCACGAUUCACUGGACGGUUGUAUUAACUAUUAGGAGGUGCUCUAAUAUAAUACAUCCAAAUGGGGGUGGACCACAUAAUACACCCACAUCGUUUUAAGCUCCUACAUGCUAAAACUUUUGCAAAAUGCGCAUUAGGAUUAUACUUCUAUUAGAUGCGCAUUUCCUUACUAGGCAAAUGAACCAUAUAAUCCGCCAAGAUGGAUGUUAUACACGUUGGAGUUUGAGCAGAUUUUUUUUUGUUAUCUCAUAGUCUCACAUUGCUAGAAUUGAAAAUUUUAUAAUAUAAUAACGUUCACGUAUGAACUUGAGAAACAACAUACUUUACUGCCGGUCGAUCGGGAAUGUGCAGUGAAAGAGAGGAAAGAAAGAAAGAAAUGAACACGAAAGGACAAAGACUAUCCAAUGGAUUAUAAACAAUUACUUCUUGGGGUGAUUACAACUAUUCAACCAUCAAUAAUGCAUUACUUCAGUUUAGAAUUUGGAAGCAUUUGAGAAGUAACAUGACAACAAUCACAAAAUAAACAAAAGUGAUUAAUAAAAAGACCCAAAUGUGAAAGAAUAAUUAAAAACAAUUAUUCAAGAUAAGUGAUAAUGAUUCAAUCAUUUACAAGAUAUGAACGGUUUGGAAACGCAUCACAUAGUAGUUAAAAUACCCGGCCGUAAAUGAACGGUUUGAGAUACUGCCAUAGUGGCAUCCCUCGUAUGUGAGUUUCUCUCGUAUCGGAUCACUUAUUGUAAGAAUAUCAGUAGUGAAAGUUAAAUACCCGUGUCGGGAAAGGAAGUCGAUGAUGACAACUGACAAGAGAGAAAUUUGGCUUGAAAAAUGUAUGAUGUUUGCAACAUGCGUCACCGGAGUAUCAACUUGAAGCUCUUCAUCUCUCCGUCGUUAAAUGUUUCAUAAGCAGCAUUGUUAAAGUUCUCUCUGCCAGGGGGAACUGAAGAUGGUUUUGAAUGAAGAAGAAUGGAAAAUAUAAUUUAGAAAAUGAGAAAGAAAAAUAUAAUUGAAACUAAAAAAAAUAAGAAAUAAAAAGAGAGAUUUACUAUUUUCUAGGAGGUCUUGGAGUUGGCCGUGACAGUAAGAGAGGAUGAGCGAAUAAAUUGGGCCAAUUACUUGCUCUCUUGGACUUUGGGCUUUUGGUUUGGACUGGGCCAAUUACUUACUUGGGCCCCAUCCCAACUUGACUUUUUGUCGGUCGGUAUUGGCUAAGGUGAACGUGCUAAACUAGAAAUUUGAGGUUUUGAAUUAGCGAAUGAAUGUUAAGUAAGAGUGUCAUGAUCAGACUUGUAAGACUGUCUUUAAUAAGAAGUUGUUGCGUUUUGUCAAAACCGGUCCAUCUAAUUACAAAUUGUAACCAUAUUAGUUGAGUGCAUAUGCUACAUCACAUUUAGUGAAUAUUCAGUACGGGUGAUACAUGGUCAAACUUGUAGGUUGUUCAUUAAGAAGUUACCACGUUCUCAAGAGUGGAGUUAGAGGGGAGCACUUCCCUACCAAAGUGUUUUCCUUCUCCCCUUUACAAGGGAUUUGUGUCACUAUUAGAUAGGAGAUUCGAACACAAGACCUUGAAUUGAGAGGUAAACGAUUUUACAAAGCUUCUACGAGCACCUUCUUGUUUACCAAACUUAAUGAAACUAAAGGAGGUCUUAACGCCAUUUUGGCUAAUAGUAUUCUGUAUAUUUACGAAUGGUUUUAAGUUUGGGCUUAAUUGGAUAAUCAGAGAGUAGUGCAUCACACUAUGGAUAUUCAGAAACCGAAGGCAUAAUUCAUAUUCCUCCAACAAGUCCACGCAAAUAACCACAAUCAGAAUGUUAGUUCAUAACUGGCCAUAUAGAACGCAAUACAAAAGCACUAAAAGCGUCCAAGUGAAAGUGCUUUCUCCUCAUGUAGUUUCAUUUAACUUAGUUUCACAUGCCAGUCCGUCACACACUCAACUCCUCAACGUUCGGGCUCAAAGCAUUCUUUAUCCCUUAUGUACGAGAGACAAUAAGUUUAAAGUUCUUGUGAUGAAAUCAUGUAAAACAUUCAGAAAUCUUGAUUUAACCCUUUCUCAAGAUCAUAGGUUGUGUCAUCUCAACCUAUAUCUUAGGUCUCAUGAGUGCUCGUAAUACACUAAUAUGACGCUUGUUUUCUGGCCAGGACAGAAACAAAAUCAUGCAGGAAAUUGUCAUGACAACUUAAGCGUAAAAUGCGACCGGAAAAACACUAAACAGGAUAGCUAUGCUUUCUUCGUGUAAACCUUAACAACAAAGACAAUACCGUAUCUGUCACAGUGAUAUGCGACCAUAAGCCCAACUCCAAGGAUCAGCUUUCCAAGAGCUUUGAAGGCUACAAAUCAAAAGUUACAUGCAGUGAUGACAUAAUCAUGAAAAAAUACAAUCAUAAAUUAAAGGAAAACAUACCGACUUCUAUUUCUGGCAAUUCACUAUUGGGCCAUAUAUUUGAACAACAGUAUGAUGGAUACCUACAAUACAGAUCACAAGUAAAAUCUGAGCAGACACAAAGUAUUAUGUUCUGUUUACGCAAAUUCUGUAAGUUCUCAAAUAGGAUAAAUAAAGAUAAGCAUAUCCCAGCAUAAAGACGACUUGUCCUGGCUAAUUCUAAGAAAGCUUGUAUCAAAUGUAUGAUAGUUAUUCAUAACUAACACAAACAACAGUUUGGCCAAACAUUACUGGUCUGAGCCAUAUACUGUGUGACCUCAGACAAAACAGAUCCCACAUGUACUCAGAUUAUGAUUGAUACCCCAAUAGACUUUUAGGCGGUGCUCUGAUAUAAUACAUCCAAAUUGGGGUGGACCAUAUAAUACACCCCAACGGAUCGUUUUAAGCUCCUCCACUGCUAAAGCUAUUGCAAAAUGCGCAUUAGGAUUAUACUUCUAUUAGAAGCCCCUUUCCUUACUAGGCAAAUGAACCAUAUAAUACACCAAGAUGGAUGUUAUACACGUUAGCGUUUGAGCAGAAUUUUUUUUGGUUAUCUCAUUGUCUCACAUUGCUAGAAUUGAAAAGUUUAUAAUAUAAUAACGUUCGCAUAUGAACUUGAGAAACGACAUACUGCCAGCUGGCCGGGAAGGUGCAGUGAAAGAGAGAAAAGGAAGAAAGAAACAAACAUGCAUGAAAGGACAAAGACUAUCCAAUAGAUUAUAUACAAUGACUUCUUGAGGUGAUUACAGCUAUUCAACCAUCAAUAAUGCAUUAUUUUAGUUUGGAAUUUGGAAGCAUUUGAGAAGUAACAAGACAUCAACCACAUAAUAAACAAAAGUGAUUAGAAAAAAAACCCAAACGUGAAGGAAUAAUUAAAAACAAUUAUUCAAGAUAAGCGAUAAAUGAUUCAACCAUUUACAAGAUAUGAACUUAGAACAACAAUCUAUUUGAUCGUUGUAUUAACUAUUAAGUGGUGCUCUAAUAUAAUAUAUCCAAAUGGAGACGAACCAUAUAAUACACCCAAAUGGACCAUUUUUAGGCUCCACUGCUAAAAACUAAUGCAAAACGGGCAUUAGGAUUAAACUAUAAGAACUAGGAUUGCAGGGAAGACAAAACACGCAGGAAAGCUGUAAGACUACACAAGGUUUUCACUGUGAUUGCAUACCCUCAACGUUGUAGGGAGCAACCUUUUUAUAAUCACUUUUCAGAUUACAUCAGGGUUUCAAAAACCCUAUUUACAAGCUUACAUUUUGAAAUUCAAAUACUAUAACUAAUUCUGAUAAAACAAAUAUUUAAAAAUUCAAAUGAUUUUAACAGAAGCUCCACUUGAUAAGUGUUGUUGACUGAGUAAACCAACUGAAGAAUUUCUGUUUGAAGAGGAAACUUGACUCCGUCUAACAUAAACUUGUAUUAGCUAGCUUUCCUAGUCAAAUGAACCAUAUGAUACACCCAAAUGGAUGCCAUCAUGCCAUAUAUAAACAAUGUUUUGAAAGGACAAGGUACCUAAGACUGUCUUUUUAUAUAAUGUAAGCAACAACCAUAAAUCUUAUUGGAGCUAAUUAACUAAUGUAUUUAUUAGACAGUUGGAUUCCUUAGCAAGUGGUUAACUAUUUUUGUUUAGUUUAGUAGUCAGGUCGUAAUUAAUUAGUCAAAUGAACCAUAUAAUACACCCAAAUGGAUGCCAUAUAUGCAAUAUAAACAAUUUUUUCAAAGGAUGAAAUGACCUUCUUGCGGGUAUAGGGGAAGAGGAAAGAAACUAGUACGAAACUGCAGACCCUAUCGAUCCAUUAUAAUAAAUUUCAAGGGUCCAAGUUGUAAGUUAAUUGUGCAACGUAAAAACUUAUUCACAAUUAUCAACUUAACCACGUACCUGUGGAAGACAUCGUCUUUGAAAACUAAGAUUAAGAACUGAAGUUCUCCUGCAACUCUACACAAUUGAAAGCUCGCUCAAUGGGGCUUGAGUUUUCUGUAAACUUGUGUAGUUAGGGGAGAGAUCAGGGACCUCAAUUUUAUACAUGGAAUUUAAUAAGGAACCCUCUCAUUAAUUGAUCCUUAUCAAAGAGUAGCCUUAUCACCGUGAAACACUAAUGCAUUAUAUCAGCUAGAAGAGUUCUAGUUUUAUCGAAAAUGUAUCUGACUUGAAAUUGUAAAGAAAUACAACUCCUAAUAAGUCUACCACAAGUGUCAAUCCUUAUCUCCUUAUCAUUCCACAUCACCAAGUGUUUGCUCUCAUAUAGAACUUACACAAAUCUCAUGUAGUUUCAUCUAACUUAUUUUUCACAACGGUGAAUAUAUUUCAAUGGCUUGGUUUUCACAUGCCAGUCAGUCACAUGCUCAACUCCUCAAAGUUCAGGCUCAAUGGCUCAAAGAGGGCUUCCACUUCACUCUGAUUCACCUCCCUUUUACUUUGACGGGUUCCACUUCGGAUUCUGCAUUGACAAAAAACAGAAGCAAAAGAUUGUUGAGAGUUCUCCCACAUUGGUGAGGGACAAAGCUUGUUAUGUGCUUAUAUGAUCUUAGGCUACUUCCAAUAUUGCCAAUUUGUUUUAUGGUGGAACCUCAAUUUCAUCAUGGUAUCAAAGCCAAGUUGUCGACAUGUGAAGCCCAAUGGCCACAUGCGCUCCACGUCACCCAGUUGUUGUACACGUGUAGGCUUGAAAAUCCGUCACAUGUGCGGGGUCGUGUUGAGAGUUGUCCCACAUUGGCGAGGGACAAGACUUGCUAUGUGCUUAUAUGAUCUUGGACUACUUCCCAUAUUGUCAAUUGGUUUUAUGGUAAAACCUCAAUUUCAUCAAAGAUAACGAUCUGUUCUGAUACAAGGAAAGUAAGAUGAUUAUAUAACUGUAGGUCUAGUAUAGGCUGUAAUGGUUUAUGUUGCAGCAACUCCGUCAGCAAGUGAUUUUCAAGUAAGGAAUCUUGAGCAUAAUUAACGAACCUGAUCCUUGUCCACCAAAACUGCCCGCACACCUUCAGCAAAAUCAUUCCGCAAAGACGAUCUUCUAGCAACGCGAUAUUCAGUUUUCAUCACACCAGUUAGCUGGUAUGGAUCAAGUAAAGCACAUGUUACUCACUCAGAAAAUGUGAAAUACUACAACACAAAAUCUAUCAAAAGGAUGCAACCUUGAAGAGCUUCAUUUGCCCACUCCACCACUACAACGGAAACAAUUUGAUAGAAAAUACUUGACAGCCAUGUACAAGCCUCUCAAUAGAAGAGUAAGACAGAUUUCAUUUCAUCAUCGAUAAACAAAUGGCAUUGACAAACUUACCAGUAGCAUCUGAACUCUGCUGCUGCUUUUUAAGUUCAUCAAUUGCCACAAGAACCGACUUAUUUGCACCAAAUGCUGAAGUUAUUUGAGGUAAAAGACUCCUGAGCUGCGAUUCGAAUCUGGGUUGCUGCUGAAUUUCACCACAGUUGUAAUUGACAACAUUGACAAUUGUCUCUCUCGCAAUAGUACCUUCGUAAUGAUCCGGUACUGACCUUGGCCCGAUAGGCCAAUACCAAAGGCCAUUGUUAUGGCCACGAAGCUUAUACGUGGCUGUCAAGCCCGACACGUGAAUAGCAUACUCUACUACUGUGUUACAUUGUGAGAAUUUUAUCCAAAAUUAAUUGACAAUAAGUGAAUAAGUUGAAAGAUUAUGUAUGACUUUAAUUAUGCAAAGAGUGAAGAGGCAAUUUUCACCAAACUCCAGUAAAAAAUUUGGGCCUCACAAAUCACUAAACCCAAUAUGCUUUUCUCUUAUGCCUUUUGUUCAUGGUUCGAUAUUCUGGCGUCCGAGGACCCUGACAUGACAAGUUCCAACUUUUGUUCAAUUUCUUGACGAAACAAUCACAUUUACCCUUACGGCACGGCACGGUUCCGGGCAUAGAAUAUGGGUUGGGUUCCGUCACAGCUCCAACACUGUAGAGAAGGAAAUAAAAAGACAACUAUUUAUUUCUUACAACGUAGCCAGUCUCUUGACAUGGCUCCUGCUGUUUUGUUCUUAUUUCACGUCCUGUUUCUCGAGCUUGGUGUUUCCGGCAGGGCCGGUCUAGAGAUUUUUGAGGCCCGGAGCGACGUAAAAAAAUAUGCUCACUUUAUAUAAGAAAAUUAUUUGUUUUCACAUGUAAGACAUGGAUAAAAUUAUACUUACAAAAACACUUAAACUUAAUAAUUUAGAAACAAGGAAAAACUAAUUUAUUUUGUAUCGUGAGAAUGAAACAAAAAAACUCUGGUCUCUUCCGCUCCACCUCGGCCUGGAUUAGGCAGGUUGGAGCUCUCACCCCUGGCCAUGUACGAGGCAUUUUGGAUAGGCAACUUUUAGUUUCUCUUGGAAUAUCGCCUAACUCCUGUAAAGCUCCUUCUAUUGUCCCUGUUCAUUGGCUCCCCCCUCCUUUUUCUUGGGUUAAAGUGAAUACUGAUGGCCUUGCUAAAGGUAAUCCGGGUCCUGCGGCAUGUGGCGGGGUUUUUCGUGACUCUGCAGGUUAUUUUCUUGGUGGUUUCUCCCUAAGCUUGGGUCAUCGUACUUCUUUCUAUGCGGAGCUCCAUGCUGUCAUCCUUGCUAUCGAAUUGGCCCACACGCGGGGCUGGCUAAAUUUAUGGCUUGAAAGCGACUCUUCUAGUGUAAUAUCAUGUUUUGCUUCUGGAUCUUUCUCUCCCCCUUGGUCUCUCCAGACACGCUGGAACAAUUGUACUCUCCAUUUGCAGAACAUGGUUUUUCGUUGCUCUCAUAUUUUUCGAGAAGGGAAUGUUGUGGCUGACAAAUUAGCCAAUUUAGGGCUUCUAUCAUCUUCCCUUGUUUGGCAUUCCACUCCCCCUAUAGAGAUCCUUCCUCCUCUGCACUCAGAUUUCUUGGGCAUGCCAACCUACAGGUUUGUCUCCUCUUCUUGAUGUGUGUUCUCCUUUCUUUUCCUAACCUUUUUUGGAUUCCCUUUUGUUUUGCAGCUUGUCUUGCAGGUUAUUACCUUUUAGGUUUAUUGAGGGGUUUGGGCUUAUGUCCGCCCAGUCUUUUCCUUGUAUUUUCUUUUCCAAGAGGGGUACGGUCUAUGUCCCCCCCUCUUUUGUAUUUUCUUUCUCAAAAGGGGUAAGGUGCAUGUCCCCCCCUUUUUUGUAUUUCUUUUCUCUUGUUCUAUGAGGGGUUAGGUUUAUGUCCCCCCCUGUCUAGGUGUAUUUUCUUUUUUCUUAUCAAUAAAUUUCCCUCGUACCGCCGAGGUUCUCCAAAAAAAAAAAAAAAAAAAAAAAAAAAAAAAACUCUGGGUUUACAAGUAGAUAGAUAGAUAGAUAUGGCACAAGUUGCGGAUUGCUUUGCUAACUAUGAUGUUGAUCUGGCUGGGGUUCAUUGGUGAGAUUCUUGAUUUCCUUGUGCUACUUUGACAUAUCACCAUAAGUUGUCUUUUUUGCCUUGUUAUAGUUUCGUGUGGGGUUUUUUUUCUUCUAAUGUUGAUUGGGUUCUUUUCUUCCAACUCCUGCCCACUCAUUAUUGUCUGAACCACACCUAGUAUUACCCUCAUAUCCACUAAAACUUCAAGCUUUACCAAUUUGUCACAAGCGAAGAUGGUAGCUCCCAACACCAAUGAGGUUCCAAACAAUUACGAUCGAAAAAGCGAAGUGAAAGCUUUUGAUGAGACAAGGGAAGGCGUUAAGGGUCUUGUUGAUGCCGGGAUAGCCGAGGUUCCUAGAAUUUUUCAUCAACCACCACAAUUGGACGAUCAGUACUCCAUCAACAAUACAAGCACUGACUCAGAAGCCACCCAGUUUAGCAUUCCGCUAAUAGACCUUGAAGACCAUGGUAAUCCAACUAAGCGCAAUGAGAUUGUUGCAAAAGUUGGAGAGGCAUCAGAGACUUGGGGCUUCUUUCAAAUAGUGAAUCAUGGGAUACCUGUAGGUGUUCUGGAGGCGAUAAAGGAUGGGGUACGUGGGUUUUAUGAGCAGGACACUCGAGUCAAGAAAGAGUUUUACACUCGUGAUCACUCUAAACCUUUGUUUUACAAUAGCAACUUUGAUCUUUAUAGUUCACUGGCAACGAAUUGGAGGGAUACUUUUAAGUGUUACAUGGCUCCAUAUCCUCCUAAGCCAGAAGACUUGCCAGAAGUAUGCAGGUAUUUGACAACCCAAUUCUCUGGUUUAAUUGGUGACAUUAACCUGGUGCAGAUUCCUUCCUUGAUGGAUUAGAUCAUUAAACUCCAUACUUUUGACAAGUUUAAUGUGCUUUCCUGGUUUUCAACUUGCAGAGACGUACUGAUCGAGUAUUCAAAGCGAGUAAUGGAGUUGGGGAAAUUGUUGUUCGAGUUGUUGUCGGAGGCCCUUGGGCUAAAGCCAAGCCACUUGAAUAGCAUAGAUUGUAGUAAGGGGCUACAGGUUUUUAGGCCAUUUACUAUCCUGCUUGUCCACAGCCAGAGUUAACUUUGGGCACAAGCAAGCACGCUGAUGAUUCCUUCCUUACGGUCCUUCUGCAAGAUCAUAUUGGUGGUCUGCAAGUUGUUGAUCGUCAAAAGAAGUGGAUAGAUGUACCCCCUGUGCCUGGGGCUUUAGUGGUGAACAUUGGAGAUCUUUUACAAGUAAGCACACGUAUUACAAUUGCCCUUUUUUUUUUCUCCCUAAAAACUACUAUUAAAUUAAGAGAAUAGUAUCGUAAACUAAGCUAGUUUGUUAAUGACUAAUACUCGAGACAAGCUUUGGUCGCAUGUUAGCGUUUCUCUUAGAAUAUGUCUUAGAAUUCUUCGAUUAUCAUAAUUAGGUCUUUUAUGUUCAAUUCUUUUUGGGAUUUUCAGCUCAUAUCAAAUGAUAGAUUCAAAAGCGUAGAACACAGGGUAUUGGCGAACCGUGAAGGUCCAAGGAUAUCCAUUGCCAGCUUCUUUAGCACAGGUUUGCUACCAUUUACAAAUCUCUAUGGACCUAUUAAGGAGUUGGUAUCAGAAGACAACCCUCCAAAGUACAGGGAGACUACUGUGAGGGACUACGACACCCAUUUCUAUGACAAAGGCCUAGAUGGAACCUCUGCCUUAUCUCAUUUUAAGAUCCCAACUUAGACAUGGAGGAGCACAGACCGCAACGAACAAAUCCUGUCUACUAAAUAAUUUUGCAUGAAAAUAUAUAUUGGUUGUUUAAUCUGAAAGCGCUUUCGCACCACAAAAUUCUGGAUAUGCAUAUUAUUUUGUUUUCUGUUUGCAUAUGGUCUAAUAUACUUGUAGAAAGGGUUGGGCUUCUACCCAUGCAUCUCAGGUACAAACUUCCCCUCCUAUAAAUUAUUGUAAUAGUUUCGAACUCUCUAUCUUCCGCAAAAAAAUUUAAAAAGUAAAUAAAGAAGUAAAAUUUAAAAAAUAAAAGGGGGUUUUCUAACACUUUUAUUCAUCAUGUUUACAGUUUUUGUGGCAUGCUGCUUAGCGCUUAACGAAUUCAACUGUGGUUGUGGUUGCGGUUGCGGUUGCAUAUCAAUACUAUUAUACCAUAAGUGUGGGCUUGUUUGAGAAUGUUUUUAUUUGUAAGAAGCGGUUUUACACAAUUGUGUCGAAAACCUGUUAAAGUAUUUAUUAUAAUCCAACUGCUUCUUGGAGAAUCACUCUCCGUAAAGUCAGCUAAAAAAAGUAGCCAAUCCCGUCCAUCCUCCACACUAUAUAACCCGUACACGAAAGAGGAAGCUGAGGAGAAAGCAGCCAAAAAUGCUAAGAAGAUUAUAUUUUUAUACUAUAUUGAUGUAUGACAAGUGAUAUGUACAUUUCCGGUUGCAAAUUUUGGUUCGCCGGUGUAGUGCACAUGGGAGGGGAUUGUCUAGCAUUGUUCCAAGCAGUUAGAGGCGGUCGGUUGCGAUGAUGUGUUUUCUACGGCGAGAACAUACAGGAGUCAUCAGUUAUUCUCGCAACCGUCUUCCAUAAUGAAGGACGAGAGAGAAAAAAACGAAUGUAGAAAGAAAACAUACAAGUUGGUUGACAAAAGGGGAAGAAAAAUUGAGAGAUACAGAGAAUAAGAAAAGAAGAAAAUCGAUGCAAAUUUUAAUACAUAUGUAGUAGAUCCAGGUAUCCAAAGGAUUCGGGGCUAAUGUACCUGCAUUGGUGAAAAAACAAAGAUGAGAUUUUUGGAAACGCAUCACAUGGUAGUUAAAACAUCCGGCCGUAAAUGAAGGGUUUGAGAUACGGCCAUAAUGGCAUCCCUCAGGUGUGAGUUUCUCCAUCGGAUCACUUAUUGUAAGAAUAUCAGUAGUGAAAGUUAAAUACCCAUGUCAGGAAAGGAAGUCGAUGAUGACAGAAGAGAGAUUUGGCUUGAAAAAUGUAUGAUGUUUGCAACAUGCGUCACCGGAGUAUGAACUUGAAGCUCUCCCUCUCUCCGUCGUUAAAUGUUUCGUAAGCAGCAUUGUUAAAGUUCUCUAUGUCAGGGGGGAAUCUGAAGAUGGUUUUGAAUGAAGAAGAAUGGAAAAUAUAAUUUAGAAAAUGAGAAAGAAAAUUAUAAUUGAAACUUAAAAAAUGAGAAAUAUAAAAAGAGAUUUACUAUUUUCUAGGAGGUCUUGGAGUUGGCCGUGACUGUAUGAGAGGAUAAGCUAAGUUCCAAUGGAAAGUGGAAAUUUUCAGAGCGAGAGGGUAGCGGUUUUUUCGCUUGCUCUCUUGGACUUUGGGCUUUUGGAUUGGAUUGGGCCAAUUACUUACUUAGGCCCCAUCCCAACUUAUGACCUUUUGUCGGUCUGUAUUGACUCAUGAGUCAGACUUGUAAGGCUGUCUUUAAUAAGUUGCCGCGUUUUGUCAAAACUGGUCCAUCUAAUUACAAAAUUGUAACCAUAUUAGUUGAGUGCAUAUUCUAAAUCACAUUUAGUGAAUAUUCAGUACGGGUGACACGUGGUCAAACUUGUAAGGUUGUUCAAUAAGAAGUUAUCACGUUCUCAAGAGUGGAGCUAGAGGGGAGCAUUUCCCUACCAAAGUGUUUUCCUUGUCCCCUUUACAAGGGAUUUAUGUCACCAUUAGACAGGAGAUUUGAACACAAAACCUUGAAUUGAGAGGUAAACGCUAUUACAAAGCUUCUACGAGCACCUUCUUGUUUACCAAACUUAUUGAGACUAAAUGAGGCCUUAACGCUUAUAUCUUAGGUCUUAUGAGUGCUCGUAAUACACUAAAAUGACACUUGUUUUCUGGCCAGGACAGAAACAAAAUCAUGCAGGAAAUUGUCAUGAAAACUUAAGUGUAAAAUGUGACCGGAAGAACACUAAACAGGAUAGCUAUGCUCUCUUAGUGUAAACCUUAACAAGAAAGACCAUACCGUAUCUGUCACAGUGAUAUGCGACCAUAAGCCCAACUCCAAGGAUCACCUUUCCAAGAGCUUUGAAGGCUACAAAUCAAAAGUUACAUGCAGUGAUGACAUACUCAUGAAAAAAUACAAUCAUAAAUUGAAGGAAAACAUACCGACUUCUAGUUCUGGCAAUUCACUAUCGGGCCAUAUAUUUGAACCACAGUAUGAGGGAUACCUACAAUACAGAUCACAAAUAAAAUCUGAGCAGACACAAAGUAUUAUGUUCUGUUUACGCAAAAUCUGUCAGUUCUCAGAUAGGAUAAAUAAAGAUAAACAUAUCCGAGCAUAAAGACGAUUUGUCCUGGCUAAUUCUGAAAAACCUUGUAUCAAAUGUAUGAUAGUUAUUCAUAACUAGCACAAACAACAGUUUGGCCAAACAUUACUGGUCGAGCCAUAUACUGUGUGACCUCAGACAAAACAGAUCCCACAUGUACUCAGAUUAUGAUUGAUGUCCGUAUAGACUUUUACCUUUGAAUUAGAGAUUCAUCUGUUGUAGGGGUAUCCAAUAUUGGAUUUGCAUAAAACGAGCCUUUUAACGUAUCUGCAAAACCAGAACACAAACGGACAAUGAUUGAUCCUAAGUUCUUAGAGUUUCCAAAGAAACAAAAUUUAAAACAAAGAACAUAAAGUGAUAUCAGGCUUUCCAGAUUUCUUUUCCAUGACUCCAUCCAAAAUUUAUGAGUUAUGAAUGGAAUAAUGGAGCAAAAUAUCGUCGCCAAAACAGCGCAAUCUACAAUGUACAUGAUGGAGAAAGUACAGCAACAUUACAUUAAGUUCAUGUAACCUUUGGUUUCACAUGUAAGCCUUUGGUUUAUAUUUUUAACCGAUUCGUUAAUAAAUUCUUCCUGCACAUAUAGUUUCAACCCGAAACCGAAAAUUCCAUUGUCAAACAAAUAUGUAUAAUACCAGAAUUAAGUAAAUUACAACAUAUCACCAUACCGAUACUGAUGUGAUUCAGAAUUAAGCAUUUUUAACUUAUCAUAACUGGUAAUGGAAGAGAGAAUCAGUAAUUAACACUGGUGAUUCAGAAUUAAGCAUUUUUAACUUAUCAAAACGCGUAACGGAAUCAUACACGAGUGAUUGAUAGAAUUCCCAACCCAUUUGGUCCAAAUCCUUCUUCAAUCUUCACUGACAAGUCUUUGUCCUUGUCCUGUAUCAAUCAAUCCAAAAUCAAAAAACGCAAAACUAGAAAAAUUGAAUCCUCGACAUGAUCGACGAGUUAAAACAAAACUAUGAAUAAAACAAUUAUAUUCUGUUUGGUUGCUGAGAAAAUGAAGAGAAUAACAACCAAAAAGUCAACUGAAAUAAAAUUUUGCUCAACUUUCAACGAAUUCUCUUGAGUUUCUGACCACCCAAACAGAAAAUAAAUUAAAGCCAAUUAAACCAAACUCUCAUGCUCAAUUUUCUCGGCAACCACAAACAGAACUUAGAGGGGGGAGGAGAGAGUUACUUGGAGCUCGGAGUAGGAUAUGGUGACCGGUGUGACGGUGGGGACGGCGGGGUCGGAGGACGGAGGCAUAGUUCGACAAGAAAUUUGGCGGGAAACACGGCGGUUGGACUUUGACGGUGGGGAAGAAUCCGUGGGACAGAAGAGGAAUUUUGGUGCGGAAGGAGGCAUUUUAUAUAGGAGGGAGGGAGAGAGGUUGAGAGCGAAAGGCGUGAUUGUCAAUUUCUUUUUUUUUUUUAAGGAAUAAAGAAAGAAAAGAGGUUGAGCAUCAAUUGCUUUUCCCUCCAAACCAAAGAAUAUAGAGAGUUUUAACGAAAAGUCCACGAUACUAUUUACUUUAAUGAAAAAUUAUAUUUUUACACUAAAAAAUCAAACCUGCUAUUAUUCACUUUAACCUUUAUUUUGUCUUUAUCGUUGAAACUCAAAGUUUUCAAAUCAUUUUCAUUAGUUUUCCUAAGAAUAUAUUCACGAUCACGAUGUGCGGCAAAAAUUGGUGGUGAGGACAAAUAUAUUAAAUACAUGUAAGUAUUAGUUAAAUUUAAAAUUAUUUGUGUACUAUUAAGGAUUUGUUUGAAAGUGUUUUUAAAAUGAUUGAAAGUAAUUUUGGUUAAAAUGUUUUUUAUAUCAACUUUUAGUAAAACCAAGUGGAUCCCAAAAAAACAUUUGGUGUACUUUUUUACAAAAAAUGCAAUUUUAGAAUCCAAAAUUAAUUUAAUAAAAGUGGGUUUAGUCUUUUUUUAUUAUUUUUUAUUUUAACAAAGGAUAUAAUCUAUCUUGAAGGUGAGAGGGUAGACUUAACCUCACAAUGAGCUAGCACAUUAAUAAUGUGAUUCAAAUUCGCCUUUGCGAAAAUUGAAUUUAAGACCUCUCACUUACAAGUGAGGAGGAAUGCCUUAAAUCGUAGUACUAAGUAAUGUGUUUAAUCAUUUUUAAAAGACUUUAAAACGAGCCCUAAUUUGUAUCAAAUUAAAAAAUGUUGAAUUGGCCGGAUGUAAUAUGUAUUGGGUAUUUCCUCAUUCAAUAAUAUUUACGUUGUUUUCGGCAAAAAAAGAAAGAAUUCAAUUGGAAAAAAUAAAAAAAUGGGAAAUAAGGAUAUUCUAAUUAAGGUUUUUAUUCAUUGUUUUAGGUGGAUGGUUCAUAUGAAGAUUAUGAAACACUUUAAUUCUCUAAUGUGAGGUUCCGCCUCGAUCCAAAGUUAAACAGUGAAAAAUAUAAUUAAGAUUGUUAUUAAUUAUCAAUUCAUGUAUAUUUCCCCAUGUAUUACGUUUACUAAGUUAGACAAUGAAAAAUACAUAUAAGGCGUUACGAGAAUAUGCGUGGCUGUCAAGUCUGACACGCAAAUAGCAUGCUCAACUUGUAUUACUCCCUAAGGAUUUUAUCCAAAAUUGACGAUGAGUGAACAAGUUGAAAGAUUAUGCACUACUUUAAUUAUGUAACAAGUGAAGAGUCAAUAUUCGCCAACCCGACAAGUUCCACUUUUUGUUCAUUUUCUUGACGAAACAAUCACAUUUACCCUUACGAUUCCGGGCAUAGAGUAUGUGUUGGGUUCCGUUACAGUUCCAACACUACUUAGCACCGUAGAGAAGGAAAUAAAAAGACAACUUUGGAUUUCUUACAACGUAUUGAGUCUCUCUUCAUGGCUCUUGCUGUGUUGUUCUUAUCUCACGUCCUGUUUCUCGAGCUUGGUGUUUCCGGUUGCAAAUUUUGGUUCGCCGGUGUAGUGCUCAGGGGAGGGGACUGUGUCACAUUGUUCCAAGCAGACAGAGGCGGUUGACAACGAUUGCGAUAAUGUGUUUUUCUACGGGGAGAACAUACAGCAGUCAGCAGUUACCUUUUCACAACCGUCUUCAGUAUUUGGAGGCACCUCAAGAAAUUGUCGAGGACAGAAUGUAGAAAAGAACAAAUAUCGAAGUUGAUUGACAAAAGGGGACGAAAAAUUGAGAGAUACAAAAAAGAGGAAGAUAAGAAGAAAUUCGAUGCAAAUUUUAAGCUUGAUUAGUUAUUUUUCAUUAAUGAGCGAUACAGAGAAGAAGAAACAGCUGCAUUUGGAGAUAGCCGCUUUAGUUGCCUAGUUUGUAACAUUAGCUUUAUGUAAAUCCGGGGAAGAAACAGGAGUAAAAAAAACACAAUCAGGCAGUACCAAAGAAGAAAAAUGUACAGUUAGGAACAAUCACCACUUCUCAAACUUUGUAGUAGAUCCAGGUAUCCGAAGGACUCGGGGCUAAUGUACCUGCAUUAACCAGAAACAAAUAUCAGAUUUGUGGAAGGGAGUCGCAUAGUAGUUAAAAUACUUGGCCGUGCGUGAAUGGUUUGAGAUACCACCAUAGAGGCAUCCUCCAGGUGUGAGUUUCUCUCGUAUCCGAUAACUUAUUGUAAGAAUAUUAGCAGUGAAAAAGAAAUACCUGUGUCGGGAAAGGAAGUCAAUGACAAAAAAGCAAUUUGGCUUGAAACAUUGUGUCCCCGUAUGGAGCUUGCAACAUGCAUCACGGAAUCAACUUGAAGCUCUCCACCUCUCCAUCUGUUAUGUUUCAUAAGCAGCAUUGUUAAAGUUCCAUCUGUUUGUGGGGAUAUACCUACAGAUCCUCCUCCUGGAUUCUUUGCCUCUAUACGUGAAAACCCAACAUCUGGGAACAAACAAAUUACAUUCUCUGGCAUAGCAAGAACAGUCCUCUGAAAUGUAUCCAUACAAAGUUAGGACACAACAAAUUCAAUAAGGCAAUGUAAUUCACAACAUUGACAAUCUCUGUCUGACAAGGCAAUAAUACCUCUGUAAUGAUCCGGUAGCGACCGUGACCUGAUAGGCCAAUACCAAAGCCCACUGUUAUGCCAUCCAUGAAGCUUAUAUGGGCUUCUUGAACUCAGAGAGUUUGCAUAUUAGAGAAUACUCAGCAGUGAAUACCUGAAAAACGUGCAGCACAAAUAUCAUAUCGGCAGCCUCUCAAAUCUUAAGAAAACUACAAAUGGUAUCUUAGAAUAGAAAUGAAUCCUCUCCAACCAAUACAAAUCAUAUUACCCAAGUUCAAGCAAAAUCAAGAUUAAACAAAUGAUCAGAUUUGUAGGUUGCCCGAGAAUGUCAAACAUGAUAUUACAAAAGAAAAAAAAAUAUUGUAUGUAUUGAUAUUAAUAAAUACAUGCUGAAAGCACAAUCUUAGCCGCAAUUUUCGCCCAUGAGCGGUAGGUCUCGGGUUCGAGACUUGGGAGCAGCCUCUCCAUAAAUUGGGGUAAGGCUAGCCGACAUUCACCUCUCCCAGACCCUGCGUAAAGCGGGAGCCUUGUGCACUGGGUACGACCUUUUUUUUUAUACGAGAUUGAAUAGCCAAAGCAAUUAAAGAAGUAGCAGAACUCAUAUAAGUGACUUUCACAUUGAACUUUUAGGCUUAUCAACAAAUACAUCAUUAUGAUUCUAAUACAUGAAUUUUGUUAAAAGGGCUUGCUUGCUUGUAUUAAGGCUUAAUCAUCAAUGAUUUUGCAAGGGUCAAUCGUAUUGCUAGUUAUAAAUAUAUUCACUAUGAAAAUUACCAAAAUUACAUCUAAUAUGGUAGUGAAGGAAGUCAUCUUAUAUUAUCUUGAUUUUAGAAAACUGUGUAAGGUUAUAAGUCUGCUAUUAUAUAUAGUUAAAAGGACACAAUUAGACCUCAAUCAUAUUCGGUGGUUGGUUUUUGGUCGUGAUCUGCUUCACAUCACCGCCUGCAGGUAAUCUAAAUCUGGGUUAUUACUUAUCAACAUAGUUGCCAGAUACGGAUACAGUUCGAGUUCCUGAUUCGGUUCGGGUACGGAAUUCGAUGGUAACCUAAAGUAUCAUUCGUUAGAGAGUAUACAUAGACAGCACGAUAUUUAGUUCGAUCCGUUCUUAAUUCGUUAAAAAUAUAAAUUAAAAAUAUUUAUAAUAUACAUUUUACAAUAAUAUUUAUAGUUAUUGUAAACAACUAUUUUUGUUUAAAUUGAUUAUUUUAUAAGCAACUAGUUAUUUACCCAGAUGGGUCCCCCCCCCCCACUAACACAAUAAAAAAAUGUAAAAAUUACAAUUAAACUAAACAUUUUCUCUUCGUCUGCCCUCUACCUGAUGGAGAGCUUCCCAAAAUUCCAGUUGUUUCCAUCCUCUCUUCUCAAAAAAUUAAAGGUGUUUUUUCUUUUCUGUAUUCUGAUUAAAAAUUAUUAAAGAUUAUUGGAUGAAUCACCGAACUGACCACCGAAUCCAAAAAGUACUGGUGCGUACGUACCGAUACGGGAUUCGGACACCAUUUCACCGAAUCCGGCAACUAUGCUUAUCAAUGAAUCAACGUGCCAACUUAAUGGACACCAUCUAUCUCUAUAUGGCAAAAAAACAACACAAAAAUGAACAAUGAAGUGAAACAAUAAACAACAUGACGUGAAACAGCAUGAACAUCAAAGACUAACUUUGGUUCAAAGCAAAGCGUAAUGUAGAAACCUUCGGCAGAACAGGGGUGUUUUUGUCCUUUUGAAACAACCACUUUAAUAUCCUUUCCUGCAUUUACCAUGAUUGGUCACUCUUAAAACCUUACCUAAGAGACCCAAAAACAAAAAUAACCGCCGAAAGAGCUAAACAUACAUAUCUAGAAAAACUUAUUUAACUGCAUGCUAAAAUGGAAGUGUAAAAUUGCCAGGAAAGAUAAGAAACUAUUCAAAUACGAGUUCUGGGCGUUACCGCCACAAAAGGCACGACCCGAGCGGCUAUCAACAAGAACACACUUCACAUUUGUGUCAGCUUCCCCUUCAUCUAGAUAGCUCUUGUAUUUCACAUCCAUAUCUGCAUUUUCCAACAAUUCCCACUUAAACUGAAACACAUAAUUCUUUGGAAAAAAGCUAACUUCUUCGAAAUUUGAAUCCAACGUUUCGUCUUAUAACAAAUGCAAUACCAUAGAUUUGUAAUCAAUACGAUGCCAUAAAGUUCAAGCUCAAAAAUUCAAAUCAGCUCCAAAUCAAAAGCAUUUACAGAUACAUACAUAUAUACAUGUGCGUGUGUGUGUGUUUAUCUACAUACCUAGGUUCAUGGCGUUGAGAGCUCGGGGGGCGACCGAGGGUGAUGACGGCGACGCCAAUUGGGUGGAUGCUGCUCUUGACGAACGCGUCGGCGGCGGCCAUGAUCCCGAAGGGGCGGAGGAGGCGAGGGGAUUUGGAGGGUUUGUAAAGAGGGAGGUUCGAAUUUGGAUUGAGGAAGAAGAAAGCGGACGACGAUUUGCUCAGAAUUUGGGUCGCUCCUCCCAAUAAGCUUCCCAUUACUUCCGUUCGAGAGUGACUCUGUCAGUGUAGAGAGAGAUAUAAUUUUUGUGCUUCUAGACCGGACUACCCUUGAUAUUUCGAUUAAAUUACCGGGAAAAAAGAACUGCCGCGGUGGCUCCAGAGGGAAACUUGAAAUUUGAAAGAAAUUUGAAAGAAAUAUGAAAUAUGGACUUGCCUUCAUUUAUCGAACUGAUUGUGAUGAUGACGAUGCAUCACCACCUUGAUUGUGCCUCUGGAUCAAAAACACAUCUUCAGGAUCAAAACCGUGCAUAUUUUCCUUCAGAGGUUUGUCCCAUACUAGAUUAACCCCUGUUCCCUUAAUUGUCACAUAAUGAAUUUUUUUGAAUGCCUCUGGCAUUUCAAAAGUUACAUCAACUUUAUCCCCGCUUUGCAAAUUGAGCUUAUCGUUCGAUAUUUGUCCUUGCCAAAGAAAACAUUCUUUAAAUACAAUAUCGCGCAUUUUUAUAACCCAAUCUUCCUUGCUUAUGCAGGUGUGCAACUCGAUACGCUUGGUAUUAUUUAUAUCAAUACUGGCACGAUGAUGACCAUUCCAUCUGAUACAAGUUCUUGGCUGAUAAGGAUUGAAGCAGUAAAGGCAUAACAGAGUCAGCCCUUCAAACUUACGACCAUCACUCAGGGGGAUAUCAAAACUGACUUUAUUACCAUCGUUGACAAACUCGAACCAAUCAGGAACAUAAUUCCCAUUGAGAAAAAUGCCACCAUAUCCGCAAGAAGUCCAUCCCUAUAUACACAGUGCAAGUGUCAUAUAUAUAUACAUGUACAUGUGCGUUGUGUGUGUGCAUGUGCCCAAUAGGAAGACAAUUAAAAAGAGAGAUACCUUUAGGAUGUUCCUCCUUAAAUCAAUCCUGAGUUUGGUGCAGUUACUCAUAUCAAUCCAUGUCAUGGAGUUUAAUGACUUAUCCAAGUCUGGAACCUCAGUGAGUGCGUGUGAAUCACUUACAUCCAGUUCUCUCAUAUUCGACAUUUUCGAAAAAUUGGGCAUUGUUACCAAACAAUAGCAACUAGAUGCACCCAGAAAUUUCAAAUUUGUUGGUAAAUCAUAGAUUGUAUGAAGGUAACGGCAGUUACUUAACUGCAAACUUUCAAGAUUUGAAAGAUCACUGAGGAUGGGUAGGGUAUGAAAAUAAUUACCCGAAAGAUUCAAACCUUGUAAAGAAAUUAGACUCCCAAAACCUUUUGGGAAUGCAUCAUCGCUUAAUCUGCACCAUGAGAUCUAAAUUUCUUAAAGAAUCUAAGCCGUGUAACGAAUCGGGAAAUUGCAAAGGAAACUUCGAUUGCACACGCUCUAGAGAUAAAUAAGUGAGAUUUUUCAAUCUUACUGUGGAACGCGGUACUUGUCUUAUGGCUGUGGUAGAUGCUCUAAGUUCUCUCAAUGAUGUCAUCUUCCCUAAAUCCUCGGGCAGUUCACUGAAUUGACAACAUAGAUAAAGAUCAAGAAUCUGAACGGAUUUGGACUCGUAGAAAUCCCCAGGAAGAGAAUUAAGAUUCUUGCAGGCUAUGAAGUUCACAAAAGAGAGUUUUUUAAGAUGACCAAUGGAGGGGUGAAUCUCGGACAAUCUCUCACACCUUUCCAAUAUCAAAUCUUCAAGAUUUGGGAGAUUUGAUAAGUCUGGUGAUUUUUUUAAGUCCUGGCAAUAACUGAGAUUAAGGAUUUUCAAGUUUCCAAGCGACUGUUGCAAAAUCAAAGGAAUAUUAAAAUUAAUAUCCAAAAGGAAUAUCUCAUAUAAAAAAGAGAAGUAAAUAAAAAAAACAAAUAGAAACAUAACAUCAUGAUGUGUAAUCGAUUGUACCUUGGAGCCCUCCCAAACUUGUACCAGUUUGCUAUUCGUUAUCUCUAAAAUAACUAGUCUUGGUUGAUCAAAGAAGUCAUCUGGUAUAGACUUUAAGGGGCAUCCUUCCCAAAGCAACCAUAUUAACUCUUUGGGGAGAUGUUUGUAUUCUCCAUUGAGCUGCACGUUGUAGAGCCUGAGCAGUCUCAGUUUCUUCAUGAUGGCAAAUGCUUCUGUACUGAAACUAGGCAUGUUAGAGCUUGGAGGCAAAGAAGGGAAAUAUGGUGCUAGCCAUUCAGGGAAAGGAGGGAAAUAUAGUGCUAGUCCUUCAACUUCUUCAGUUCCCUGUUAACAAAAGGUUAUAUUAAUGUGUAAGAAACGGAUUAUUUGCAUACGUUUACAUGUAUGAGUACAUGCAAGUACUAUCGUUGGCUAAUUGAGAUGAAUGUUACUUAUUGUAUAAUUCACACCCGUGAGUUAUAUGUGCUUUUCGUGUACAAUGCAUUAAUUCAGAAUUUUAUUGGGAAUGUACUUACAGAUUUAUCUCUCAAUACAUUAGUGACAUCUUGAUGGUUCCACAACCUACUCCAUUCUCUAGGGGGACGACGGUAAUUACCAGAAAUGAUUACUUUGGCCAUUUCUCGAAGCAAAUCAUGCAUAUUCAACUUGUUGUCUUCAACAGUUAUAAGGCAUCGUUCACGGAGGUCAUUGAUUCCUAUUGUUGCAAAAAAGUUACAUCCAUCUAAUAUUUUUGCGACAUAAUCCUUUUUCCAUCCAAUAAAGAAACAAGAUAUGUCAAGGAAUAUAUCCCUCUGGGUAGGAUCUAGCCUUUCAAAGCUUACUCUUAGCGGUUUCAUUAUUCCUUCAUUAGGAAUUUUUUUCAAUUUCUCCAACUGGCUUUUCCACUCUGUUGGGGAUCUUUCAACCAUAGAAGAACCUAAAACUUCAAGGGCUAGUGGCAAACCACCACAGUAAGAAACAACCUCUUUUGAGAGUUCAAGAUAUCCUUCAUUAGGCCUACUAUUUCCAAAGGCAUGCCAACUAAAGAGCUUCAGAGCUUCUUCUUCAUUCAUUUCCUUAAGUGGAUAUGUCUUGUCCACUUUCAUGUUCACUUGCUUUAGUAAACGUUCAUCUCGUGUCGUUAUGAUAAUUCUACUUCCUGGGCCAAACCAAUCACGAUUUCCAGCUAUUGCAUUUAGUUGUUCCACUUUGUCUACAUUGUCAAUAAUGACAAGUACGCUUCUACGUUGGAGAUGAUUUUUUAUCAGACUGAUACCUUCAUCAACACUGGUUAUCUUAGACUUGUUCCGUUUCAAGAUGUCAGAAACAAGUUUGCCUUGCAAAUCAGCCAGAUCAUAUUCACUAACGUUGGCAAGGAAGCUUUUGAAUUGGAACUUAUGAUGAAUUUGGUUAUAAAUGGCUUUGGCAGCUGUUGUUUUACCCAAUCCGCCCAUCCCCCAAAUUCCAACCAUGCGAACUUCUGAUCCACCACUUGAAAGAUAACUGAUAAUAUCUUGAACGCGAGAAUUGAUUCCAACCGGGUGCUUGGCCACAUGUAAUUUGUUUGUGCUUAGAAGCCAUUCCGGAAUAAUCUUAUCAACAAUUUCUCUAAUCAGCUGUGCUUCGCACCUGAAAAUUGAAUUGGUAAGCUUAGUAGGCUUAGUAGGAGCCAUUAGAACAUAAACAAUUUUCCUUCUUUCCUUCGUGUGUGUGUGUAUACACACACACACACACACAAUAACUAGCUACUAGCUAAUAUGUGAUUUUGUGACCAACUUGAAUAGAAGAAACAAUUUCAUGCAUUGAUUUAUUAAAGUUUGGUGUAUCAAUUAAACUCCAAUUAUGGUUUAGAUUUUAAAGGAAAUUGGAGAAAUGGUCCCUGAACUAUGAUCAAAUUGUGGCUUUGGUUCUUAAAACUUUAAAUUAUUAAAGUUAACUCUCUCCCACCUCCCUCCCACCUCACCUCCUCCAAACCCCAGCCACACCAUUGUAGCACUUUCCCAACAGCCAAAACAAAAGAAAGUUUCUAAUCCAAAUUUGGAACACAUCUCCCCUUGCAAACAAAUUCACAAUGACAUCCAUCCACGCUAUCUCGAAAGGUAAAAUUCAAGAAAUUUGUGGGAUGCGGGAUCGGGGUUAAAGUGAAGGCUGUGGUCCAUGGGCUAUAGGUUGGGGCCGGCUGGGGAGUGGGGAUUAGGGAUUGGGGGUUGGAAGUGGGACGUUGACGAGGUGUGAAUCAACGAUUGAAGGUGAAGGGGUGGGCUGCGAGCCUGCGAAUGUUGGUGGGACGAGGUAGGCCUGCAAUUAUAUAUAUAUAUAUAUAUAUAUAUAGGUGAAACUAACAUGUAAAGUUGUAAACACUUUCAACUAAAACUUAAAGAUAUUGGUUACGAAGGACUAACGCUCCAUAUUAUCAAGUUCAAGGACAAAAUAUAAUGAAUUUUUAGUUUAGGAACCAAACUACAAUUUUCCUGUAGAUUUUAAAUGAGAGAUUAAGGUGUAUUAAUUAAGCAUGUUAAUUAGAGUAAUACAACUUAAAUAUUGAAAUGUAGGAGAAUGAUUACCUAUUAUCAGUGAUUUGAAGAUGGUGGCCAGACAAAUUUGCAGCUUUUGUAAGAGCCUCUCCCCACUGCUUUACCCCUUGUUUAGCUUCACGUUUCUUGUCAUCCUUUUCUUCACCGAUGCCUUCUUUGUGCUUCUGAAAUUCUUCGGCCAACUUUGCAGCUGUUGUAAGAGCCUUUCUCCACUGCUUUACCCUUUCUCGUUUAUCUUCACGUUCCUUGUCAUCUUUUUCUUCACGGAUGUCUUGUUUGUGCUUCUUAAACGCUUGGGCUAAAACUCCGUUCUGCUUCCUGACAUGUGAAGGAUCAACAUGAUAGAAUAUUGGCAAAACAUGUCGCCCCAGUUUGUCUCUGCACUCCAUGAUCUUCACCAGCUCGUUAAGACACCAACUCGAAUCCGCAUACCUCUCUGAGAAGACAAUGAUAGAGAUCUUCGAUUCUUCGAUUGCCUGGAACAGUUCUUUUUGUAUUUCUUCCCCUCUUUCUAGAUCAUCCUCAUCGAUAUAAGCCUGGUAUCCCUUGUCUGUUAAUGCCGCAUGGAGGUGGCCCGUGAAACCAUUGCGUGUGUCUACACCGCUGAAGCUCAAGAACACGUCGUAAUUCCAAAGUUUUGACUUGGAGGAGAAUGAAGAGGAGGCUUCGUGGGUUGUCAUGGUGGUAUCCACCGUUAUGGCACUGUAGUUGUUCAGAUCACGACUAAAAAAUGGCAGUAGUUGUGUUCAUACUGUCGAACGGAUGAUCCUGAAAUACCUAAACCCAAGUCAAGCUCCUUCAGUCAACAAGAACAAAUAUUAUAUAUAAUAAUGUUGGCCGGAAGGUGCAGAGAAAGGGAGAGGAAAAGAGAUAAGAAAGGAACGAAAGGAAUGAAAGGACAAAGACUAUCCAAAAGAUUCUUGGCUGUGAUUACAGCUAUUCAUAGGAGAAACAACGGACAUAUUUUUAUAGGAGAAACAACCUGCCCAUCUUCAUAUAUAAUGCAUUUCAAUAGGAGAAACAACUUUAGUUUGUACUAGAAUUUUUUACCCGCGCGUUGCUGUGGGAUUUGAAAUUGUAUGAAAGAUUAUCUUUGAAAUAUAUAAUAGAUUGUGUGAUCGAAGAUUAAUACUAUUUACAUUGCAAAUGUUGAAAAAAGUUUUACAUACAAAAGAUUUUACGAUACAAUCCACAUACAAAAGAUGGUAAAUUUUUUUCUAUCUACAACAUGCAUUAUGUUAUGGAAUGAUAUAUAUAACUAAGUGCCAGAAUACAUAACUUCAUAACUUAUAUUUUUUUUGACAAAUUAAUCACAUUCAACUGUGGGAUAGCAAGGUUGCCUAUAAAAUUGUGAAGUCAUGGAAGCAUAAAGGACAAAUAACAAAUGAGUUUUGAGAAAUUAUUCCACAAAUGUCAUUCUGCAAAAUGUAUUAAAGACGAUUGGUAUAAGAUUAGUAAUCAUGAGUAGUGUAACAACAUCAACAAAGUAACUAUAAACCAUAGUUGAACAUAAUCCAAAUAUCGUUUGCAAAAACAAAAGAAAAAGAAAACAGACUUACAAUAAUUCAGCCUUCAAUCCUGAAGUCCUACUCAAAGAGCCAAACUUGAAUGCAAGCUUUCUGAAAUCUUCCAAACAAUACAGAUAAAAAGGUAACACCCUAGUCAGAAAUGAACCGAGCUGCUAGCUUUCAAAGAAACCCAGAUGACAAAAUAAAAAAAUAGAAUGGAAAAAUGACUUGCACAUUUAAGGCUUGCUCGAAUCUUGAUCUAAAAUUGGUGGCGGGUUGAUUGUUGGUCACCAACUCUAAAUAAAGAAUUCAUCAGAACCUAGAAAUUUAAACAAAGAAUUUUCCAAAAUCAACAUUUACUAAAAACCAGUUACUUGGUUAUCAUGCAUGAUGGCUUGCCAAAGACUGAAUUAAGGAAUGCACAACUUUACUUUUAUGAUUAUUUUCAAUGACAGCUAAAAGGUCAGAUCCAAAUGACAGUUAAAUUCCUUUUCUACAAAGUUCGAAAUUAUAUGGCAGUUUGGCAUCUGUUGAAUAACAUGGUUGAAAGAUUUAAAAUUGAUACAUUCAAUUUUUAUGUGUAAAACUAUAACAUAUACCUAAAGCUAUUUGGUCUAUAUAUCCAUAUCAAUCAUGUUGUAAUUAAAUGUUUAUCGAUGUAAAUAGAUGAUUUCAGUCAUGUGAUAACAUGUUUCUUGAUGGUAUACGCUGAAGUUUGGUCUAAGUUGGAUAAAAAUCGACCAAAAUCUUAGUAAGAGACUCUUUUAACUUUUAACCAAAAAAUGAGCACCACAAUACUACACUUAUAAGUUUUUAUCAUGCACAAAAUAUACAGCACUGAUAGCCACUUUUAGAGCAAGAACAAUACUUUACCAGACGAAAACAACAAAACACUCAAAACCCAGAAACAAAAACACACUUAGGACUCAAACUCCUCAAAAACAUGAGAAAGAGAGUGCGUGAGGAGAGAGAAUAAAAAAAAAUAUUAUUUUUCACAAACUCAAAAUUGUUUAUAAAAUUACAAAUCAAAACAAAUGAAAAUCCAAAAUUGCCCUAAAUUAAAUCUGUUUAGUUAAAUGUUUAUUGCCCUUCAAAUGUUAUUACACCUGACAAUUGCUUUGAAGUUGAUAUUUUGGUCAAUCCAGGGGAAAAGGAGUUAUUGCUUUUGGAGCAGUUGUCAUGGAGAAUCCCAUCUCCAUGUUAAAUAAAAAAAGGUCGUACCCAGUGCACAAGGCUCCCGCUUUACGCAGGGUCUGGGAGAGGUGAAUGUCGGCUAGCCUUACCCCAUUUUAUGGAGAGGCUGCUCCCAACUCUCGAACCCGAGACCUACCGCUUAUGGGCGAAGACACUUGCCAUCGCACCAAGUGGCCACAAUAAUUUAGGAGGCCCUUCUCUCCAGAUUUUCUCAAUAACUUUCCUUUUCGUAGCUGGUAAGAUUGCAACUCCAAGAAUUGCUCUGAAGAGAUAUAUACAAACAAAAUCAAACUAAAACUAAGCUAUUGGAAGAAAUUUACAAAACAAAAACACAAUUUCAACUCAGAGUUAAAGUCAACAGAAACCAAAUGGUACAAGUUGACAAAAUAUAUGGUCAUGAAUCGAGAACUUCAUCAAACUAACAGCAAUAAAAUCUCCUAUAAUCUGUCUAAAACCAAAAAAGAGAGAGGUAAUUUCAAGACCUUGUAACGCUGAGGCCUCGUACAGUUGUAGUAAUAAUAUAUGGUUGAUGCACCUGUUGCUCAAUCAAAUCCUUUGUCUGGCUAAAAAAAUAAAAAUCUAUAAAUACAUUCACGUCCAAUUUAUGAGAAAUCAUGGGAAAGCAAAUGCACUGAUAACGGAAUCAUGAAUAUGAAGAACUUGCCAAAAAGAAAAAGAAAACUUCUUGUAGUGUGCCAAGAACAUCCUCCUACUCCUAGCAAAUUUUUUAUGGCAUUAUCCACUUCUCAAUUCAUAAUUCAACCAGUAACUCAAAGUCUAUAGUGUAUGAAAAAGUGAUAUCUUAGUUGAUCUCGAUGAUAAUUAAGUAGAUUAAAUGACGACCCAUAAAGCAUACAAAUUCAGAAAAGAAAAGGUUGAAAACUGCCAUAAGAAAACGCAGAAUAUAUAAAUGGGAAAUCAAAAGAAGAGAAGCGAAAAAGGAAGAAAAAACCAAACAAAAUUAUUAGGUUUGGGAUAUACCUUUAUCCGAAAGGCCACAACCAUCAAAGUCAAACAUAAACAAUCCAAAAAUUUGUGGAAAAUAACAAUAAAUGCUUAACUAAAAAUGAAAGAAAACGUAGAAUAAGUUUACCUGUUCUCCCCCUAAUUAAACUGGAAUACAAUUCACCACUAAUAUUCUUGUCAUCCUCUUCAGCCUGAAAAAUUUAGUAGAAAUAUUCAAUGAAGACGCUUAAUGGAGACAGUAAUAUUAGCAAUGGAGGAAUUGAAUUGAUAACUAAAACUGCAAGACCAAAUGACUACAAUAGGUUCAAAACAGAAACUCGUCUGUUAGAUGUCUCAUCUUUAGGCAGUGCCUUGUUCUUUGUUGCAUGUCUUGUGAAGUUCAUGUAAAUCAACAAAAUUGAUACUUUGGACACACCAACAAUGGAGAGGUAAAAAGUGAAAAACAGAAGGAAUGUCUUCAGAUUUGUAAUGGAUUUUGCAAGUCAGAAAUUCUGUUCGAGAAUUUGCAACCCAGAAAGUCCACCAGCAAUUAUUAACAAUCACAGAUAAGCACCGAAUGAAGGCCAAUCUAAUACAACAACAACAACAACAACAACAAAGCCUUUUCCCACUAAGUGCGGUCGGCUUGAAGGCCAAUCUAAUACGCCAAAAUAUUCAGGGCACUAAAGAACUUAUUGCCCAGUAUCAACGAUAGAUAAGCACAUGUGAAACUAAAGAAAUUUUUCAUUACUAUCAACUCCAAAAAAGAUAACCUAUGCAAUCCAAAAAAUGUUGAUACAGAGUUGGAGUAUCGAUGCUUGAAAUUGGUAUUUGAACCACCAACUACCUCCGUGAAUAUGUUUGUUUGCUUAAUGGUUUGGGUUGAAGUUGCGAAAGGAAAUAUAAUUUCUUAAAAGGAGAGAAUGCAGAGACAAUACAGAAUGGUUCACGUGGCCACCUCAAAACAGAUUGACAAUUAAGCUUCAUUAUGAAUGGAAAGAUUAAUAGAUGAUAAUUAAGAAGGCCUGAUACCCAAGCCGAAAUCAGAGAUAUCCUUUGUAAACAAAGAGAUUGAGCAUUUCCACUAAAAAAUAACCUUUUUUGUGAGGGGUGGGAUUGGGUGGAAGGCUAGAUAAAGACAUCAAAUUUUAUACUUAUUGCAUGCAAGGUAUGCAACAGCCUCCCGCCGAUUAAAAAUCCCAGAAAUAAAAGAAAUCGAAUCAAGAAAGAAGAUAAUUGCACAAUAAUUACACCUUCACUAAGAAAAUAAAUUAUAAAAUCGAAGACCGUGAGAAUAAUGUCUUAUACAUUAAGCCUGCCAAUUACUAAAAACAAAACAUUUUGCCAUGAGGAGAAGUAAGAACAUACCCAAACUUGUUUGCAAAUAGAUGAGAAAAAUUUAUACCUGAAACAGAUGGAAAAUUUAUUAGGAAAGAUAAAUCAGCCCACAUGUGUGUAAUCUAUAUACAAAAAACCACUCUUUUCAUUAACCAAAUCGUUUCACAAAUCCAAAAACACAGAAUUAUAUCUUGAACAAUGCCAAUUAAUGAUUUCCCAUUUACUUAAGCCCAACAUCAAAGCCAAUGAACUGAUGAAAGAGCGAAAAUGAGAAACAUAAAACCUCAAUUAAGCAAUUAAAUGGAGUAUUACUUGAUAGAGCUGGAAAAUUACCCAGUAAGAUUAAAAAAAAGAGAGAUGAGAUGGAGUGAGAAUCACAUACCGGCAUCACCUUUAAAUAUGUAGUGCUCCUCAGAGAGAGGAUCAAGAGUGACUGAUGAGAGGGCAGAGAACGAAUGAUUGAGAAAUUCAAGCUCUGAGCUCAAAGUUGGGGCCUCCACUUUCCAACUGGGGAAGAAAUAACAGAGAAAACACAGAGAGCCAAUCCACCAAAACUAUUAAUCAAAUGGGUUCCGUCUAAUUCAAAAUUUGGACCACCCAAAUUCCGAUGAAGCAAUAACCAUUCAAAAUUCCAACAGAUUGAAGCCCUCACAGACUACAAAUUAUCAAUACCCAGCAAUAAAAAAUUUGAAAACAGUAAUAAUGAAGGAAAAAGAAAUUAAAGCCGCAAGCCAUUCUCUAAAUCUCAGGCACCAAUCCAAAUCACCAGUAAUUUGCACAUAAUGAUAAGAAUCUAGCAGUAUUUCCAUUGUUUAAAACCCAAAUUCAAGAAAUCAUGAAAAAUGGAAACUUUAUAUAGAAAUUGAAGCUUUACCUGCAGAUCAGCAGCAGCAAACGGAAUCCAACGGCAUGUACCUCAAAAGUGAGAGAGAGCUGAGAGAUGAGUAAGAGAAUCGGUAAACAAAACCCCCAAAAUCACAGAAGGAAAUUUAAACAGAAAACAAAUUUGCAAAUCCAAAAUCACAAAAACGAAAUUGAAACACGAAAGCUGUAAAACUGACCAGGAACGCUAGCUUUUCUGGGUAAAAACUUUAUUCGAAUCGAAUAGAAGAACCGAGGAAAGUUCUACUGGUUCAGUGGUUAUUCCAGCAAGAAAGCACCUUGUUUGUAAUUCGUGAGAGGUUGGAACUUGGAGAGCGAGAGAAGCCGAUUUGGGAGCCAAAGAAAGCGAGGUUGGAGAACGACGGAAGCUGAGAAUUGCGAGAGAGAAAAACGAAAAGGAAAGGAAAAGCGGAGAAAAAGUCACGAUUAUCGAAGCGUGCGAAAAUGAACGGGGAAUGGGGAUCUGGCUGAGGGAGACAGAAUUCGAGAAAGCGGAAUGAAGAGAAUCGAGAAGAGGAGGAAUCAUUUUAAGCGGAUGAUCGACGCGUGGGAAGUAAACUAUUAUUUACAAAUCUAAAGCAUUACCCGAACUUAUAAUACAAUAGCUACUUUGACAGAAGAAAAGAUGGAGAGUGAGAUGAUUGCAUUCCUUUUCAAAACAACUUUUAAGAUUCCAUAAUAAACUAAUAUAUAUGAAGAUGUGCCCCGUGGUAAAAGAGAGGAAGGAAAGAUUAUCAAAAGUUUAUUGUUCGUGAAUCGUGAUUACAGCUAUUCAACUUUUGUAAAUUUUCUUAACAUGAGUGAGAUUUGCAUUCUUUUUCAACCGAACUUCUUUUGAUUUCAUAAUAGAUUAUUAUACGAAGGAUAAAUGCUUAACAGAUUCUCUCAAAAUCGAUGCUUUUCAUGAACUUUUUAGCUAUCUUAUGUUUUUAGACUUAAUUACACUAACACUUUCUGUGGUUUAAGAUAGUCUUACGUUUGAAAUAUUACACUAACAUCCUUUUAAUGUAAUGUCUCAAACGUAAAGGAAUUUUGUGAAAACUCGACUAACUUUAGGAGUGUUAGUGUAAUUAAUCUAUUUUGUGCAAAUAUUGUAAAAUAUUUUACCAAAUACAUUAAGAGCUCGUUUUGAUGUGUUUUUAAAAUGACUAAAAACGUUUUUAAAUAAAAUAUUUUUUUGUUCCAAAAGCACUUAAAUUGUUUUAUGCAAGAAGCACCAGUUAUGUGCUUAUUCCAGAAAGCACUUUAAAUGUUUUUCUAGAAUUUACUUACAUUUUUAUUAAGGAUUGGUUUAAAAAACAUUUUCACAAAAAACGUUUUCAGUUAUUUUAAAAACACAUCCAAACAAGCACUAAGUAGCGGAUAGUUUAUAGACACUUUCACUUUAAAAAGUAGGGAACUUUAACGAAAAGCACCCGGUACUGUUCACUUUAACGAAAAACCAUAUUUUUACACUAAAAAAUCAAUCUUGGUACUAUUCACUUUACCCUUUAUUUUGUUCUUAUCAUUAAAACUCAAAAUUUUCAAGCCAUUUUCAUUAGUUUUCUUUAAAAAGUAUUCUUGCAUAUUUCUAACAGACAUGUACGGUGGAAAAAGAUCACUUCAUAAUUAAAUAUUAUGUUGUUGAUUACGCCUCUCUCUAUUUGAUUAAGUUUCUUUUCACUCUUCUCUAAAAAAUAAUGGUUUCUUUUCACAUUAUUAAACCGUUGUAAAGUAAACUUUUUUUUUGUAAAAGUGUUUUUAAUUAAAAAAAGUAAUGUCAAAGUGUUUGGUAAAUUUUUAUAUAAAUUACUUUGAAUAUAUUAAAUAACUAUAAAAUAUAUACUAUUUAAUGUGAUAUAAUAAUUGUCAAAGACAAUAAUGUAUGAGCAAAAAUUGUAAUUUGUAAAACAUGUAGAGGUAUACUAUUUGAAAAGUUCAUUAAAUGAGCGUUAAUUAUUAUACUUUGAAAAAGAAAAAAAAAUAUACUUUUUUAGAAGCAUAGUACACCCUACUUCUCAUUUUCUGUACUUUUUUCUACUUUUAUUGACAGUAGUUUAAUAAGUUGCUUUCUUUGAGAGUACUCAAACCAAUCCUUAAUAAGUGACCAUUUUGAACUUUCUUGGCGCCAUCGGUGUGGAGGGAGAGAAAAGAAACUAGCGCAAAACUACAGACACUCGAUUCGUUGUAAUAUAUAAUAAAAAAUAAUAGUCACGUAUAAAAUAUGGUACAAUUAUAGUUCUGGCAUAUGUCUCUACCAAAGAUAAUCGCCGUGUCUUUCAAAUUUGUUGUUAAAUUGGGGACAACAUGAAGAUUUUCACACUAAUCUAAGUACAACGUUUCAAACCUUGAAAGACCACUAAAGCUUUGAAAAGUCUGGUGAUUUUGUUAGGUCAUGUGAAUGACUGAAAUUAUCGAUUUUCAACUUCCCAAGCAACUAUUACACAAAAUAUAAUUUAAAACUCAAGAGGAGGAAUCAAAAUCGAUAGUGUCUUCAACUUAACCACUAAUAAGUGUAGAGUACAAAAGACCAUGCAAUUAGUAGUUGUGCCCUUCAACAAAAAGAGAAUCACAAUGUUAGUUGGUCACAUCACAUGCCCAAGGAAAACACGGUACAAAAGCACUAAAAGCGUCCAAGCGAAAGUGCUUUCUUCUCAUGUAGUUUCAUUUAACUUAUUUUACCACAACAGUAAAUAUAUUUUACCACUGCGCCAAUUACGAAAAUGAACGGGGAAUGGGGAGCUGGCUGAGGGAGACAGAAUUCGAGAAAGCGGAGUGAAGAGAAUCGAGAAGAGGAGGAAUCGUUUUAAGCGAUGAUCGACGCGUGGGAAGUAAACUAUUAUUUACAAAUCCAAAGCAUUACCCGAACUCAUAAAGAUGCUCUAAAAACUUUCAAAGAUUCCACAAUUUCUGUUUGAUUUCAUAAUAAACUAUUAUACGAAGGAUAAAUGCUAAAAAUUAGUCUCAGGAAAGCACUUUGUUUGUAAUUCGUGAGGUUGGACAGCGAGAGAAGCCGAUUUGGGAGCCAAAGAAAGCGAGGUUGGAGACAGAAUUUGAGAAGCAGCUUCCUGAUUUUUUUUUUUUUAUGAGAGAAGGCGGAAUGAAGAGAAUCGAGGAGAUGAAUCAUUUUAAGCGAUGAUCGACAUGUGAGAAUUGAGACGAUCUUAUAGCAACGCGAUAUUCAGUUUCAUCACACCAGUUAACUUGUAUUGGUCGAGUAAAGCACAUGUUACUUUCUGAAAAUUUGAAAUACUACAACGCAAAACCUAUCAAGAGGAUGCUACCAUGUGAUGCAAGAAACGAAAAGGUACAAAGUCCAGACUCACUCUGGUUGUCAUUUUCCCCAAGCGCAGAUGCAACUUUAGCGAAUUAAGUUUGUCUCAAAGAAAGUGUCUUUCCAAAAAAAAAAAAAAAAGUGAAAACGGAGCACCCUUCCCCAGACAUUAAGGGCGUGUUUACGUACACGUAAUCAGAAUAAGAAUGUGGAAUUGAAUUUCGAUUACGGAGUACUCUGAUGUUUACUAAACAUGGAGAAUAAAAAAAGCAAUGGGGCCCACACAAAUUUUGGAAUUCAAUUCCUUGUAUUGGUGGAAUUUGAUUCCCUAGAUAUAUGUUGUAAUUCAAUUCCUGCUUGUUUGGACAAUCGGAAUAACACUUUUGUUCCCUUUAUGUCCUCACUUACUUUUUUUAUUUCCAAGACUAUCCUUUAUAAACUCAUUAAAGUAUAUAAAAUAUUUGAUUUGGGACAAGGGUAUUUUAGUAAUCAUACUGGUUUAUAAUUCGAUUCUGCUGAAUUAGUAAAAAUCUUUAUGGAAUUAUAUUCUGAUUUCAGAACAUUUAAGUAAACAGUUUCAACAAGAAUCUGAUUCUGACUUCUCUUCAUUCCAACUCCUCCUUAAUUUAAUUCCUCAUUUUUUUCAUUACCGUUAUAUAAAUGUGCCACAAAGAGCUUCAUUAGCCCACUCACCACUGCAAUAGAAACAAUUUGAUAGAAAAUACUUGAUAGCAACAUACAAGCCUCUAUUUUAUUGGAAAAAUCAAAAUACAAAAUCAAUGUUAUCAAUUUUCUAUCUAAAUGAGAAUUACGGUUUAAGCGAGUUAUGUGGAUACCUAAGCAGGUCUAGCGCACUUUCUUAAUUUUCAAAUGCUUAAGAACUAAUUAGGACGCUGAUCAGCAGCCUAACGUUAGGCGAAGAUUUUUAGAACAUUAAUUACUUGUUCUCCUAGAUCUCCGAGUCCAAGAAAAUUAUGAUCACCCAUUGUUCAAUCUUAAUAUAGUCAGUACGUGGUUAUUUAACCAUUUUGUUAUAUUUAUCCUUUCUCGUUAAAUUAAGUAAGUGAUAAUAACUUUCCUGGAUCCUGUAAUCUAGAAGAACAAGACUAUAUAUCACAUGGAUAAACAUAAUCAGGCAUAAGAAAAAGUCGAAGAAUUCAUAACAUAGAGUAAUGCUAAAAAUACUAAAUUUGUAAACUAAAUGACAUAGAAGUUGAUCGUUAAAUUAUUAUUUAAAUAUUAAUAAACGUGUUCAUGCUCACACAUCAUUUAAUUUGUAAAUUUUAUUUAUAAAUCUUAAGCAUUACCUGAACGCAUAUAAUACAAUAGCUGCUUUGACAGAAGAAAAGAUGGAGAGUGAGAUGAUUGCAUUCUUUUUAAAAGCAACUUUUGAAGAUUCCAUAAUAAACUAUUAUGUAUGAAGAUGUGCCGUGGUAAAAGAGAAGUAAAAAGGAGGGAAGGAUUAUCCAAAAAAUUAUUGACCGUGAUUACAAUUAUUCAACUUUUAUACAUUUCUUCGAACGGAGAUCCAAGAAAAGAUGGAGAGAGAGAUUGGCAUUGUUUUUCGACACAACUUCUGUUGAGUCCAUAAUAAACUAUUAUAAGAAGAAGGAAUGCUAAAGAGAUUCUUUCAAAAUCAAAACUUUCUCAUGUUUUUGGGGUUAGUUAUACUAACAUUUUUUCUUUCGUAUAAGAUAUUACGCCAACACUCCUUUUAGUGUAAUGUCAAACGUAAGGGGAUUUUGUAAAAUUUGAUUAACUUCGACGUUAGUGUAACUAACCUAUUUUUAUGCAAAUAUUAUGUCAAAUACAUUAAAUGGCGGAUAAUUUAUAAACAAUGUCACUUUAACAGAGUUUUCUUACAUCUUUUUUAUAGAUAUGGACGGUGGAAAAAGAUCACUCCAUAAUUAAAUAUUGUGCUAUUGAGCGCGCUUUCGGGGCGCUUUCGGUGCGGGGUUUUGGCCUCCGCCGCUCCGCGUGCUGUUCUUUUACCUUUUUAUCUGCCAUUCGCGUGCUCCGCUGGUCCCAGACCCCUGAACAAUGUGAUGAUGCCAACUAACGUUAACCCCACUAAAGCAUCGGAAAUUGCGUCUGAGGAUAGAAAAGGCAUACAUGCAGAUCCUCCUCCCGGACUCUUUGCCUCUCUAUAUGUGAAAACCCAUCUGGGAACAAACCAAUUCCAUUCUCUGGCAUAGCAAGAACGGUCCUCUGAAAUGUAUCCAUACAAAGUUCGACACACAAAAUUCAAAAAGCCAUUGCAAUGUAAUUGACAACAUUGACAAUCUCUGUCCGACAAGGCAAUAAUACCGAAGCCCACUGUAAUGAUGGUAACCUGAUAGGCCAAUACCGAAGCCCACUGUUAUGAAAUCCAUGAAGCUUAUAUGGGCUUCUUGUACUCUCAGAUUUUGCAUAUUAGAGAAUACUCAGCAGUGAAUACCUGAAAAACGUGCAGCACGAAUAUCAUAUCGGUAGCCUCUCGAAUCUUAAGAAAACUACAAAUGGUAGCUUAGAAAAGAAAUGAAUCCUCUCCAACCAAUACAAAUCAUAUUACCCAAGUUCAAGAAAAAUCAAGACUAAACAAAUGACCAGAUGUUGUAGGGUGCCUGAGAAUGUCAAACAUGAAAUUACAAAAGAAAAAAAUAAUCGUAUGUAUUGAACAUUAAUAAAUACAUGCUGAAAGCACAAUCUUAGCCGCAAUUUAUGACAUUCAUACAAGAUGGAAUCGCCAAAGCAGUUAAAGAAAUUGCAGAGCUCAUAUAAGUGAUUUUCACUAUGAACUUUUAAGCUUAUCAACAAAUACAUCAUUUCGAUUCUAAGGCUUAAUCAUCAAUGAUUUUGCCGUUGGAUAGUGGCCAAAUUAGCGGCCGACUGAACAACAAGCCAACUCUCCUUUCGGCUAUUAAACAAAGAAAAGUUUGGUGGACAUCAUCAUGAGUAAAGACACAAUGAUGAUGUUUGUUGAAAAGAAAAAGGAAGGUCAUAAUGAUGUUUGUAACUUUGGAUUUUUUAUAGUCAAAUGGAAUUGGGUUUAUUUGGCUCCUUCCUUUGCAACUUGACAAAAGAGCUUUUUUUUGGUAUUUUCUAAGGCAGCAGCAGCUGCUAUAUGUUUGAGGAGAAGCCGAGAGAUACCAAGAAGAGCGUUCGGCUCUCCCAUUUGAAAUUUUGUUAGUAAUCACUCAAUCAAAGAUGUUGGUGCUACUUGUGUAGCUUUUGGGAGAGAAGGAUUUUGAUAUGUGUUUCUUCUUCUCCAUUUGUUUCUUAGUUUGAGUGAGAGCUAUUGGUUGUAUGUGGGAUUUAGGUUUGAGAGUUAAAACUCUAUUUGUAAUUUCCUUUUGAUAUUAGUGGAAUUUCCUCGCCGUCUCGGAACUGGACGUAGGCUUACGCCGAACCAGUAUAAAUCCUUGUGUUUUUUGGAUUAUUUGUCUUGUCAUAUUUUGCCGUAUUAGCUUUGGUUUCAUAUUUGAAGCUUUCACACAACAUUUGCAAGGGUCAAUCGUAUUGCUGGUUGUAAAUCUAUUCACUAUGAAAAUUACCAAAAUUACAUCUAAUAUGGUAGUGAAGGAAGUCAUCUUAUAUUAUCUGGAUCCAAAAUUGUACCUAAACAUGCAUGACAGGUAAAAAGAAGAUGAGCAAUAAAACAUUAUAAAGAUUCCCAAGAAAAGCAAUAAAACUACGUAAAUAUUAGUUAAUAAUGUCAAGACCAUAGUCUGUGACAAAUCCAAGAGUUGAGAUGAGACUAUCUUUCCGGCAGGAAUUUUUGGAAUUUUUCUCUAUUGUAAGGAAAACAUAGAUUGAUGUUUGUGUUUACACGAAAAUUAUGCCAACGGCUUAGGAGAAAUCAAAGCAUAACAAUGGGACUAAAAUGACUUACCUACUAUGAGGAUCUUCAAGUUCCUUCUUCACCUCUUCGGGCAGAUUGGCUAAUCUAAUAAACGAAAAGAAAACUCCCAUGAGCAGUGCUAUAACAAACUAUCUUCCUAAAUUCAUUAUGAAUUGCAGUUAAAACUUAAAAUGAACAUGAAAAUCCUACGUAGAAGGGAUAUACCUAGGUGACAAGCCUAGAAGAUUCCCGCGCAAGGAAGAAUAUCCCGGAACCUGCAAUUGGAAACUCAAAGAAACAAUUACAAAGAUGCUAGAAAGAAAAUACGUAUCAGUUUACAACAAAACGCUAGCGCUCAUGAGAAUCGAUUAGGUAUGAAGCAUCAAAACAAUAGCAUGAGACAUCAUAACUUAUGAGCUAUGAAUGGAAUAAUGGAGCAAAAUAUCGUUGCCCAAACAGCACAAUCUACAAUCUACAUGACGGAGAAAGUACCCCGACAUUACAUAUGCAAGUUCAUGUGGUUUAUCUUUUUAACCGAUUCGUUAACAAAUUCUUUCUGCACAUAUAGUUUUAACUUACCAAAACUGGUAAUGGAAGAGAGAUAAUCAGUAAUUAAAAACGGUAAUCGCAUAACGAAAUCAUACUUGAGUGAUUGAUAGGAUUCCCAACCCAUUUGGUCCAAAUCCUUCUUCAAUCUUCACUGACAAAUCUUUGUCCCUGUCCUGUAUCAAUCCAAAAUCAAAAAACGACAAUUAGAAAAAUCGAAUUCUCGACAUGAUCGACGAGUUAAAACAUAGCAAUUAAACAAAACUAUGAAUAAAACAAUUAGAUUCUGUUUGGUUGCUGAGAAAAUGAAGAGAAUAACAACCAAAAAGUCAACUGAAAUAAAAUUUUGCUCUAACUUCAACGAAUUCUCUUGAGUUUCUGAGCACCCAAACAGAAAAAAAAAAAUUAUAGGCAAUCAAACCAAACUCUCAUGCUCAAUUUUCUCGGCAACCGCAAAAAGAACUUAGAGGGGGGGGGGAGAGAGAGAGAGAGUUACUUGGAGCUCGGAGUAGGAUAUGGUGACUGGUGUGACGGUGGGGACGGCGGGGUCGGAGGACGGAGGCAUAGUUCGACAAUAAAUUUGGCGGGAAAGACGGCGGUUGGAGCGUGACGAUGGGGAAGAAUCCGUGGGAACGAAGAGCAAUUUUGGUGCGGAAGGAGGGUUUUUAUAUCGGAGGGAGGGAGGGAGGGAGGGAGGUUGAGAGCGAAAGGCGUGAUUGUCAAUUUCAAAUUUUUUUUUUUAGGAAUAAAGAAAGAAGAGAGGUUGAGUAUCAAUUCCCUUUCCCUCCAAACCAAAUAAUACAUUCACGUUCAUGAUGUGUGGCAAAAAAUUGAAGGUGGAGACGAAUAUAUUAAAGGGAUGUGCUAUCCACACACCUUUUUUACUUCUCACACACCAUUUGUUAAUUUCUGUCCGUUGAUCUUCUUCAUUUCAUCUGAUCUAACGAUCGAAAAUUAAAAGGGUGUGUGAGAAGUAAAAAGGGGUGUGUGGAUAUCACACCCCUAUAUUAAAUAGGUAUAAGUAUUAGUUAAAUUUAAAAUUAAUUGUGUACUAUUAAAAAUUUGUUUGAAAAUAUUUUUAUAAUAACUGAAAGCGUUUUUUAUUAAAAUGUUCUUUAAAUCAAUCCUUAGUAAAACCAAGUGGAUUCUAAAAAGUCAUUUGGAUUACUUUCUACAAAAAUCACAUAUCUUGAGCACUUGAAGCGCUUUUGGAACCCAAAAUUAAUUUAACAAAAGUGUGUCUAGUCUUUUUUAUUUUUGAACAAACGAUAUUAUCUACUUUAAGGGAGGGGAUGAGCUUAACCUCACAAUGGACUAUCAUAUUAAUAAUGUUCAAAUUCACCUUUAUUCAUUUUUAAAAGACUUUAAAACCAGCACUAAUUUGUAUUAAAUUCUAAAACUUUGAAUUGGGAUGUAAUAUGCAUUGGGUCUUUAAUAAUAUUUAAGUUGUUUCCGGCAAAAAAGAAAGGAUUCAAUUGGGAAAAAUAACAAAAUAUGAAAUAAGGAUAUUCUAAUUAAGGUUUUUAUUAAUUAUUUUAGGCGGAUGGUUCAUGUGAAGAUUAUGAAACGCUUUAAUUCUCUAACGUGCGAUUCCAUUUCGAUCCAAAGCUAAAUUUAUAAAUUUCUAAUUUUUACUUUCUAAUUUUUACAAAUUUCUUUUCAUAAGAGUAUAAAUUUAUAAAAUUUGGUUAAAGGAUCAAGAAGUUUAAUUAGAAGCAAUGGUUUUUGUUGUUUAAAAUUAGCAAGAGGUCCUAAGUUCGAAACGCUUUGGGCAUGUUUAUUUUUUUCAAUUUUAACAAAUUUUUGUUUGGUUGUUAAUUUAUUUUUAGUUACUAGCUAGUAGCUAUGUAGGUUGUUAUUUAAAUAUUCGUUUCAAUUCAAGUCCAAUCUUCAACAAUGAGUAAUACGUAAACCAAAUUUGUAGCGCAAAUUUGUAAAUUAUAUGACGUGUUAUCAAAAUAUUUAAUUUAAUGCUCAUUCAUUACUAAUACAUAUCAAUUAAGGACUCGAAAACAUCAUUAUUGUUUUUAGUCCCAUAUUGACAAGGUUAGUAAAUAAGAAAAAACACCUCAUGAUUUAUACAAAAACACUUUCAAAGUUCAAAUGGAAAACAAAACUCAUCGUCUAUCUACUUAUAAGCCCAGAGUUGUUUGGUUUUCUUCUCUCAAUACAAAAUAAAUUAGUCCUUUUGUGUUUCUAAAUUAUUGAGUUUGAAGUGCUUUUCUAAGUAUAAUUUUAUUAAUGUCUUACGUGUGAAAAUAAAUAAUUUUCUUAUAUGAAGUUAGGGCACUUUUUUUUGUGUCGUCCCGAGCCUCAAAAAUCUCUGGACCGGCCCUGGAUGUUAUGAGAAUAUGUGUGGUUGUCAAGCCCGACACGUGAAUAACAUGCUCUCUACUACUUUAUUACACUGUGAAGAUUUUAUCCAAAAUUAAUUGACGAUGAGCGAAUAAACUGAAAGAUUAUGCGCAACUUUGAUUAUGCAACGAGUGAAGAAGCAAUUUACACCAACCUCCAGUCAAGAAUUUGGGCUCACAAUCACUAGCCAAUAUGCUUUUUUCUCAUGCCUUAAGUUCAUAGUUCAAUAUUCUGGUGUCCGAUGACCCUGACACGACAAGUUCCACUUUUUGUUCAUUUUCUUGACGAAACCAUCACAUUUACCCUUACGGCACGGCACAGUUCCGGGCAUGGAGUAUGGAUUGGGUUCCGUUGCAGUCCCGACACUAUUUAGCACUGUAGAGAAGGAAAUACAAAGACAACUUUGGAUUUCUUACAACGUAUUGAGUCUCUCGUCAUGGCUCUUGCUGUGUUGUUCUUAUUUCACGUCCUGUUUCUCGAGCUUGGUGUUUCCGGUUGCAAAUUUUGGUUCGGCAGUGUAGUGCUCAGGAGAGGGGACUGUUUCACGUUGUUCCAGGCAGACAGAGGCGGUUGACAACGAUUGUGAUAAUGUGUUUUUCUACUGGGAGAACAUACAGCAGUCAUCAGUUAUCUUUUCACAACUGUCUUCAGUAUUUCGAGGCACCUCAAGAAAUUAUCAAGGACAAACGAAUGUAGAAAAGAAGAAAUAUCGAAGUUAGUUGACAAAGGGGACGAAAAAUUGUGAGAUACAGAGAAAAAGAAGAUAAGAAGAAACUCGAUGCAAAUUACUUGAGUCUAAAGUAGGAGGGGAAAUCGUACUAUUCAUAUGAACAGUGUUUUAGACCACAUUUCAGUUUAUUUACAAGAUUGCCACUCAGAUGCUUUUAGCUUUUAACGAAGAUGCCAUCAGUUCGAAUGAUGGGAAUGCCCGUAUGGGGUUAACAUCACACGGUUGGGGGUAAAAGUUGUGUUUGGAUCAAAACUUAACUUUGGGCCCAAGCAAAAGAAUGCCCAAAAGAAGGCCUGAAGGAAGAGUCGGCCGAAGCCCAGCCGAGACCCAGAAAAGCAGGAAAGGGCCUCCUCUGACUUGGUGCAGCUCAUGAAGACCACUUGCCCACCUACCCAAAGGUCAAGUGGUAUAGACUGACCAGCUACACAGCCCGUAAAGUACUUUAUGGUGGCAUUACAUGUAAAAAAACUGAUGAGUCAUCACCCUCAAACCGCAUUCGGGCAAGGCUGUUGCUACAGGAGGACAUGCUGGGUUGUCUAUAAAAAAAGAAAGAGAAAUCAGGAUUAAGGACACUCAAUCAAACAAACAAAUGCAAGCACAAACUCUGCUCAAAAGCUAGAUUUGCCUUCAAAACGAAGUUGUAGUCAGCCCAAGCCUUCAUCCCUCGCGGGAUAACCUUUCCUUCAAACCUUUGUAAUAGCUCUGCUACCUUGUUCAACCUUGUUGUAGUAUCGAUUCACCUUUUGUAAUCUUUCUCCCUCUCUCAAAACUUUCAGACCUUUAACAAAACUACAAAGAUAGGAGCCUGCAAGACGAGCAGCCUUGCCUGAUAAGGUUUAACCUUGCCCGACCUUCUAUGCUUUGUAUUUUUUGUCUUUUCAUUCAUUAAGCCUAGUAAUAUGUUGUAUGAUCCCAGUUAUAUGCAAGUUAUUUCUAGCAAGAUGACCAUUAAAAAGCUUUCUCAGUACAUAGACCCGAUUUGAAUAGAUCUUCAGUAUUCAAAUCAGAUCUAAGUCAUAAGCCCUCGGGCAUGUAUAUUUGAUCAGUUAAAAGUCCUUGGCCUCCAGGCAUAAAAAAGAACCUUAUGUGGACUUAACCCAUCCACAACAAUCCUUGAUAAACGAGAAGUCCAAAGUUACUUGGGGCGCAAGUAAUCGACCUACCAUUUAGUUUUAUUUCUAUUAUAUGAUGAUUAUCAUAGAACGUUUAUGCAUGGAAUGGAUUCUGAUAGGAAGCCUCAAGGCCUACACCUAAGGCCCCACAAAGGCACCUAUUUGGGUUCAUUCCGUUCUGCGGUCUAGAGCGUUCUGAGUAGAAAGAACAAAUUCUGAUAGGAAGCCUCAAGGCCUACACCUAAGGCCCCACAAAGGCACCUAUUUGGGUUCAUUCCGUUCUGCGGUCUAGAGCGUUCUGAGUAGAAAGAACAAAUUUCUGAUAGGAAGCCUCAAGGCCUACACCUAAGGCCCCACAAAGGCACCUAUUUGGGUUUGUUCUAUCUCUCGGACGCAGGUAAUCAGAAGUAUAAUAGUUAUAAAACUCCUGCAAUCAAUGGAAUAAGUAUUAUGUAUUCGAGUACUGGUUUAGUAACCGAUGGGAAGCCUCAAGGCCUACACCUAAGGCCCCACAAAGGCACCUAUCAUAACUAACCCGGUUCCUCGGGCACAUAUAUAUAUACAUACAACUAAAACUCGACAUCCAUUUCAUAUCUGCCAUGCUGAAGAUGGCAGUGGCACGCCUGAGUACCUAAAAGUUAAUUUUGAUUGUGAGCCUCAAGGCCUACACCUAAGGCCCCACAAAGGCACAUUUCAAAGUUAACUUUGUCCUUUUCUUUCAGCCUUGCCCGACGAGCCUUGCCGACGAGUCUUGCCCGAUAAAGAUUCGCCUGACGAGACUUGCCCGACAAAGCCCAACCGUGAAGCAGAAGCCCGACAGCAGCCCUCAACCGACGCAAAACCUCCAGGGGAGCUGUGCAUUUCGCCGACCAGGAUGGAAGAAUGGACAGCCUACUAAACCGAUGGGAGCCUACUAAACCGAUGGGAGCCUCUAUGAUCAGGAGAGUUCAAAGGCAGCACAAAGCCUACAUGAAUUCUCUGAAGACCCCCGCAACAUCUGAAGCCUCCCAGAAUAAAAAACUGGAGAAGACAUCAUCUGGGGGAAGUAAUCAGCUCCGCUGGAGAAGUAAGAAAGAGGUGGAAAAUGCCAGCAGCAAAAAAGAAGGUGUGGGGAAUCAUGUACCGCAGAACCAGCACCCUGGGAAGUAUAGGAUCUUGAGGAGAGCUCAAGAAGAUCUGAUCAUGGUGCCAACCCCUGGAUGGAAGCCAAAGCCUACUUGCGUUGGAGCUGUUUCAUCUGAAAGGAAACCACCUUCUCUGCCAUUGGUAGAUCCUUUUGGUGAAGUUCCAAAACAAACACUAUAUGCGGGCAUGAAUCAACAGCAACAGGAGGGGGCACCAGAACCACUACUUCCAGCCGAUGCCAUGGCCUGGUUGGAUGAGUUUAUGGACCAGAUUGGGAGCAAGAAAGAAGAUUUGCUCGAGCCUAGUAAUUUCCAUAUCAACAUGACAUACGUAUUAUCUGCCACGUUUGGUGCCCGACCUGAUCAGCCAGCUACUAUGGAAGGUGAUUACUUGACAACUGAGCCAAUGAUGGCACAUGUCAAUAUAGAGGAAGUCAAAGAAGGAGAAUCGGGCAAGGCUGAAACUUCUGAAGCAUCCAAAAGUGGUCCUUUAAGGAUUUAUACCGAUGAAAUGGUGUUCAGCCGCCCGAACAUCUCGCUAGCCAACCAUCUGAAGCCCAUAUACGUUACAGCUCACCUGGAAUGUGUGCCCUUCAAAAGAAUUUUAAUAGAUGGUGGAGCAGCUGUUAAUGUGUUACCAGCCAAGCAAAUGAAGAAAAUGGGAAGAGGAACGGAGGAUCUUAUUCCGACAGACCUCACGGUCUCUAGCUUCUCAGGCGCUAUCACCAAGACCCAUGGGAUAUUGCCUUUAGAAGUGGAUUUGGGGUCUAAGCAAAUCAUGCUGGCAUUCUUUGUGGUGGACUGCACCUCCACUUAUGGAGCCUUACUCGGAAGAGAUUGGAUCCACCAAAGUCUGGCCAUACCCUCCACUCUUCAUCAACAGGUAGCUGUUUACCAUGAGGCGGGCACAGAAGGACCAGGUUUUUGGGAGAUGGUGGAGGCCGAAUCAGGGCCAUUUCUCCCCACAGCCAACGUUGCGGAAACAAGUUUCUACAACCCCAACGUAGGAAUCUUGAAAUGUUCAGGAGCUGAUGAGAACGGCCGCCCUACCAAUGUGACGACCCAAAAGCUUUUGGAACAAGGAAUGCUCCUCACAAGAGAUGAGUGAGAUAGACCUUGUAUCAUCCCAAAUCCCCUACACCAUCAAUGACUGGACAGAAGAAAAAAGAUCAGGUAAUGGCAGUCAGAUCCCUGAUUAAAAGACUGUUGGUGUAUGAGAAUGGAAGAAGGCAAGAAAGAGAGCUCUUGGACAAGGAAGAGCAGGAAUAGCAGGUGGGAGAUACGAUCUAGACGGGCCAGAAGACCUGCCCGAGAGCCCGGAGUUGGUCGAGUUUUUGUGUGCAGAACCGGAUAAGCCACCACCAGAAGUCCAGGAUCCUCUGGAAGUUAUUGCUAGGAACAAAGGAGGAUCCGAGACCAAUACAAAUUAGUGGUUUAUUGGGGGUUGAUGAUCGGGCAAAGGUUGUCGAUCUGUUGCGAGAGUUCAAAGACUGUUUUGCUUGGCAUUAUACUGAGAUGCCAGGGUUAGAUUCAGCCUUGGUGGAACAUAGAAUGCCCAUCAAGGAGGGAUAUAAACCAGUUAAGCAAGCACCACGAAGGAUGUCAAAGGAGAUAGAAGAAAAUGUCAAAGAAGAGAUCGAAAGGCUAGUAAAAGCUGGCUUUAUCAGACCGGCCAAAUAUGUAGAGUGGUUAGCCAACAUUGUACCCGUUUUAAAAGCUAUAACAAAAGCAGUACGAUGUUGUGUUGAUUACAAAAAUCUUAAUAGUGCUACACCAAAAGAUGAGUAUCCUAUGCCCAUGGCCGAUCUAUCCAUAGAUGCAGUAGCAAAACAUAAAGUCUUAUCUUUUAUGGAUGGGAAUGCCGGGUAUAAUCAGAUAAAGAUGGCUUCAGAAGAUAUACAUAAAACAACAUUCAAGUGUCCCGGUCAUGUGGGGGUAUAUGAAUAUCUGGUCAUGCCAUUCGGGCUCAAGAAUGCUGGUGCCACCUACCAGAGGGCAAUGAAUGUCAUCUUUCACGAUCUGAUUGGCCAGAGUAUGAAAGUAUACAUUGAUGACAUCGUAGUGAAGUCUAAGACAGAAGAGCAGCAUUUGGAAGACCUCAGACAAGCAUUAACAAGGAUGAGGAUCCACAAAUUGAAGAUGAAUCCAAAGAAGUGCGUGUUUGGAGUGAGAGCAGGCAACUUCUUGGGAUUCCUGGUGCAUCAAAGAGGUGUAGAAGUAGACAAGAACAAGUCUCGGGCAAUAAUGGAGUCACCGUCACCCACCAACAAGGUACAACUCCAGAGGCUAUUGGGCAAAAUCAAUUUCUUGAGGAGAUUCAUUGCCAAUUUAGCGAGCAAGAUCCAGCCGUUGACUCCUUUAUUAAGACUGAAAGAUAAAGAAAACUUUGAGUGGGGACCACCACAUCAACAAGCCUUUGACAGCAUCAAGGUCUAUUUAACUUCUCCACCAGUGUUGGUGCCACCUCAAAGGGGAAAACCCUUAAAGCUGUAUAUUUCUGCCUUAGAGAAGUCAAUCGGGAGUUUGCUAGCCCAAAAUAAUGAAGGCGGGAAGGAGCAGGCAUCGUACUACCUCAGUAGGAUUCUGACCGAGGUAGAAACUAGAUAUUCCCCAGUGGAAAGAUUAUGCUUGGCUCUAUAUUUCACUGCCAGCAAGCUAAGGCAUUACAUGUUACCUUGUCACGUACACAUCAUCGCCAAGACAGAUGUGAUAAAGUACAUGUUGUCAAAGCCAAUGCUAACAGGGAGGAUUGGGAAGUGGAUUCUAGCAUUGUCAGAAUUCAGUUUCCAGUAUGUACCCCAGAGAGCGGUCAAAGGCCAAGCAAUUGCUGACUUCCUGGCCGAACAUCAAGAAUCUCAAGACGAAGUAAUCAAUAUCCCAGGAAGCCUGGAGGUCACUAGCAUUUGGAUCCCGCUAAGAGAAGAUAUCUCGGGCAAAGAAGAUUGGGUCCAGCAAGAGAUAAGAAGAGUGACUGGUCUCUGGAUCACUCCUUGGAGGUUAUAUUUUGAUGGAUCUCACACUCAGAAGGCUUAAGAAGCAGGGAUUGUGAUUAUAAACCCUCAUGGGGUCUAUCAUUAUUAUUCAUUCCUCCUAGACUACCAAGGAAAUACUAAUAAUCGGGCAGAGUAUGAAGCUUUGAUAAUUGGUCUGGAAAUCUUGAUGGAUCUGGGGGCAGUAGAGGUGGAGAUCUUUGGAGAUUCAGAGUUAGUAAUAAACCAGCUAAAUGGGGAGUUCAAGUGCAGACAUAUUACCAUGGCAGGAUAUUACUUGACGGCUACGCAAUUACUGAGUUUCUGGGAUUCUGAGAUAUCAGUCAAUCAUGUUCCCAGGGAAUCCAACUUAGCAGCCAACGAGAUGGCACAACUAGCCUCAGGAGUGCCAAUACAGGAGAGAAGAUAUGGGGUAGAUGUCGAGAUCCAAAGAAGGAACCUCCCUUCUAUCUUAGAAAGGGGAUUCAGCCUGGAUGUAAUAGCUCUAGAAACCGAAAUAGAAGAUUGGAGGUCCCCUAUCAUUCGUCAUUUGAAGGAUCCCUCUUCACCUACAAGCAAGAAGAAUAGACAGCAAGCAACCAAGUAUGUCUUGUGGGCGAAGAACUUGCUAAGGAAAACUCCAGAUGGAUUACUAUUGAAAUGCUUGGGCCAAGAAGAAUCCAUGAGGGUAAUGGCCGAAGUACAUGAAGGGGUAUGUGGAGCACAUCAGGCAGGAACUAAGAUGAGGUGGUUGCUUAGAAGAUAUGGUUAUUUCUGGCCCGACAUGGAAAAAGAUUGCAAGUCUUAUGCCAAAGGUUGUGAAGAAUGUCAACGGCACGGACCUCUCCAGCAUGUGCCCUCAGUACCUUUAAAUCCAGUAGUCAAGCCUUGGCCUUUCAGAGGAUGGGCAAUGGACUUCAUCGGGCAAAUCUAUCCAGCUUCUAGUAAAUGGCACACUUUCAUAAUUGUGGCAACGGAUUACUUCACCAAGUGGGUGGAAGCAUCAACAGUAAAAUCCAUAACUUCGGCCGAGGUCAAGAAUUUUAUCGAGACCAAGAUUCUGCACAGGUAUGGGGUGCCCGAAACUAUAGUAACGGAUCGUGGGCCAUCUUUUAUCUCAAAAGAAGUUGAGGAGUUUGCAAGCAAGUACAAAAUAAAGAUGAUCCAAUCCAGUCCAUACUACCCUCAAUCAAAUGGCCAAGCAGAGGCCAGCAACAAGAUCUUGGUCAACAUCAUCAAAAGAAUGGUGGUAGAUAGUCCAGAAAAGUGGCAUGAAAGGCUGGGGAACACUUUGUGGGCAUACAGAACUUCCAAGAGGGCAGGAACAGGGACAACUCCUUAUGCUUUAACUUUCGGGCAAGAUGCGGUACUCCCUAUGGAGAUCAAUGUAAGUUCGGUCAGAAUUCAGAACCAAUUUGGGUUACAUAGUGAAGAAUACAUCGAAGCCAUGUGUCAAGGAAUUGAAGACUUGGAUGUAGCCCGAAUUGAAGCCUUGAACCAGAUUCAAGAAGGAAAGAAAGUUGUUGCCCGAGCUUAUAACAAGAAGGUGAAGAUAAAGUCUUUCAAAGAAGGAGAUUUAGUGUGGAAAACAGUCAUCCCGCUAGGAGCUCAGCUCAGGGGCUUUGGAAAGUGGAGCCCGACAUGGGAAGGUCCUUUCAUUAUUAGUCGAGUUUUGAAUAAAGGAGGAUACUACCUAGCAUACCUCGAAGGAAAUGGGCAGAAACAUCCCAUUAAUGUUAAAUUCUUAAAGAAAUACUGUCCUACAUUAUGGGAUGUUAGAGAUUGUUACAUUGAAGAGGGGGCAAAGUAAAGCAGGCGUCGGGAGUUUCAUAUGCAGUGUUUGUUCAUCAACCAUUCAAAGAAAACAAAAAGACAAAAGUUGCUGAAAUAAUUUUUAUUUCAUGUCGACAAAUUGGUGAAAUUAACAAAAGAUUCAAUUUCUACAUAUUACAUUUGAUUCUCUCUAAGUAUAGUGAUUUCUUCAGCUGGUUUUCCGAUGUCUUCAUGGAUGGAACCCGAUCAGGUGAUCGGGUUGUGCGGCCAACAUAUGCUUGGUAGAGGAUCAUCCGACAGAGCCACCACCAUAUGUGAUGGUGAAGCCUGACUUAUGACGGCAGCAAGCAGGAAAUCAAGCCUUCGUGAAGAACUCGCCUGACCAAGGGUGUUGGGGAUAGCAGGGUGUUCGACCAAUGGUGUUGGAGAUAGCAGUCAUUUGAUGAAACCCCCUUUUUUCUCACGAAAAGGGAGUUUUAGGAAACUCCACUCAAAAUCUGAAGAACCCAUUUCUCAGUUUUUUUUUUUCCGAGGAAGAUUAGAUGGUUUUGACAGGAGGGGUUCCAAGCCAGAAUUUAUAGGACCCAGAGGACAGUUCAAAGGUCGUGGGAAGAUCAAGAGACUCCGGGUGCCAUUAAUUUCAUCCAAAAAACACAAGUUCCAAGGGCAAAGAUGCAGCCGCAUGAAGAACUUUUCAAUUAAUAUUGGCGCCUGGAAUUCCAGGCUAAAUAUCAAUUGAAGGGGGCACUGUUUGGAUCAAAACUUAACUUUGGGCCCAAGCAAAGAAGGCCCAAAAGAAGGCCUGAAGGAAGAGUCGGCCGAAGCCCAGCCGAGACCUAGAAAAGCAGGAAAGGGUCUCCUCUGACUUGGUGCAGCUCAUGAAGACCACUUGCCCACCUACCCAAAGGUCAAGUGGUAUAGACUGACCAGCUACACAGCCCAUAAAGUACUUUAUGGUGGCAUUACAUGUAAAAAAGCUGAUGAGUCAUCACCCUCAAACCACAUUCGGGCAAGGCUGUUGCUACAGGAGGACAUGCUGGGUUGUCUAUAAAAGAAGAAAGAGAAAUCAGGAUUAAGGACACUCAAUCAAACAAACAAAUGCAAGCACAAACUCUGCUCAAAAGCCAUAUUUGCCUUCAAAACGAAGCUGUAGUCAGCCCAAGCCUUCAUCCAUCGCGGGAUAACCUUUCCUUCAAACCUUUGUAAUAGCUCUGCUACCUUGUUCAACCUUGUUGUAGUAUCGAUUCACCUUUUGUAAUCUCUCUCCCUCUCUCAAAACUUUCAGACCUUUAACAAAACUACAAAGAUAGGAGCCUGCAAGACGAGCAGCCUUGCCUGAUAAGGUUUAACCUUGCCUGACCUUCUAUGCUUUGUAUUUUUUGUCUUUUCAUUCAUUAAGCCUAGUAAUAUGUUGUAUGAUCCCAGUUAUAUGCAAGUUAUUUCUAGCAAGAUGACCAUUAAAAAGCUUUCUCAGUACAUAGACCCGAUUUGAAUAGAUCUUCAGUAUUCAAAUCAGAUCUAAGUCCUAAGCCCUCGGGCAUGCAUAUUUGAUCAGUUAAAAGUCCUUGGCCUCAAGGCAUAAAAAAGAACCUUAUGUGGACUUAACCCAUCCACGACAAUCCUUGAUAAACGAGAAGUCCAAAGUUACUUGGGGCGCAAGUAAUCGACCUACCACUUAGUUUUAUUUCUAUUAUAUGAUGAUUAUCAUAGAACGUUUAUGCAUGGAAUGGAUUCUGAUAGGAAGCCUCAAGGCCUACACCUAAGGCCCCACAAAAGCACCUAUUUGGGUUCAUUCCGUUCUGCGAUCUAGAGCGUUCUGAGUAGAAAGAACAAAUUCUGAUAGAAAGCCUCAAGGCCUACACCUAAGGCCCCACAAAGGCACAUAUUUGGGUUUGUUCUAUCUCUCGGACGCAGGUAAUCAGAAGUAUAAUAGUUAUAAAACUCCUGCAAUCAAUGGAAUAAGUAUUAUGUAUUCGAGUACUGGUUUAGUAACCGAUGGGAAGCCUCAAGGCCUACACCUAAGGCCCCACAAAGGCACCUAUCAUAACUAACCCGGUUCCUCGGGCACAUAUAUAUAUACAUACAACUAAAACUCGACAUCCAUUUCAUAUCUGCCAUGCUGAAGAUGGCAGUGGCACGCCUGAGCACCUAAAAGUUAAUUUUGAUUGUGAGCCUCAAGGCCUACACCUAAGGCCCCACAAAGGCACAUUUCAAAGUUAACUUUGUCCUUCUCUUUCAGCCUUGCCCGACGAGCCUUGCCCGACGAGUCUUGCCCGAUAAAGAUUCGCCUGACGAAACUUGCCCGACAGAGCCCAACCGUGAAGCAGAAGCCCGACAGCAGCCCUCAACCGACGCCAAACCUCCAGGGGAGCUGUGCAUCUCGCCGACCAGGAAACUUGCCCGACGGGAAUUCCUGAAGCGAACAAGUUAGGUGGGCAUUGUUGUCAGUUAGGGUUGCAUUCGGUGGGAUCGAUGGCUCGGUGUGGGAUUUGGUGGGAAUGCAUGUUGCUUGCAAAGAGGAGGAGAGAGGGAAUGAGGGAGGGGGAGGGAGAGAUAUGGGUUUGGUGAGGGGAAGGCAUGCGACUUGCAGAGAGGAGUGAGGGAGAGAGGAUGAGAGAGGGAAUGAGGGAAGGGGAGGGAGAGAGAGAGGGGUUUGGUGAGGGGAAGGCAUGCGACUUGCAGAGAGGAAGGAGGGAGAGAGUUGGAGAGAGAGGGAAGGAUGGAGGGGGAGGGAGAGAGAGAGGGGUUUGGUGAGGGGAAGGCAUGCGACUUGUAGAGGGACGGAGCGAAGCUUAAAAGCAACUGCAAAAAGUUCAAUGGACAGGGUCGCAGCAAUGGAGACACCUCGCUCUGAACCAUUUCCCCUCUCCUCAGGCGAAUGCUGAACAAAGUUUUGAAGGAACAAAAAGAAGAAGAGCUACACAUAAUAGAAUCCGAUUUGCAAGGAAAAGAAGAAAGCCAGCUUUUCAAUGAAAAAGCUAAAAUCAAUCCCUUCAACCUCCUCAUCGGCAGCGGCACCCACGACCACCAGGUUCACUUUUAAUUUAAUUUUAAUUUUAAUUUUUUGCUUUUUUAGUGGAUUAAAGAAUAUGAAACGAAUUAUAAUUUAAAAUGGGGAAAUUUUGUUGAUUUUUGCGUUCAGUGUUCUGACUUUUGAGUGAUCAUCGAGCUGUGAUGGGUUGGUGUUGGAUUUGAUUCAAUUGAGGUAAAAGCUCUGCAUGAUUGUGAUACGGAGAAAAUGCUAGAAUCUUACCUUCGAUCCAAAUAUCUGAUUUUUGUUACAAUUGCUAUUUUCAUUGCAGGAAAAUGUGGCGGAGACAAUAAUUCCCAAAUCCUCGAGUUUUAUAAAUGCAUUCCAAUUGAUAGCCAUGUCAAAUGAUCUCGAUUUGUCAGGUAUGUUCGAGGAACAGGCAAGUUUACAAGAAAUAGAUUUACUAAAAUAACUAAUCCUACUUUUUUAGCUUAUAACGAAUAAUGUUGAACUGUUAACUUAAUUUAGGAUGAGAAAUAGAAGACAACAAGAAUUGGACCCAAGCAUACCAUUACUGAAACCAUGAAGAAAAUAGAAGCGGCUGCAACAGAUGCGAGUAUUCUGUAGCAAGAACAAACAACUUCAGGGUACAUGAAACUUAUAUUCAAUCGUACUUCUUUAUCUGCUUAUCAAAGUUCCUUCCUGCCAACUAAUGAUGUAUUAUUUUUUCAUCAGAUGUAAAUGCAUGCAAAAAUUCCAAUGGAAACGUAAAUCACCAUAUCCAGGUAAAUCCGAAUUGUAGAUCAGACUUAUAUUACAAUUUGCUUUCUUUGUGAAAUUUUAUUGUAAUCUCUGGCUUUUGAAAUUCUAUAUGAAAUUGUGAAUGUCAUUCGGAAUCAAGUCUGGCCGAGUUCUUUACUAAAUAGUGCGAAAAUAUGCAUGAUGAAACUAAAUUACUUUUGUAUCAUCUAUAUUUACCUGUUAUCAUAACAGGAUUUAAAAUAUAGAAACAUACUGCUUAAUGUAUAAUUGAGUGAAAUGCUAGUUUACAUAGAUAUUGUGCUUAUUUGUUUUAGGUGGAUUACCAAAAGGAGCUCAUCAAGUAUUCUGCGAGCACGAUCGACCUUGAUCAUUUGGAUAUUUAAAGGAGCCAUUGAUAAAGGGAAGACGACGAGUUGUGAACCUGUGUGCCAAUUUUGCCAAUUUUGCAGACAAGCAGAAACUCUGGCACUUGCCUCUGUCCUAUCCUCCUCUCGCCGCCGUCUCCCUUCUCUCACCUCCGUCGUCUUACUCCUCCUUUCUCUGUCUCUGGAAUCCUAUCGUCAUCUUCCUCGCAUGCAAGGCUCUGGCCCUUUCAAUUGAAACCAAAACGUGUUUCAGGUGCCUAACACAACCUCUCACUACUCACUCACAUCAGUUGGUUUUUGUAAUUUGAACUUUUUUUUCUAAUAAAUUUGUAUGCUUUCUGGAUUUUUAUGGCAGUUUUGGACCUUAUCUUUUCUGAAUUUGUGUGCUUCUCUGGGUUUUUUAAUGGCAGUUCUGAGGAAGAGCAAGAAAAAGGAAGAACCAGUAUUAGAAGAUCUUCCCAAAGAGUACUGUGAUGAUGUGAGUGCCUUUAUUCUUUAACUUGGCCAAAUGGGUGCUCAAAUUUCACGUUUUUCUGUGAUUAUACGAGUAAAUUUAUGUUUUUUGUUUUUGGGUUUUGCCAAAUUCAAUGGUGGUAUUUAUGGGUUUGGUAUUGAUUUUCAGAUUAACAAUGACUUUGGGGAAAUUGAUUGAGUCUGCAUUCAAUGUAACUUUUCAUGCAGUUACAUACUGAUGAAAUAGAAUUCAAUUUUUUCAUUCCUUUUUUUUUAAAUGCAGUUACAUUUAUAUGAUGAUUUACAGCAUAUAUUUAUCUUUUAGAUUCUAAUUCUUCAUGCAGUCUAAGCCAUGAAGGAUUUGAUAAACCCACAAUUGAUAACAAUGUGCGGCGGCACCAACGGUUUUGGACAAGGAACAAGUAAGUACCAUUUUGUUUCAUUGUUUCAAAGUAUUAUGUAGAGAUUGCUUUAAUAUCUUGGCUUCUUUGCUGUUUGUGGGGUGUAUGAGAUAGGAUUUAGGAGAUCUGGUUUAGAUUUUGCAAAGAGAGUGUGUCCGAGAGAAAUGUGGGAGGAUUUAGGCGAGGGAUUUCAGGGAUUUGUUUAGGGUUUCUUUUCUGCGAUUUGCAGACAGAGAGAUGGGACAAGGGUGAGAGAGAGAUGGGAGGAUUUUCUGCGAGGGUAGAGGGAACGGGUAAGGGAGGUAUGGGUAUGGGUAGGGGAUGGAAAAACAUUUCGUUUUCCAUUUGCUUCCUCAAACCCGAGGGAUUGCUGCAAUUGCAGAGAGAGAUGGGGGUGUUCGUUAGGUCCCCUUUCAGUGUCACAUUUGUGCUUUGUCCACCCUUGAUUGUUGUGUGAUUCAUUCUCACGAACGUUCUAUGCACAAGGUUUCAUGUUAUUCCUUCCUUUUAAUUUUGAUAUUAUUGUGCUUAAUUUCUAUUUUAUUUUAUUGGGUGAUUAGAUUAACAGACUUUGGAUAUUUGGUAUAAUAAUUUCACAUCACGUGUUGCCCUUUUGCAUCACCUUAAUUGUUCAUCAGAUGCUAACUUUUAAUUAUGUUUUCUUUGGGUCAGUCUCCAUCUGGUACAUGUGUCCAUCCUUCUGGAGUGGAGCACUAUCUUUCUGACAGCAUAAAUGCUCUGAGAAGCUACUAUGGAGACAAGCAGUUGUUUACUCCGUUCUAGGUAUGUUUUUCUUUAGUAUUUUAGAGGGAUUCUUAACUAUUCCCCAUUGUAAUCUUUACCUUUGUAUCUAUCUCUCUCAAAAGACGAUGAGAGUAGCAACUGUUGCAAAGCAAAUUCUCAGAUGUAUAUAAGCAUAUACAUACAUUGGACAAAAACCGAAUCUUAAAUUGGGGCAGUGAGUUCUGCAACAUCUUGGUGCUGCAUAUAUUCUCACACUUUUAAAAGUUGUAUUUCUCAUAUACAUUGGGAAUUUUAAUUAGUUUUAUUUCAUUUUUGUAGGGCAAUUUAGUAGAUAUUUAGACAUAAAAGAAGAUGCGUGAAUCAAUACAAUUAACCUAAUAGUGAUUUGGUUCAGCGUAAAGACCAUUGCUAGGGCACUCAAGCCAUUUUCUUAAUUUAUGCGCAUAUAUAUUAUACGUAACCAGAACAUGUUUCCAAAGGAUGUUAGUUAGUGUUCAUGCUCUGCUGAUAUUUUAUUCUGUUCAUUUUGAUUUUGUUUUUCAGUUGUGGUUAUAGGAUUGUUUUGUCUCUCUUUUUUUCUUUUUUGUUUUCCCUCGUACAACUUUUCUAAAAUUGAACUGUAGUUCUCAAUUUGGUUCUUUGAACCGAGGCCAAUUGGGCUGUGCCUUUGGAAGGUCUCACUGCUAUUAAAGUUGAAUGGUGCUAACUGAAUAUAAUGCGUUCAUUCUUCGGUGUGUGUGAGUGUAUGUGUAUGCAGUCUAUGCGAGUGCAUGCAGUGCGGUUAGGUUCAUUCCCGCAUGGGUUUUCGUCUUUUUUUCGUUAAAUGGUUAGGUUCAUUCCCGUAUGGGAGAGGUGUGUUUUUGCCAUCAAAUUGGUAGAGACUGAUCUUAAUCAAAUAUCAUGCCAUAGUGUUAUUUUGUUUGCAUCUAUGGAACUAUAUAUUUACUUCGUUGUUGUUGACAGCUUCGCAUGUUCCUUCCAGAUAAUGCUGCCUUUUUGGAUUUCGUAUGAGUGUCCCGGGUCGGUUCUGGACCAACAAAAGAGGGAUGAUCGCUGUCAUUCGGACUGCAGGCGUCCACUUCAAAAUCCCGGUAAACACAUCCUUUUCUUGAUUUCAGGCCAUGCAAAAUUCAUGGUGAAAAAACUGAGCUCAUGUCGUUGGUUUGUGCCUCUGUCCUAUUUCUUAUUUAUUUAUUUAUUUUAUCAAUCCUUUUCCUUCUUGGUUCUAUUUGUUGCUGCUGGUUCCGAUAUUUCAUUGCCCUAUGUGUGCAUGAUAUCAGUGCUGCCACUUUUCAUAUUCUUAUCAAUGCUUACAUCUUCACUCUUUUCCUUCUGUUUCUUUUGCUUAACAUGGUUUCGGCUUUUUGAGAUUGUGUGUUUGAUUAACAUUUGAUCGUAUGGUGUUAGAUUUUAAAUUUGAUGUGAAUAAAUUCUGCCAGCGGGGAUUUUGGUCUCUGGAUUUUUCAUGGUGUAAUUUUUAUGGCAUGAUCCAUUGGUGUUGUGUGCAUUUUUAUCAACAAUAAUAAGCUUUUUCUCAGCAUUGCAAACAAGUUUUCUUAUAACUAAGAGACGAGUGCAUGGUGCAUGUGUCUUAAUUUAUUCAGGUUAAAUAUAUCUUAUUUAUGCAGUUAAGGUGGGUGCAUUCAAGUCCCGCAGCAACACGCGGGCAUAUUUUCUCGUUGAGACUAAAGGAGGUCUUAACGCCAAAUACUGUUCUGUAUAUUUACGAAUGGUUUAAAGUUUGGGUUUAAUUGGAUAAUCAGAGAGUAGUGCGUCAGACUAUGGAUAUUCAGAAACUGAAAGCAUAAUUCAUAUUCUUCUAACAAGUCCACGCAAAUAACCACAAUCACAAUGUUAUUUAUAACUGGCCAUGUAGAACGCAGUACAAAAGCACUAAAAGCGUCCAAGUGAAAGUACUUUCUUCUCAUGUAGUUUCAUUUAACUUAGUUUUGACAUGCCAAUCAGUCACACACUCAAGUCCUGAACGUUCGGGCUCAAUGGCUCCAAGAGAGCUUCCACUUCACUCUGAUUCACCUCCUCUAACCUUGACAGGUUCCACUUCGGAUUCUGCAUUGACAAGAAACCGAAGCCAAAGAUAAAGAUCCGUUCUGAUAUACAGAAAGUAAGAUGAUUAUAUAACUGUAGGUCUUGUAGAGGCGAUCUUAUAGCAACUCAGUCCACAAAGACGAUCUUAUAGCAAGGCGAUAUUAUCACAUCAGUCAACUUUUGUUGGUCAAGUAAAGCACAUGUUACUCACAGAAAAUGUGAAAUACUACAAAACAAAACCUAUCAAAAGGAUGCAACCAUGUGAUGAAAGAAACGAAAAGGUACGAAGUCCAGACUCACUGGAUAAUUCAUAAUUGGUUGUCAUUUUUCCCAAGCGCAGAUGCCAACUUUGGAGAAGUAAUUUUUUGUCAAAUAAAGUGAAAAAGGAGCACCCUCUCCAAGACCUUGAAGAGCUUUGUUAGCCCACUCCACUGCAAUAGAAACAAUUUGGUCGAAAAUACUUGACAGUGACAUACAAGCCUCUCAAUAGAAGAGUACGACAAACUUACCAGUAGCAUCUGAACUCAGCUGCUGCUUUUUAAGUUCAUCAAUUGUCUCAAGAACCGACUUAUUUACACCAAAUGCUGAAGUUAUUUGAGGCAAAAGCCUCUUGAGUUGCGUUCCAGAAUCUGGGUUGCUGCUGAAUUUGGCCACAGUUGUUUCAAUGUUCUGAAGGGGAUCCUGGGAACUGCAUCAACAAUGGAGUUGCUUUUAUCUCAACAAACGCAUUAGACAAUGUGAUGAUGCCAACUAAAGCAUCGGAAACGCAUAGCAAGAACAGUGCUCUGAAAUUUGAAAAGCCACUGCAAUGUAAUUGACAACAUUGACAAUCUCUGUCUGACAAGGCAAUAGUACCUCUGCAAUGAUCCGGUAGCGACCGGUGACCUGAUAGGCCAAUACCAAAGCCCACUGUUAUGUCACCCAUGAAGCUUAUAUAGGGCUUCUUGCACAGAGAUUUUGCAUAUUAGAGAAUACUCAGCAGUGGAUACCUGAAAAACCUGCAGCACAGAUAUCAUAUCGCUAGCCUCUGAAUCUUGAGAAUACUAUAAAUGGUAGCUUAUAAAAGAAAUGAAUCCUAUCCAACCAAUACAUAUCAUACUACCCAAGUCAAAGCAAAAUCAAGACUAACAAAUGAUCAGAUGUUGUAGGUUGCCCGAGAAUGCCAAACAUGAAAUUACAAAAGGAAAAAUCGUAUGUGUUGGACAUUAGUAAAUAAAUGAUGAAAGCACAAUCUUAGCAAUUAAAGAAAUGUUGAAAUUUUACAUGGGUUUUUGUAAUGUUGAAAUGUUUCCGGAUGCAAUAUGUCUUCAAAAUUCAAAACAAUUACUUACUGGAAAAUCAUAAGAAUCUGAAAGAAGUAUGAAAUGUUGACUUGCUGAUGAUGAAGCUGGAGGUAAUCUGUAGUCCAGGAGCUCAGAAUGUGAUGAUGAGGAUGAGUCUGAUGAUGACAAUGCAACACGACCUUGAUCGUGUCUCACCAUAGAACCGAUCUGGGUGUGACUUAAUCUUGACAGAAGAUGCUUUCACUUCAAAAUUUUUGCCUUUUCCCCUUUCUGUCAUCUGUAGUAAUUCUCAUUUGAUUACUGGGAUUACUAUUAUCAGAUGAUUCAUGGCUUGGUUCUGCCUCAUCAUAGAACCAAGCUGGAUGUGGGUCAGAAACAUAACCAGCACUAUUCAUAGCAAGCAUAUUUUCUUUCAUUGGCUUAUCCCACGCUAGAUUAACUCCUGUUCUCUUAACAGUAAAUAAAUAAUAAGGAUCCACACUUACAAAAGGUUCUUCAAAAAUUAUAUCAACUUUAUCCCCGCCUUGCAAAUUGAGCUUAUCGUUCGAUAGUUGUCCUAGCCAAAUAUAAUCAGGUUCAGGCAUGUCGUCUAUUUCUUCUCCGUCUAUUUCUUCUCCGCGUAUGGCUAUGCAGGCUCGCAACUCAGUACGCUUGGUGUGAUUUAUAACAGUAAUGUGAAGAGAAUAAUAAUUAUUUUUUGAGUGGUAAAAGCAGAAUAGAGUCAGGCCUUUAAAAUUACGAACACUCCGGGGAAUAUCAAAACUGACUUUAUUGCCAUUGUUGACAAACUCAAACCAACCAGGAACAUAAUUCCCAUGGAAGAAAAUGCCACCAAAUCCGCAAGAAGUCCAUCCCUAUAUAAACAAUGCAAGUGUCAUAUAUAUACAUGUACAUGUGCGUUUGUGCGUGCAUGCGCACGAUAGGAAGGCAAUUAAAAGAAAGAGGGAGAGAUACCUGUAGGAUGUUCUUCUUAAAAUUAUCUGUGAGAUUGGUGCACCUUUUCAUAUCAAUCAAUGUCAUGGAGGAUAAUGACUUAUCCAAGCCUGGAACCUCAGUGAGUUUGGACGAAUCACUUAAAUUCAGUUUUCUCAUCUUUGACAUUUCCGAAAAAUUGGGCAUUAUUUUCAAUGUAGGGCAACCAGGUGCCUUCAAGACUUCCAAAUUUGUUGGUAAAUUGGGGAUUGUAUGAAGAUUUCUGCAUUUACUGAGCUUCAGAGUUUCAAGCUUUGAAAGAUCAUUGAGGCUCGGUAGGCUACAAAAAGAAUUCCCUUUAAGAUUCAAAUCUUGUAAGGAAAUUAGACUCCCAAGAUCCUUAGGGAUUUUAUUAUCAUCUAAUUUGCACCAUGAGAGAUCUAACCGAGUGAGAUUGUUCAAUCUUACUAUGGAAGGUGGUACUCGUUUUAUGGCUGUGGAAUCUGCAUCAAGUAUUUUCAAUGAUAUCAUCUUCCCUAAAUCCUUAUGCAGUUUUUUGAAAUUUGAACAGAACGAAAGAAAAAGAGUCUCAACAGAUUUCGACUUAUAGAAAUCCCCUGGAAGAAAAAUAAGAUUGUCACAGAAUCUAAGGUUCACCAAAGAAAGUCUUUUAAGAUAACCAAUAGAGGGGUGAAUUCCGGACAAUUUAUUGCAGUAUUCCAAUAUCAACUCUUCAAGAUUUGGGACUUGUGAAAAGUCUGGUGAUUUAAUUAGGUCACUAGAAAAACUGAGAUCAAUGAUCUUCAACUUCUGGAGCGAGAGCGACUAAUGCACAAAACCAAAGAAAAAUUGAAAUUAAUAUCCAAAAAGAAAAUCUUAUAAAAAAGAAGGAAUCCAAAAACAAAUAGAAACAGAACAUUAUGACGUGUAAUUGAUUAUACCUUGGAACCCUGCCAAAACUGUACCAAUUUACUAUCGUGCAUCUGUAUAGCAACUAGUUUCUCUUGAUUUAAAAAGUCAUCUGGUAUGGACUGUAAAGGGAAUUUACUCCAACAGAACCAUAUUAACUCUUUGGGAAGAUGUUCGUAUUUUCCAUUGAGCUUAUUAGCGUAGUCGAGCCGAAGUAAUCUCAGUUUCUUCAUAUUGGCAAAUGCUUCUGUACUGAAACUAGUCUUGUCAGAGCUUGGUAACCCGGGAUAAGGGAUAUCUAGAGCAAGUCCUUCAACUUCUUCAGUUCCCUGUUAAAAAAAAAAAAAAAAAGUUUAAGUAAGAAAUAGAUUAUUUGCAUAUGUUUACAUGAUUUUGCAUAAUGAAUUAUACUUGCAUUCCCCCUUUGGGGUGACAAGCUCAUUCUGCCGCUUGCAAAUAACAUUUCUUAAUCGUACAAAUUUUCAUUGUGGAACCAUUCAAUUUCUUACUCUUAUAAUCAUUACAAAAAAUUUGAAUCAGAGAUCACUUAAUUUAGACAUCCAAAUGUAUCAAUAAAUGGAUAAUUCAUUAUUGAUAUGUUACUUAGGCAAAAUCACGUACUAUGAAUAAAUGCGAGUACUAUUGUUGGCUAAUUGAGCUUUCCUUGUGCAACUAACAUAUAUACACAUGAAUGUUGUCUAAUGUAUAAUAGACAUUUUGUUAAAGAAAAAAUGUAUAAUAGACAUACGUGGGUUAUAUAUGCUUUUCCUGUACAAUGCAUUAAUCCAAAAUUUUAUUGGGAAUAUACUUACAAAUUUAUUUGUUAAUACAUUGGUGACCUCUCGAGAAUUCCACAACCUGCUCCAUUUUCCAGGGUGACCGGGGGACUUUUCAGAAAUGAUUACUCUGGCCAUUUCUCGAAGCAAAUCAUGCAUAUACAAUAUGUUGCGUUCAACAGUUACAAGGCAUCGUUCACAGAGGACACUGAUUUCUAUUGUUGCAAAAAAUUCACAUCCAUCUAAUACUUUUGCGACAUAGUCCUUUUCCCAUCCAAUAAAGAAACAAGAUAUGUCAAGGAAAGUAGCCUUUUGUGUACGAUCCAGCUUUUCAAAGCUUACUCUUAGCGGUUUCAUUAUUCCUUCAUGAGGAAUUUUUUUUAAUUUCUCCAACUGACUUUUCCACUCUGUUGGGACUCUUUCAAUCAUAGAAGAACCUAAAACUUCAAGGGCUAGUGGCAAACCACCACAGUGAGAAACAACCUCUUUUGAGAGUUCAAGAUAUCCUUCAUUAGGACAACUAUUUCCAAAGGCAUGCCAACUAAAGAGUUUCAAAGCUUCUUCUUCAUUCAUUUCCUUAAGCGGAUAUGUCUCGUCCACUUUCAUGUUCACUUGCUUUAGUAAACGAUCAUCUCGUGUCGUUAUGAUAAUUCUACUUCCUAGGCCAAACCAAUCACGAUUUCCAGCUAUUGCAUUUAGUUGUUCCACUUUGUCUACAUUGUCAAUAAUGACAAGUACUCUUCUACUUUGGAGAUGAUGUUUUAUCAGACUGAUACCUUCAUCAACACUGGUUAUCUCACGCUUGUUCUGUUUCAAGAUGUUAGAAACAAGUUGUUCUUGCGAAACAACCAGAUCUUUUUCACUAACGUUGUUAAGGAAACUUUUGAAUUGGAACUCAUGAUGAAUUUUGUUAUAAAUGGCUUUGGCAGCUGUUGUUUUACCCAAUCCACCCAUCCCCCAAAUUCCAACCAUGCGAACAACAUUUGAUCCACCAUUUGAAAGAAAAGUGAUGAUAUCUUGAAUGCGAGUAUAUAUUCCAACUGGGUGCUUGGCCACAUGUAAACUUUCUGCGCUCGGAAGCCAUUCCGGGAUAAUCUUGUUAACAAUUUCUCUAAUAAGCUUUGCUUCGCACCUGAAAAAUUGAAUUGGUAAGCUUAGUAAGUAGGCUCAGUAUGAGCUAUUAGUAUAUUUCCUUGUUUCCUUCGCGCGCGUGUGUGCACACAAACUAUCUACUAUAGCUAGUAUGUGAUUUUGGGACCAACGUCAAUAAAAGAAACAAAUUCAUUCAUGGAUAUAUUAAAGUUUGGUGUAUCAAUUAAACUCCAAUUAUGGUUUAGGUUUUACAGGAAAUUGGAGAAAUGGUCCCUGAACUAUGAUUGAACUGUAGCUUUGGUUCUUAAACUAAAAAAUUCAAUAAAUCUUGUCCUUGAACUUAACAAAAUAUGGAGCAUUCAUCCCUCCAUGUUAACACCGUAAGAUUUUCUGUUAAUUUGAUGACGUCAUCUUUGUGGGCUCUAUAUUUUUGUUUACUAGAUGCCACGUGGCUUGAAAAUUCAAAAUAAAAGAAAAUAAAUACAAACAUAGAGAAAGAAAAAGAAAAAAAAAAUAUUUCAAUUAUAAAAGUUAACUCUCUCCAAUCCUCCCUUCCGCCUCCCCUCCUCCAAACCCCAGCCACACCAUUGUAGCACUUUCCCAACAGCAAAAACAAAGAAAGUUUAUAAUCCAAAUUUGGAACACAUCUCCCUUUGCAAACAAAUUCACAAUGACAUCCAUCCACGUUGUCUCGACAGGUAAGAUUCAAGAAAUUUGUGAGAUGUGGGUUUGGGUGACGGCUGUGGUCCAUGGGCUACAGGUUGGGGCCGGCUGGGGAGUGGGGAUUAGGGAUUUGGGGUUGGAAGUGGGAGGUUGACGGGUGUGAAUCAAAGAUUGAAGGUGAAGGGGUGGGCUGCGAGCCUGCGAGUGUUGGUGGGAUGAGGUACGCCUGCAAUUAUAUAUAUAUAUAUAUAGUAGACACUUUUAACUAAAAUUUAAAGGAAUUGGUUACGAAGGACUAAUGCUCCAUAUUUUAUCAAGUUCAAGGACAAAAUAUAAUGAAUUUUUAAUUUAGGAACCAAAGCUACAAUUUUCCUCAAGAUUUUAUAUGAGAGAUUAAGGUGUAUUAAUUAAGCAUGUUAAUUAGAGUAAUACAACUUAAAUAUUGAAAAGCACAAUGAUUACCUGCAAUUAUAUAUAUAUAUAUAUAUAUAUAUAUAUAGUAGACACUUUUAACUAAAAUUUAAAGGAAUUGGUUACGAAGGACUAACGCUCCAUAUUUUAUCAAGUUCAAGGACAAAAUAUAAUGAAUUUUUAAUUUAGGAACCAAAGCUACAAUUUUCCUCUAGAUUUUAUAUGAGAGAUUAAGGUGUAUUAAUUAAGCAUGUUAAUUAGAGUAAUACAACUUAAAUAUUGAAAAGCACAAUGAUUACCUCUUAUCAGUGAUUUGAAGAUGGUAGCCAGACAAAUUUGCAGCUUUUGUAAGAACCUCUCCCCACUGCUUUAUCCCUUCUUGUUUAGCUUCACGUUUCUUGUCAUCCUUUUCUUCACCGAUGCCCUCUUCGUGCUUCUGAAAUUCUUCAGCCAACUCUGCAGCUUCUCUAAGAGCCUCUGUCCACUGCUUUACCCUUUCUCGUUUUUCUUCACGUUUCUUGUCAUCUUUUUCUUUACUGAUGUUCUCUUCGUGUUUCUUAAAUGCUUGGGCCAAAACUCCAUUCUGCUUCCUGACAUGUGAAGGAUCAACGUGAUAGAAUAUUGGCAAAACAUGUCGCCCCAAUUUGUCUCUGCACUCCAUGAUCUUCACCAGCUCGUUAAGACACCAACUCGAAUCCGCAUACCUCUCUGAGAAGACAAUGAUAUAGAUCUUCGAUUUUUCGAUUGCCUGUUCCAGUUCUUUUUUUAUUUCUUCCCCUCUUUCUAGAUCGUCCUCAUCGAUAUACGCUUGAUAUCCCCUAUCUGUUAAUGCCGCGUGGAGGUGGUCCGUGAAGCCACUGUGUGUGUCUACACCGCUGAAGCUCAAGAACACGUCGUAAUUCCAAAGUUUUGACUUGGGGGAGGAUGAAGAGGAGGCUUCAUGGUUUGUCAUGGCGGUAUCCACUGUUAUGGCACUGCAGUGGUUCAGAUUAUGACUGAAAAAUGGCAGUAGUUGUGUUUGUGCUAUUGAACAGAUGAUCCUGAAACACCUAAACCCAAGUCAAGCUCCUUAAGUCAACAAGAACAAAGUUUAUAAUAUAAUAAUGUUGGCGUAUGGAAACGACAUAAUGUUGGCCAGAAGGUGCAGAGACAAACUUGAAUGCAAGCUUUCUGAAAUCUUCCAACCAAUACAGAUAAAAAGGUAACACCCUAGUCAGAAAUGAACUGAGGUGUUAGCUUUCUAAGACACCCAGAUGACAAAAUCAACAAAAUAGAAUGGAAAACUGACUUACACUUUUAAGGCAUGCUAGAAUCUUGAUCUAAAAUUGGUGGUGGGUCGAUUGUUGGUCACCAACUCUAAAUGAAGAAUUCAUCAGAACCUAGAAAAUUAAACAAAGAACUUUCCAAAAUCAACAUUUACUAAAAACCAUUUACUUGGUUAUCAUGCAAGAUGGCUUGCCAAAGAUUGAAUUAAGGAAUGCAAAACUUUACUUUUAUGAUGAUUUCCAAUGACAGCUAAAAGGUCAGAACCAAAUGAAAAUAAAAGUUAGGACUUCACAAAACCAAUUAAAAUCUAAUUCCAAAGUUACAAACACCCACCAAAUGAUUCCAGAUAAAGUUUUAAACUCAAGGUCAGACCCAAAUGAAAUUAAAAGUUAGGACUUCACAAAACCAAUUGAAAAUCUGAUUCCAAAGUUUCAAACACACACCAAAUGAUUCCGAAUAAAGUUUAAACUAAAAAACCCAACAGAAACAAAAGCAUUGGUGUGAAUUAACAGUAUCUAAUUGAAGAAACUAAAACAAAAGUAAAGUAAAGUAUAUACCUCAAAAUAUCAAGCAAUUAAGUUCUUCCUCCGAUGACCCAAAACUCUGAAAAUUCCACACAAAAAAAAAGGUAAAUCCAUUAGCAAUUCAUAGCUUUCAAAAUCAGCAAAAACUUGGGCAACAAUAAAGAUGCGUUGAGAACCAUCACUCUUUCUCCUUAUGUAUUUGAAAAGAUAUUUUAUAAGCAAUUUAUGUAGUCAUUCUGAUCAUGUUGCAUAUAAAUUCCUUUUCUACAGAGUUCAAAAAAAAUAGGGCAGUUUAUGGCAUCUGUUGAAUAACAUGGUUGAAAGAUUUAAAAUUGAUAAAUUCAAUUUUUAUGUGUAAAACUAUAACAUAUAGCUAAAGCUAUUGGGUCUAUAUAUCCAUAUCAAUCAUGUCGUAAUUGAAGGUUUAUCGAUGUAAAUAGAUGAUUUCAGUCAUGUGAAGUAUAUGCUGAAGUUUGGUCUAAGUUAGAUAAAAAUUGACCAAAAUCUUAAUAAGAGACUCUUUUAGCUUUUAACCAAAAAAUGAGCACCACAAUACUACACUUAUAAGUUUUAUCAUGCACAAAAUACAUAGCACUGAUUGCUACUUUUAGAGCAAGAACAAUACUUUCCAAGAAAACAACAAAACACUCAAAACCCAGAAACAGAAACACACUUAGGACUCCAACUCCUCAAAAACAUGAGAAAGAGAGAGAGUGUGUGCGAGGAGAGAGAAUAAAAAACCAUAUUAAUUUUCACACAAACUCAAAAUUGCUUAUAAAAUUACAAAUCAAAACAAAUGAAAGCAAAUCCAAAUUGCCCUAAAUUAAAUCUGAUUAGUUAAACGUUUGUUGCCCUACAAAUGUCGUUACACCCGACACAACUUGCUUUGAAGUUGAUAUUUUGGUCAAUCCAGGGAAAAAGGAGUUAUUGGUUUUGGAGCGGUUGUCAUGGAGAAUACCAUCUCCCUGUUGAAUGAUCUAAAAAAGGACUUACAGCUUCUGCUGGCCAUAAUAAGGCCCUUCUCUCCAGAUUUUCUCAAUAACUUUCCUUUUCGUAGCUGGUAAGAUUGCAACUCCAAGAAUUGCUCUGAAGAGAUAUACAAAAAAAUCAAACUAAAACUAAGCUAUUGGAAGAAAUUUAGAAAACACAAACAUCACUACAACUCAGAUUUAAAGUCAACAGAAACCAAAUGGUAGAAGUUGAAAAAAUACAUGGUCAUGAAUCGAGAACUUCAUCAAGCUACAACAACAACAACAACAACAAAGCCUUUUCCCACUAAGUGGGGUCGGCUAUAUGAAUCCUAGAACGCCAUUGCGCUCGGUUUUGUGUCAUGUCCUCCGUUAGAUCCAAGUACUCUAAGUCUUUUCUUAGAGUCUCUUCCAAAGUUUUCCUAGGUCUUCCUCUACCCCUUCGGCCCUGAACCUCUGUCCCGUAGUCACAUCUUCGAACCGGAGCGUCAGUCGGCCUUCAUCAAGCUAACAGCAAUAAAAUCUCAUAUAAUCUGUCAAAAACCAAAAAAGAGAGAGAGGUAAUUUCAAGACCUUGUAAUGCCGAGGCCUCGUACAAUUGUAGUAAUAAUAUAUGGUUGAUGCACCUGUUGCUCAAUCAAAUCCUUUGUCUGGCUAAAAAAAAUAAAAAUCUAUAAAUACAUUCAUGUCCAAUUUAUGAGAAAUCAUGGGAAAGCAAAUGCACUGAUAACGGAAUCAUGAAUAUGAAAAACUUGCCAAAAAGAAAAAGAAAACUUCUUAUAGUGUGCCAAGAACAUCCUCCUACUCCUAGCAAACUUUUUAUGGCAUUAUCCACUUCUCAAUUCAUAAUUCAACCACUAACUCAAAGUCUAUAGUGUAUGAAAAAGUGAUAUCUUAGUUGAUCACGAUGAUAAUUAAGCAGAUUAAAUGACAACCCAUAAAGCAUACAAAUUCAGAAAAGAAAAGGUUCAAAACUGCCAUAAGAAAACAUAGAAUAUAUAAACGGGAAAUCAAAAGAAGAGAGGCGAAAAAGGAAGAAAAAACCAAACAAAAUUAUUAGGUUUGGGAUAUACCUUUAUCUGAAACGCCACAAUCAUCAAAGUCAAACAUAAACAAUCCAAAAAGUUGUGGAAAAUAACAAUAAAUGCUCAACGAAAAACGAAAGAAACGUAGAAUAAGUUUACCUGUCCUCCCCCUAAUAAUACAAUUCACCACUUAUAUUCUCGUCAUCCUCUUCAGCCUGAAAAAUUUAGUAGAAAUAUUCAAUGAAGGCGCUUAAUGGAGACAGUAAUAUUAGCAAUGGAGGAAUUGAAUUGAUAACUAAAACUGCAAGACCAAUUGACUACGAUAGGUUCAAAACAGAAACUCAUCUGUUAGAUGUCUCAUCUUUAGGCAGUGCCUUGUUCUUUUCUUUUUUUUGUUCUUUUUUUUUUUUUGUUUUUGGUUGCACGUCUUGUGACGUUCAUGUAAAUGAACAAAAUUGAUACUUUUGACACAACCAACAAUGGAGAGGUAAAAAGUUAAAAACAGAAGGAAUGUCUUUUGUUAUGUAAUAGAUUUUGCAAGUCAGAAAUUCUGUUCGAGAAUUUGCAACCCAGAAAGUCCGCCAGCAAUUAUUAACAAUCACAGAUAAGCACCGAAUGAAGGCCAAUCUAAUAAGCCAAAAUAUGUAGGGCACUAAAGAAAUUAUUGCCCAGUAACAAAUGAUAGAUAAGCACAUGUGAAACUAAAGAAAUUUUUCCUUACUAUCAACUCCAAAAAAAUAACCUAUACAAUUCAAAAAAUGUUGAUACAUGCCUGAAAUUGGUAUUUGAACCACCAACUACCUCCGUGAAUAUGUUUGUUUGCUUAAUGGUUUGCGUUGAAGUUGUGAAAGGAAAUGCAAUUUCUUAAAAGAAGGAGAAUGCAGAGACAAAUACAGAAUGGUUCACGUGGCCACCCUCAAAACAAUAAUGUCGUAUACAUUAAGCCUGCCAAUUACUAAAAACAAAACAUUUUGCCAUGAGGAGAAGUAAGAACAUACCGAAACUUGUUUGCAAAUAGAUGAGAAAAAUUAUACCUCAAACAGAUGGGAAAUUUAUUAGGAAAGAUAGAUCAGCCCACAUGUGUGUAAUCUAUAUACAAAAAACCACUCUCUUCAUUAGCCAAAUCGUUUCAUAAAUCCAACAACACAUAAUUAUAUCUUGAACAAUGCCAAUUAAUGAUUUCCCAUUUACUUAAGCCGGACAACAAAGCCAAUGAACUGAUGAAAGAGCGAAAAAGAGAAACAAAAAACCUCAAUUAAGCAAUUAAAUGGAGUAUUACUUGAUAGAGCUGGAAAUUACCCAAUUCCUCAGAGAGAGGAUCAAGAGUGACUGAUGAGAGUGCAGAGAAACGAAUUAUUGAGAAAUUCAAGUUCUGAGCUCAAAGUUGGGGCCUCCACUUUCCAACUGGGGAAGAAAUAACAGAGAAAACACAGAGAGAGCCAAUCCACCAAAAAUAUUAAUCAAAUGGGUUUCUUCUAAUUCAAAAUUUGGACCACCCAAUUUCCGAUGAAGCAAUAACCAUUCAAAAUUCCAACAGAUUGAAGCCCUCACAGACUACAAAUUAUCAAUACCCAGCAAUAAAAAAUUUGAAAACAGUAAUAAUGAAGGAAAAAGAAAUUAAAGCUGCGAGCCAUUCUCUAAAUCUCAGGCACCAAUCCAAAUCACCAGUAAUUUGCACAUAAUGAUAAGAAUCUAGCGGUAUUUCCAUUGUUUAAAAACCCAAAUUCAAGAAAUCAUGAAAAAUGGAAACUUUAUUUGGAAAUUGAAGCUUUACCUGCAGAUCAGCAGCAGCAAACGGAAUCCAACGGCAUGUACCUCAAAAGUGAGAGAGAGAGAGAGAGUUGAGAGAUGAGUGAGAGAAUCGAUAAACAAAACCCCCCAAAAUCACAAAAGGAAAAUUGAACAGAAAACAAAUUUGCAAAUCCAAAAUCACAAAAACGAAAUUGAAACACCCACACUGAGAAAGCUGCAAUACUCACCAGGAAGCUAGCUUUUCUGGGUAAAAAAAUUGUUCGAAUCGAAUUGAAGAACCGAGGAAAAUUCUACUGGUUCAGUGGUUUUUCCAGCAAGAAAGCACCUUGUUUGUAAUUCGUGAGAGGUUGGACGGCGAGAGAGAAAAACGUAAAGGAAAGGAAAAGCGGAGAAGAAGUCACGAUUAUCGACGCGUGGGUUGCAUUCCACUGUGCCAAGUUCGAAAAUGAACGGGGAAUGGGGAGCUUGGCUGAGGGAGACAGAAUUCGAGAAGCAACGUUCUGAUUUUUUUUUUUAUAUGAGAGAGGGAAAGAGGAAUGAAGAGAAUCGACAAGAGGAGGAACCAUUUUAAGCGAUGAUGGACGCGUGGGAAUUGAGGGCAAAUUUGCCAUUUUGCUGUGAACCCAAAAGUCAAGACUUGGCUUGGUUUAUAUAAUUAAUCAAUAAUAUUUCAUAACAAGAGCUAGGUCCAUAUAUUAUACAAGGUUCUAAUAUAAUAGAUGUUGUGGCUAGGCGAGGCUUAUUGUCUAUGCGAAUUUAAGUAAAUUUACUCUAUAUUAAAUAAAUAAAUAUAUUUUUACACUUAAAAUGACACAUAAUUGUAUUGUGAUAUAUAAAUUAUAAAAUAAAAUGAUAUAUAUAUUAUAAAGUAUUGGAGACCCAAAUGUGAAAUGACAACUAUAAACAAUUAUUCAAGGUGGACGGUAAAUGAUUCAGCCAUUUACAAGAUUCAAAACGUAGGAUCACGAUCUACUGGAUGAUUGUAUUAACUAUUAGGCGGUGCUCUAAUAUAAUACAUCCAAAUGGGGGUGGACCACAUAAUACACCCAAUAGGUCGUUUUAAGCUACUCCACUGCUAAAACUAUUGCAAAAUGCGCAUUAGGAUUUAUACUUCUAUUAGCUACGCCUUUCCUUACUAGGCAAAUGAACCAUAUAGUACACCAAGAUGGAUGUUAUACACGUUGGAGUUUGAGCAGAAUUCUUUUUGUUAUCAUGUCUCACAUUGCUAGAAUUGAAAAGUUCAUAAUAUAAUAACAUUCACGUAUGAACUUGAGAAACAACAUACUACUGGUUGGCCUGGAAGGUGCAGUGAAGGAGAGGAAAGAAAGUAACAAACACGAAAGGAUAAGGACUAUCCAAUAGAUUAUAAACAAUGACUUCUUGGGGGUGAUUACAGCUAUUCAACCAUCAAUAAUGCAUUAUUUUAGUUUGGAAUUUGGAAGCAUUUGAGAAGUAACAUGACAACAACCACAUAAUAAACAAAGAUGAUUAGAAAAAAGACCCGAAUGUGAAAGAAUAAUUAAAAACAAUUAUUCAAGAUUAGUGAUAAAUGAUUCAACCAUUUACAAGAUAUGAACUUAGAACAACAAUCUAUUAGAUCGUUGUAUUAAUUAUUAAGUGGUGCUCUAAUAUAAUAGAUCCAAAUCGGAACGGACCACAUAAUACACCCAAAUGGAUCAUUUUUAGGCUCCACUGCUAAAAACUAAUGCACCAUGGGCAUUAGGAGUAGACUUUUAUAGCUAUCUUUCCUUACUAGUCAAAUGAACCAUACAAUACACCCAAAUGGAUGCCAUCAUGCCAUAUAUAAACAAUGUUUUGAAAGGACAAGGUAGCUAACGCUGUCUUUUUAUAUAUGUAAGCAACAACCCUAAAUGAAUCUUAUUGGAGCUAAUUAACUAAUGUAUUUAUUAGACAGUUGGAUUCCUUAGCAAGGGGUUAACUAUUUUUGUUUAGAUUAGUAGUCAGGUGGUAAUUAAUUAGUCAAAUGAACCAUAUAAUACACCCAAAUGGAUGUGCAUAUAUAAACAAUGUUUUCGAAGGAUGAAAUGACUUUCUUGCCGGUAUGGGGGAAGAGGAUUGCGCGAAAAUUUUCGCACUAAUCUAAAUAUUGUGUUUCAAGCUUUGAAAAACCAUUGAAGCUUUGAAAAGUUUGGUGAUUUUGUUAGGUUAUGUGUAUGAGUGACAUUAAUAAUUUUCAACUUCCCAAGCAAUUGUUACACAAAAUUAAAUUUAAAAUCCAAGAGGCCGUGGUUACAGCUAUUCAACUUUUGUAGAUUUUCCGGUUUUAUGAGAUUGGCAUUCUUUUUCAACACAACUUCUAUUGAGUUCAUAUAAACUAUUAUAUGAAGGAGAAAUGGUAAAAAGACUCCCUCAAAAUCCCAAAUGUGAUAGGAGAAAAGACACAAAUAUGAAACAAUUAAAAACAAUUAUUCAAGGUGGGUAGUAAAUGAUUCAGUCAUUUACAAGAUUCAAACAUGGGACCACGAUCUACUGGAUGACUGUAUUAACUAUUAGGCGGUGCUUUGAUAUAAUACAUCCAAAUGGGGGUGGACCACAUAAUACACCCCAAUGGUUCGCUAAAAACUAUUGCAAAAUGCGCGUUGGGCUUAUACUUCUAUUAGCUGCGCCUUUCCUUACUAGGCAAAUGAACCAUAUCCAAAAUGGAUGUUAUACACGUUAGAGUUUGACCAUAAUUUUUUUCGGUUAUCUCAUUGUCUCACAUUGCUAGAAUUGAAAAGUUUUAAUAACGUUUGUGUAUGAACUUGAGAGACGACAUACUAUCGGCCGGCGGGGAAGGUGCAGUGAAAGAGAGGAAAGGAAGAAAGAAGUCAACACGGAAUGACAAAGACUAACCAAUAGGUUAUAAGCAAUUACUUCUUGGGGUGAUUACAGCUAUUCAACUAUCAACAACGCAUUAUUUUAGUUUGGAAUUUGGAAGCAUUUGAGAAGUAACAUGGCAACAACCACAUACUAAACUAAAGUGAUUAGAAAAAAGACCCAAAAUGUGAAAGAAUAAUUAAAAACAAUUAUUUAAGAUAAGCGAUAAAUGAUUCAACUAUUUACAAGAUAUGAACUUAGAACAACAAUCUAUUUGAUCGUUGUAUUAACUAUUAAGUGGUGUUCUAAUAUAAUAGAUCCAAAUGGGGACCGACCAUAUAAUACACCCAAAUGGACCAUUUUUAGGCUCCACUGCUAAAAACUAAUGCAAAGUGGACAUUAGGAUUAAACUUGUAUUAGCUAUCUUUCCUUACUAGUCAAAUGAACCAUACAAUACACCCAAAUGGAUGGCAUCAUGCCAUAUAUAAACAAUGUUUUGAAGGGACAAGGUAGCUAACGCUGUCUUUUUAUAUAUGUAAGCAACAACCCUAAAUGAAUUUUACUGGAGCUAAUUAACUAAUGUAUUUAUUAGACAGUUGGAUUCCUUAGCAAGUGGUUAACUAGUUUUGUUUAGUUUAGUAGUCAGGUCGUAAUUAAUUAGUCAAAUGAACCUGCAUAUAACACACGCAAAUGGAUGCCAUAUAUGCAUACUAUUUUUGUUUAGUUUAGUAGUCAGGUCGUAAUUAAUUAGUCAAAUGAACCUGCAUAUAACACACCCAAAUGGAUGCCAUAUAUGCAUAUAUAAACAAUGUUUUCAAAGGAUGAAAUGACUUUCUUGCCGGUAUGGGGGGAAGAGGAAAGAAACUAGCACGAAACUGCAGACCCUAUCGAUCCAUUAUAAUAAAUUUCAAUGGUCCAAGUUGUAAGUUAAUUGUGUAACGUAAAAACUUAUUUACAGUUAUCAACUUAACCACGUACAUGUGGAAGACAUUAUCUCAGAAAACUAGAAAGUUCAAUUGCAACUCUACACAACUGAAAGCAAGGCUCGCUCAAUAGGGCUUGAGUUUUUUUGUAAACUUGCGUAUUUUUGUAAACGCAUCACAUAGUAGUUAAAACAUCCGGCCGUAAAUAAAGGGUUUGAGUGUCACAUCCUAGCUCGGGGCAGACCACUUCCCGGGCUCACUCCACUACCGUAGCAUGAUAUUGUCCGCUUUGGGCCCCGACCACGCCAUUACGGUUUUGUUUCUAGGAACUCACGAGCAACUUCCCAGUGGAUCACCCAUUAUGGGAGUGCUCUGGCCACCUUCUCGCUUAACUUCGGAGUUCCGAAGGAACCCGAAGCCAGUGAGCUCCCAAAAGGCCUCAUGCUAGAUAGGGAUGAGAAUAUACAUUUAAGGAUCACUCCCCUGGGCGAUGUGGGAUGUUACAAUCCACCCCCCUUAGGGGCCUGACGUCCUCGUCGGCACACUUCCGGCCAGGGAUUGGCUCUGAUACCAUUGUCACAUCCCGGCCCGGGGCAGAACACUUCCCGGGCCCGCUCCACCACCGUAGCACGAUAUUGUCCACUUUGGGCUUACCAUUCCCUCACGGUUUUGUUUUUGGGAACUCACGAGCAACUUCCCAGUGGGUCACCUAUCCUGGGAGUGCUCUGGCCCCCUUCUCGCUUAACUUCGGAGUUCCUACGGAACCCGAAGCCAGUGAACUCCCAAAAGGCCUCGUGAUAGGUAGGGAUGAGAAUAUACAUUUAAGUAUCACUCCUCUGAGCGAUGUGGGAUGUCACAAUCCAAUUGUAACAGUGUCAUGAUCAGACUUGUAAGACUGUCUUUAAUAAGAAGUUGUUGCGUUUUGUCAAAACUAGGUAUGGGCAACGGUUAUGGCGGGCGGGUAACCGCGGUUAAUUAUCCAUAACCGUUUAUUCUCAUACAUGCAUAACUGUUUACCCGUUGGGUAAUUGUCUAAACGGUUAUACCCAUACCCAUAACCGUUUAUAAACGGUUAACCAUAACCAUAACCGUGUACCCAUUUAACCGUAACCGUUUAGUACCCAUUUACCCAUUUAUCAUUUUUAAACCCGUUUAUCCUUUCUUUUUUACCAUUUACUCAUUUUUCACGCAUCUACGUGUUUUUUUAACAACUUGAAAAUUAAAAAAGAAAAAUUUGUCAUAAUUUUCUUUUUCUAACAAUUAAACACCGUUGUAGUAUUCAUCAUACAUUUCCGUAUUUUAAUUUUUAAGUCCUUAUACCAUUUCAAUAAUUGAAAUAAUAGUUUACAGACAAUAUUUUUAAUUGUUAGCAAUGAAGGUAAUAUAAAAUUUGCUAAGUAUUCUUUGGUUACGAAAACUGUUAAAAGACAGUAUUCUUGGGUUAUUUAACUCAGAAUGUAUAAUAUAUAUAAUGGACCAUGAAAUUUAAAGUGGUUAAGGAAAACUAUAUUAUAUUAGCUAUAGAAAUCAUGCACUAUAGUCAAUAGCAUUGAUCUAAGUUUUGUCCGAUAGUGAACAUGGUUUGUGUUAAUUUUACAUAUAUAAAAUAAAUGGGUAAAUGGUUACCCGUUUAUAACCACGGUUAAUACCCAUACCGCCCAUUUAAAUUUCACGAGUAAACGCCCAUAACUGUAACCGUGAAAUUUAAAUAGGCGGAUAACCGCAGUUACCCAUAACCAAUGAGUAUUUACCCAUCCCUAGUCAAAACCGGUCCAUCUAAUUACAAAUUGUAACCAUAUUAGUUGAGUGCAUAUGCUACAUCACAUUUAGUGAAUAUUCAGUACGGGUGACACAUGGUCAGACUUGUAGGUUGUUCAUUAAGAAGUUAGUUACCACGUUCUCAAGAGUGGAGCUAGAGGGGAGCACUUCCCUACCAAAGUGUUUUCCUUCUCCCCUUUGCAAGGGAUUUGUGUCACUAUUAGAUAGGAGAUUCAAACACAAGACCUUCAAUUGAGAGGUAAACGCUUUUACAAAGCUUCUACGAGCACCUUCUUGUUUACCAAACUUAUUGAGACUAAAGGAGGUCUUAACGCCAUUUUGGCUAAUACUAUUCUGUAUAUUUACGAAUGGUUUUAAGUUUGGGUUUAAUUGGAUAAUCAGAUAGUAGUGCAUCAAACUAUGGAUAUUCAGAAACCGAAAGCAUAAUUCAUAUUCCUCCAACAAGUCCACGCAAAUAACCACAAUCAGAAUGUUAGUUCAUAACUGGCCAUAUAGAACGCAGUACAAAAGCACUAAAAGCGUCCAAGUGAAAGUGCUUUCUCCUCAUGUAGUUUCAUUUAACUUAGUUUCACAUGCCACUCCGUCACACACUCAACUCCUCAACGUUCGGGCUCAAAGCAUUCUUUAUCCCUUCUGCACGAGAGACAAUAAGUUUAAAGUUCUUGUGAUGAAAUCAUGUAAAACAUUCAGAAAUCUUGAUUUAACCCUUUAUCAAGAUCAUAGGUUGUGUCAUCUCAACUUAUAUCUUAGGUCUUAUGAGUGCUCGUAAUACACUAAUAUGACACUUGUUUUCUGGCCAGGACAGAAACAAAAUCAUGCAGGAAAUUGUCAUGACAACUUCAGUGUAAAAUAAAGGUCGUACCCAGUGCACAAGGCUCCCGCUUUACGCAGGGUCUGGGAGAGGUGAAUGUCGGCUAACCUUACCCCCAUUUAUGGAGAGGCUGCUCCCAAACAACUUCAGUGUAAAAUGCGACCGGAAAAACACUAAACAAGAUUGCUAUGCUCUCUUAGUGUAAACCUUAACAACAAAGACUAUACCGUAUCUGUCACAGUGAUAUGCGACCAUAAGCCCAACUCCAAGAGCUUUGAAGGCUACAAAUCAAAAGUUACAUGCAGUGACGACAUAAUCAUGAAAAAAUACAAUCAUAAAUUAAAGGAAAACAUACCGACUUCUAGUUCUGGCAAUUCACUAUUGGGCCAUAUAUUUGAACCACAGUAUGAUGGAUACCUACAAUACAGAUCACAAAUAAAAUCUGAGCAGACACAAAGUAUUAUGUUCUGUUUACACAAAAUCUGUAAGUUCUCAAAUAGGAUAAAUAAAGAUAAACAUAUCCCAGCAUAAAGACGAUUUGUCCUGGCUAAUUCUAAGAAACCUUGUAUCAAAUGUAUGAUAGUUAUUCAUAACUAACACAAACAAUAGUUUUGCCGAACAUUUCUGGUCUGAGCCGUAUACUGUGUGACCUCAGACAAAACAGAUCCCACAUGGACCCAGAUUAUGAUUGAUGUCCCUAUAGACUUUUACCUUUGAAUUAGAGAUUCAUCUGUUGUAGGGCUUCCAAUAUUGGAUUUGCAUAAAACGAGCCUUUUAACGUAUCUGCAAAACCAGAACAGAAACGGAAAAUGAAUGAUCCUACGUUCUUAGAGUUUCCAAAGAAACAAAAUUUAAAACAAAGAACAUAAAGUGAUACCAGGCUUUCCAGAUUCCAGCUUCUCUUUUCCAUGACUCCAUCCAAAAUUGUACCUAAACAUGGAUGGCAGGUAAAAAGAAGAUAAGCAAUAAGACUUUGUAAAGAUUCCCAAGAAAAGCAAUAAAACUACGUAAAUAUUAGUUAAUAAUGCCAAGACCAUAGUCUGUGACAAAUCCAAGAGUUGAGAUGAGACUAUCUUUCAGGCAGGAAUUUUUGGAAUUUUUCUCUAUUGGGACUAAAAUGAAAGCAUAACAAUGGGACUAAAAUGACUUAGCUACUAUGAGGAUCUUCAAGUUCCUUCUUCACCUCUUCGGGCAGAUUGGCUAAUCUAAUAAACGAAAAGAAAACUCCCAUGAGCAGUGCUAUAACAAACUAUCUUCCUAAAUUCAUUAUGAAUUGCAGUUAAAACUUAAAAUGAACAUGAAAAUCCUACGUAGAAGGGAUAUACCUAGGUGACAAGCCUAGAAGAUUCUCACGCAAGGAAGAAUAUCCCGGAACCUACUGCCAUUAAGGUUGUUAUUAAUAUCAAUUCAUGUAUAUUUCCGCAUGUGUCAUAUUAUUAAGUUAGACAGUGAAAAAUAUAUAUCGGAUGUUAUGAGAAUAUGUGUGGCUGUCAAGCUUGACACGUGAAUAACAUGCUCUCUACUACUUUAUUACACUGUGAAGAUUUUAUCCAAAAUUAAUUGACGAUGAGCGAAUAAACUGAAAGAUUAUGCGCUACUUUGAUUAUGCAACGAGUGAAGAGGCAAUUUACGCCAACCUCCAGUCAAGAAUUUGGACUCACAAUCACUAGCCAAUAUGCUUUUUUCUCACAUUUCCCCUGACACGGCAAGUUCAUUGUUCAAUAUUCUGGUUCUGGUGUCCUAUGACCCUGACACGGCAAGUUCCACUUUUUGUUCAUUUUCUUGACGAAACCAUCACACUUACCCUUACGGCACGGCACGGUUCCGGGCAUAGAGCAUGGAUUGGGUUUCGUUGCAGUCCCGACACUACUUAGCACUGUAGAGAAGGAAAUACAAAGACAAGUUUGGAUUUCUUACAACGUAUUGAGUCUCUCGUCAUGGCUCUUGCUGUGUUGUUCUUAUUUCACAUCCUGUUUCUCGAGUUUGGUGUUUCCGGUUGCAAAUUUGGUUCGGCAGUGUAGUGCUCAAGAGAGGGGACUGUCUCACAUUGUUCCAAGCAGACACAGGCGGUUGACAACGAUUGCGAUAAUGUGUUUUUCUACUGGGAGAACAUACAGCAGUCAGCAGUCAUCUUUUCACAACCGUCUUCAGUAUUUGGAGGCACCUCAAGAAAUUAUCAAGGACAAACGAAUGUAGAAAAGAAGAAAUAUCGAAGUUAGUUGACAAAAGGGGCCGAAAAAUUGUGAGAUACAGAGAAGAAGAUUAGACGAAACUCGAUGCAAAUUUUAAGCUAGAUUAGUUAUUUUUCAUUAACGAGCGAUACAGAGAAGAAGAAACAGCUGCAUUUGGAGAAAGCUGCUUUAGUUGCCUAGUUUGUAACAUUAGCUUUCUGUAAUUCCGGGGAAGAAACAGGAGUAAAAAAAAAACACAAUCAGGCAGUACCAAAAAAGAAAAAUGUACAAUUAGGAACAAUCGCCACUUCUCAAACUUUGUAGUAGAUCCAGGUAUCUGAUGGACUCGGGGCUAAUGUACCUGCAUUAACAAGAAACAAAAAUCAGAUUUGUGGAAGGGAGUCACAUAGUGGUUAAAAUACUUGGCCGUGCAUGAAUGGUUUGAGAUACCAUCAUAGAGGCAUCCUCCAGGUGUGAGUUUCUCUCGUAUCUGAUCACUUAUUAUAAGAAUAUCAGUAGUGAAAGUGAAAUACCCGUGUCGGGAAAGGAAGUCAAUGAUGACAAAAGAGCAAUUUGGCUUGAAAUAUUGUGUCCUCCGUAUGAUGCUUGCAACAUGCAUCACCGAAUCCACUUGAAGCUCUCCACCUCUCCAUCUGUUAAAUGUUUCAUAAGCAGCAUUGUUAAAGUUCUCUCUAUUUGGGGGGAUAUUGCAGAUGGUUUUGAAUGAAGAAAGGCAAAAAUUCAUGCAGAAGGCAUAAUUUACAACUAGUUUUGUAAAAGCUAAGCUCUAAAGGUCUCACCUUGAUUCUUUGGCACAAAUAGCUAAAGUUUUGAGAUGGGACAAAAUGGGUCCCAAGACCCACAUACAGCGCAUCCGAUGGUGUUGAAAUCCUUUUCCCAGUAAGUCAAAGAUAAGCGCCAAGAAAGACAUGACAGUGUUAAACUUAAAACAAAUACAGAACUAAGAAUUGAUGCAUGAAUCAAACAGAGAAAUGGUACAGGCCAUUCUCUUUAUAUUCUUAUAAUCUAAACAUUUCUCCUUAUCAACACUGGAAAAACAGCUUGCUUCAGUCAUAGGAAAUAAAUUGCGCCUGGAGUAUAGAAAAGACAUACCUACAGAUCCUCCUCCUGGACUCUUUGCCGCUAUACGUGAAAACCCAACAUCUGGGAACAAACAAAUUACAUUCUCUGCCAUAGCAAGAACAGUCCUCUGAAAUGUAUCCAUACAAAGUUAAGACACAAAAAAUUCAAAAAGGCAAUGUAAUUCACAACAUUGACAAUCUCUGUCUGACAAGGCAAUAAUACCUCUGUAAUGAUCUGGUAGUGACCGUGACCUGAUAGGCCAACACCAAAGCCCAUUGUUAUGCCAUCCAUGAAGAUAGGGCUUCUUGUACUCAGAGAUUUUGCAUAUUAGAGAAUACUCAGCAGUGAAUACCUGAAAAACAUGCAGCACAAGUAUCAUACCGGUAGCCUCUCAAUCUUAAGAAAUGGUAGCUUAGAAAAGAUAUGAAUCCUAUCCAACCAAUACAAAUCAUAUUACCCAAGUUCAAGCAAAAUCACGACUAAACAAAUGAUCAGAUGUUGUAGGUUGCCCGAGAAUGUCAAACAUGAAAUUACAAAAGAAAAAAAAACAAUCGUAUGUAUUGAACAUUAAUAAAUACUUGCUGAAAGCACAAUCUUAGCUGCAAUUUAUGACAUUUAUACGAGAUUGAAUAGCCAAAGCAAUUAAAGAAGUAGCAGAACUCAUAUAAGUGAUUUUCACUUUGAACUUUUAGGCUUAUCAGCAAAUACAUCAUUACGAUUCUAACGCAUGAAUUUUGUUAAAAGGGGCUUGCUUGCUUGUAUUAAGGCUUAAUCAUCAAUGAUUUUGCAAGGGUCAAUCGUCUUGCUAGUUGUAAAUCCAUGCACUAUGAAAAUUACCAAAAUUACAUCUUAUAUGGUAGAGAAGGAAGUCAUCUUAUAUUAUCUGGAUUUUAGAAGACGGUGUAAGGUUAUAAGUCUGUUAUUCUAUAUAGUUUAAAGGACACAAUUAGACAACAAUCAUAUUCGGUGGUUGGUUUUUGGCCGUGAUCUGCUUCACAUCACCGCCCGCAGGUAAUCUAAAUCUGGGUUAUUACUUAUCAAUGAAUCAAAGUGCCAACUUAUCGGACACCAACUAUCUCUCUAUGGCAAAAAAAUAACACAAAAAGGAACAAUGAAGUGAAACAAUAAACAACAUGACAUGAAACAGCACAAACAUCAAAGACCAACAAUCUAUCACAUAAGCACCUAAACAAGAAACAACUUUAGUUCAAAGCAAAGCGUAAUGUAGAAACCUUCAGCACAAGAGGCGUGUUUUUGUCCUUUUGAAUUUCGGCAACAACAACUUUAAUAUCCUUACCUGCAUUUACCAUGAUUGGUCACUCUCAAAACCUUACCUAAGAGACCCAAAAACCAAAAUAACUGCUAAAAGAGCUGAACAUACAUAUCUAGAAAAACUUAUUCAACUACAUGCUAAAAUGGAAGUGUAAAAUUGCCAGGAAAGAUAAGAAACUAUUCAAAUACGAGUUCUGGGCGUUACCGCCACAAAAGGCACGAGCCGAGCGGCUAUCAACAAGAACACACUUCACAUUUGGGUCAGAUUCCCAUUCAUCCAGAUAGCUCUUGUAUUUCACAUCCAAAUCUGCAUUUUCCAACAAUUCCCACUUAAACAGAAACACAAAAUUCUUCCAAAAAGAGCUAACUUCUUUGAAAUUUGAAUCCAACGUUUCGUCUUAUAACAAAUGCAAUAACAUAGAUUUGUAAUCAAUACGAUGCCAUAAAGUUCAAGCUCAAAAAUUCAAAUCAUCUCCAAAUCAAAAGCAAUUACAGAUAUAUACAUAUAUACAUAUGCGUGUGUGUGUUUAUCUACAUACCUAGGUUUAUGGCGUUGAGAGCUCGGGGGGCGACCGAGGGUGAUGACGGCGACGCCAAAGGUGCGGAGAAGGCGAGGGGAUUUGGAGGGUUUUGUAAAGAGGGGAUUUGCUCAGAAUUUGGGUCGCUCGUCCCUCUUAUGAGAGUGAUUCAAAAAUCGAAAAAGUUGAAAUUUAUUGAUUGUGAUCUGACUCAAACAUGUGAUGAUGACGAUGCAUCACAACCUUGGUUGUGCCUCUGGAUCAAAAUCCUGUUCCAUCAAAUUCGUGCUCAUUUUCCUUCAUAGGUUUGUCCCAUACUAGAUUAACCCCUGUUCCCUUAAUUGUCACAUUACCAUAUUUACUGUAUGGCUCUGGCAUUUCAAAAGUUAUAUCAACUUUAUCCCCGCUUUGCAAAUUGAGCUUAUCAUUCGAUAUUUGUCCCUGCCAAAGAUAACAUUUUCCAGAUACAUUGCACAUUUUUAUAACCCAAUCUUCUUUGCCUAUGUAGGUCUGCAACUCAGUACGCUUGGUAUUAUUUAUAUCAAUAUUGGCACGAGGAUGACAUUCUCCACAACUGGCAUAAGGGCUUCUUGACUCAUUAGUAUUUGAGCAGUAAAAGCAUAAUAGAGUCAGUCCUUCCAAAUUACGACCAUCACUCGGGAGGAUAUCAAAACUGACUUUAUUACCAUCGUUGACAAACUCGAACCAAUCAGGAACAUAAUUCCCAUUGAGAAAAAUGCCAUCACUUGGGAGGAUAUCAAAACUGACUUUAUUACCAUCGUUGACAAACUCAAACCAAUCAGGAACAUCAGGAACAUAAUUCCCAUUGAGAAAAAUGCCAUCACUCGGGAGGAUAUCAAAACUGACUUUAUUACCAUCGUUGACAAACUUGAACCAAUCAGGAACAUAUUUCCCUUUGAAAAAAAUAUCCGCAAGAAGUCCAUCCCUACAUAUACAGUGCAAGUGUCAUAUUUAUAUAUAUACACACACACAAUGUACAUGUGCGUUGUGUGUGUGCAUGUGCGCAAUAGGAAGACAAUUAAAGAGAGAUACCUUUAGGACGUUACUCAUAAAACCAGCGGUGAGUUUGGGGCAGUACCUCAUAUUAAAAUGUCGUGGAGUUUAAUGACUUAUCCAAGUCUGGAACCUCAGUGAGUGCGCGUGAAUCACAUACAUGUAGCUCUCUCAUAUUCGACAUUUUCGAAAAAUUGGGCAUUGUUACCAAACGGGAGCAAUCAGACGCAUACAGAAAUUUCAAAUUUGUUGGUAAACCAUAGAUUGUAUGAAGGUUACGGCAGUAAUUUAACUGCAAACGUUCAAGCUUUGAAAAACCAAUGAGGCUGGGUAAGGUAUGAAAAUCAUUACAUGUGAGACACAAAUCUUGCAAAGAAAUUAGACUCCCAAAAUCUUUUGGGAAUGCAUCAUCGCUUAAGCGCUGGAAUGAGAGAUCUAAAUUUCUUAAAGAGUCUAAGCCGUGUAACGAAUUGGGAAAUUGUGUGACAUGCCCCCUUAAAAUGAAAUCAGUGGUAAACCAUGAUUUCCGUAGAAAUAAAUGAGUGAGAUUCUUCAAUCUUACUGUGGAACGCGGUACUUGUCUUAUGGCUGUUUCAGACGCUUUAAGUACUCUCAAUGAUAUCAUCUUCCCUAAAUCCUCGGGCAGUUCAUUGAAUCGCCUACAAAAAUCAAGAACAAGAGUCUGAACGGAUUUGGACUUGUAGAAAUCCCCAGGAAGAGAAAUAAGAUUAUGGCAGCAUGUGAGGUUCACCAAAGAAAGUUUUUUAAGCUGACCAAUGGAGGGGUGAAUCUCGAACAAACUCUCACACCUUCCCAAUAUCAACUCUUCAAGACUUGGGAGAUUUGAUAAGUCUGGUGAUUUUUUUAAGUCACAGCAAUUACUGAGAUUAAGGAUUUUCAAGUUUUCAAGCGACUGUUGCACAAAAUCCAAAAGGUCAUACCCAGUGCACAAGGCUCCCGCUUUACGCAGGGUCUGGGAGAGGUGAAUGUCGGCUAGCCUUACCCCCAUUUAUGGAGAGGCUGCUCCCAAGUCUCGAACCCGAGACCUACCGCUUAUGGGCGAAGGCAUUUGUCAUCGCACCAAGUGCGACCUCUUUGGGGAAAUCCAAGAAAAAUUAAAAUUAAUAUCCAAAAGGAAUAUCUCAUAAAAUAAAUAAAUAAAUAAAUAAAUAAAGAGAGAAGGAAAUCCAAAAACAAAUAGAAACUUAACAUCAUCAUGUGUAAUCGAUUGUACCUUGGAGCCCUCCCAAACUUGUACCAGUUUGCUAUGCUUUAUCUCUAAAAUAACUAGUGUUCUUGGUUGAUCAAAGAAGUCAUCUGGUAUGGACUCUAAAAGGUAUCCUUCCCAACGCAACCAUACUAACUCUUUGGGGAGAUGUUUGUAUUCUCCAUUGAGCUGCACGUUCUGGAGCAUGAGCAGUCUCAGUUUCUUCAUAUUAGCAAAUGCUUCUGUACUGAUACAACUAGACUUUAAAGGGAAUUCUCCACGGAGCUGCACGCGGUGGAUCAGUCCCAGUUCCCUCGAAUUGGUAGGGAAACUUACAACAAGUCCUUCAACUUCUUUAGUUCCCUGUUAACAACACAUUAUACUGGGUAAGAAAAGGAUUAUGUGCAUCUAUUUUACGUGAUUUUGCUAAUUGAGCUUCUUAAUGCAAAUACAUAUAUUUACACAUGAAUUUUUUAAUGUAUAAUAGGCAUACGUGGGUUACAUAUAUGCUUUUCUUGUACGAUGCAUUAAUACAAAUUUUUUUUGGGAAUCUACUUACAGAUUUAUUUGUUAGUACAUCAUAGACAUCUCCAGGGAUCCACAACCUGCUCCAUUCUCCAGGGGGACGAGUGGAUUUUUCAGAAAUGAUUAAUUUGGCCAUUUCUCGAAGCAAAUCAUGCAUAUUCAACUUCUUGUCUUCAACAGUUAUAAGGCAUCGUUCACGGAGGUUACUGAUUCCUAUUGUUGCAAAAAACUUACAUUCAUCUAAUAUUUUUGCGACAUCGUCCUUAUCCCAUCCAAUAAAGAAACAAGAUAUGUCAAGGAAUAUAUCCUUCUGCGUAGGAUCUAGCCUUUCAAAGCUUACUUUUAGCGGUUUCAUUAUUCCUUCAUCAUGAAAUUUUUUCAAUUUCUUCAAUUGACUUUUCCACUCUGCUGGGGUUCUUUCAGUCAUAGAAGAACCUAAAACUUCAAGGGCUAGUGGCAAACCACCACAGUAAGAAACCACCUCUUUUGAGAGUUCAAGAUAUCCUUCAUUAGGCCAACUAUUUCCAAAGGCAUGCCAACUAAAGAGCAUCAGGGCUUCUUCUUCAUUCAUUUCUUGAAGCGGAUAUGUCUUGUCCACUUUCAUGUUCACUUGCUUUAGUAAACGUUCAUCUCGUGUCGUUAUGAUAAUUCUACUUCCUGGGCCAAACCAAUCACGAUUUCCAGCCAUUGCAUUUAGUUGUUCCACUUUGUCUACAUUGUCAACAAUGACAAAUACGCUUCUACGUCGGAGAUGAUUUUUUAUCAGACUGAUACCUCCAUCAACACUGGUUAUCUUAUUAGACUCGGUCUGUUUCAAGAUGUCAGAAACAAGUUUUCUUUGCAAAUCAACCAGAUCAUAUUCGCUAACGUUGGCAAGGAAACUUUUGAACUGGAACUUAUGAUGAAUUUGGUUAUAAAUGGCUUUGGCAGCUGUUGUUUUACCCAAUCCACCCAUCCCCCAAAUUCCAACCAUGCGUACAUCUGAUCCACCAUUUGAAAGAUAAGUGAUGAUAUCUUGAAUGCGGGUAUAUAUUCCAACUGGGUGCUUGGCCACAUGUAAUUUUUCUGCGCUCGGAAGCCAUUCCGGGAUAAUCUUGUCAACAAUUUCUCUAAUAAGCUUUGCUUCGCGCCUGAAAAUUGAAUUCGUAAGCGUUAGUGGGACUCAAUGAACAGUAGGAGCUAUCAGUACAUAGACAAUUGUCUUUACUUCAUAAAAGAAAGAAAUUCAUUCACUAAAAUGUUUCAAAACUUGAAAAGCAGGUGAAUGAUUACCCAUUGUUAGUGAUUUGAAGAUGUUGGCCAAACAAAUUUGCAGCUUCUGUAAGAGCCUUUCUCCAUUGCUUUACCCUUUCUUGUUUAGCUUCACGUUCCUUGUCAUCUUUUUCUUCAUGGAUGCCCUCUUCGUGCUUCUGAAAUGCUUGAGCUAAAUCUCCGUUCUGCUUCCUAAUGUGAAGGAUCAACAUGAUAGAAUAUUGGCAAAACACGUCGCCCCAGUUUGUAUCUGCACUCCAUGAUCUUCACCAGCUCGUCAAGACACCAACUCGAGUCCGCAUAACUCUUUGAGAAGACAAUGAUAGAGAUCCUCGCCUCUUUGAUUGCCCGGACCAGUUCCUCUUUUAUUUCUUCCCCUCUUUCUAGAUCGUCCUCAUCGAUAUAAGCCUGGUAUCCCCUGUCAGUUAAUGCCGCAUGGAGGUGGCCCGUGAAACCAUUGCGUGUGUCUACACCGCUGAAUCUCAAGAACAUGUCGUAAUUCCAAAGUUUUGACUUGGAGGACGAUGAAGAGGAGGCUUCGUGGGUCGUCAUGGCGGUAUCCACCGUUAUGGCACUGCAGUGGUUCAGAUCACGACUGAAAAAUGGCAGUAGUUGUGCUCAUGCUGUCGAACGAAUGAUCCUGAAAUACCUAAAACCCAAGUCAAGCUCCUUCAGUCAACAAGAAUAAAGUUUUAAUAUAAUAAUGUUGGUGUAUGGACUUGAGAAACGACAUAAUGUUGGCCGGAAAGUGCAGAGAAAGAGAGAGGAAAAGAGGAACAAAAGGAGAAAGACUAUCCAAAUGAUUCUUGGCUGUGAUUACAGCUAUUCAUAGGAGAAACAACGUACAUAUUUUCAUAGGAGAAACAACUUGCCCAUCUUCAUAUAUAAUACAUUUCAACAGACAUAUUUUAAUAGGAGAAACUAGGGGUGGGCAAACGGGUCCAGGAACCGCAGGUCGGGGCGGGUAAUGGCGGUUCAGGGCGGGUACAGGCCGGGUCUUAUUUUUUUAAAGAAGAAACGGGGUGGGGGCGGGGAGGUGGUAUUUAUGGGGCGGGUCGAGUUCAAAUUUGUACAAGCAUGGGGCCCCGGGCCGACCCGUUCCUAAAAUGGACUGAUUGGAACCUGGACAAUAUGUUGUGGGCUUACUACACAAGGCAAUGGCCCAUGUGGGCUUACUGCUCGAAUACUCUAGAAACUAUGAUCCGACUCCUAUCUCUCCUGGAUCGAUCCCCAAAUCCCACUACUCUCUCUCCUCGUCGGCAUCACCGAACACAGAACCACCGAUUCACCACCAUCGUCACCCAUCACCGCCGUGGCGACCAUCACCAUCGCAGACGCUAUUAACCGUUAGUUUCACCCUAGGUCUCCCCUAUGUCUAUCACUCAAGUCCUCGAUCGUUUCUCUCCCGCGUGCGUCAUUCCCUCCACGGUUCUUCCACUACACUCUGUCACUCUCCGUCACUCUCCGUCAGUCACCUCCUCCACCACCCCGACAUCAACCCCGUCGCGAGUCUGGGCCCUGGCGACCACCACGACGAGCCAGCAACCUCGAUUGUCUUCCUCGAGUCCUCGAUGGCAUCCCAGAUUUAGAGAACUUUAGGGUUCUCUUUCUCCCUCCCACCCCUCGAAUCGACUGCGUCGACAUCAAAUCAGCCACCACACGAGUCACGAGGCUUCAAAUUCGGCUGGUGACUGCCCAAUCUGGUGCGACUCAACCGAUUCCGAGCGCUCUUGACUCUGUCGACGAAGAAGAAGAAGAGAAGAAAAAAAAAAAUAACCCGUGGACCCGGGCCGGGUUAGGUCAGGUUUCUGUGUUAAAAUUAGUUGUACCCGCCCCUGCCCGACCUGUUUCUUUUAAACCUGGGUCCGGCCGGUCCCUUCAAAAUUGGGCCCGGCCCUGGGCCCGGCCCGGCCCAUGCCCAGCCCUAGGAGAAACAACUUUAGUUUUUACUAGAAAUUUUUACCCACACGUUGCUACAGGAUUUGAAAUUGUAUAAAAGAUUAUCUUUGAAAUAUAUAAUAGAUUGUGUGAUUGAAGAUUAAUACUAUUUACACUGAAAACGUUGGGAAAAGUUUUACAUACAAAAGAUUUUACAAUACAAUCCACAUACAAAAGAUGGUAAAUUUUUUUCUAUCUACAUGCAUUAUGUUAUGGAAUGAUAUAUAUAUAACUAAGUUCCAGAAUACGUAAAUUUCAUAAUUUCGAAUUUUUUUGACAAAUUAAUCAGAUUCAACUGUGGGAUAGAAAGGUCGCCUAUAAAGUUGUGAAGUCGUGGAAGCAUAAAGGACAAAUAACAAAUGAGUUUUGAGAAAUUAUUCCACAAAAGUCAUUUUGCAAAAUGCAAAUGUAUUAAAGACGAUUGGUACAAGAUUAGUAAUCAUAAGUAGUGUAACAACAUCAACAAAAUAACUAUAAACCAUAGUUGAACAUAAUUCAAAUUUCGUUUGCAAAAACAAAAGAAAAAGAAAGAAAACAUACUUACAAUAAUUCAGCCUUUAAUCCUAAAGUCCUACUCAAAGAUCCAAACUUGAAUGCAAGCUUUCUGAAAUCUUCCAAACAAUACAGAUAAAAAGGUAACACCCUAGUCAGAAAUGAACCAAGGUGCGAGCUUUCUUAGAAACUCAGAUGAAAAAAUCAACAAAAUAGAAUGAAAAAAUGACUUACACUUUUAAGGCAUGCUCGAAUCGUGAUCUAAAAUUGGUGGUGGGUCGAUUGUUGGUCACCAACUCUAAAUGAAGAAUUCAUCAGAACCUAGAAAUUUAACAAAGAAUUUUCCAAAAUCAACAUUUACUAAAAACCAGUUACUUGGUUAUCAUGCAUGAUGGCUUGCCAAAGACUAAAUUAAGGAAUGCACAACUUUACCUUUAUGAUAUUUUCAAUGACAGCUAAAAGGUCAGAUUCAAAUGAAAAUAAAAGUUAGGACUUCACAAAACCAAUUAAAAAUCUAAUUCCAAAGUUACAAACACCAACCAAAUGAUUCCAGAUAAAGUUUUAAACUCAAAGUCAGACCCAAAUGAAAUUAAAAGUUAGGACUUCACAAAACCAAUUGAAAAUCUGAUUCCAAAGUUCCAAACACCCACCAAAUGAUUCUGGAUAAAGUUUAAACUCAAAAACCCAACAGAAACAAAAACCCAAAGUUCCAAACACCCACCAAUUGGUGUGACUUAAUUGUAUCUAAUUGAAGAAACUAAAACAAAAAUAAAGCAAAGUAUAUACCUCAAAAUAUCAACCAACUAAGUUCUUCCUCCGACAACCCAAAACUCUGAAAAUUCCACACAAAAAGGGUAAAUCCGUAAGCAAUUCAUAGCUUUCAAAAUUAACAAAAACUUGGGCAACAAUAAAGACACGUUGAGAACCAUCACUCUUUCUCCUUGUGUAUUUGAAAAUAUAUUUUAUAAGCAGUUUAUGUAGUCAUUCUGAUCAUGUUGCAGUUAAAUUCCUUUUCCACAGAGUUCAAAAUUAUAUGGCAGUUUAUGGCAUCUGUUGAACAACAUGGUUGAAAGAUUUAAAAUUGAUACAUUCAAUUUUUAUGUGUAAAACUAUAACAUAUACCUAAAGCUAUUUGGUCUAUAUAUCCAUAUCAAUCAUGUUGUAAUUAAAUGUUUAUCGAUGUAAAUAGAUGAUUUCAGUCAUGUGAUAACAUGUUUCUUGUUAGUAUACGCUGAAGUUUGGUCUAAGUUGGAUAAAAAUCGACCAAAAUCUUAGUAAGAGACUCUUUUAACUUUUAACCAAAAAAUGAGCACCACAAUACUACACUCAUAAGUUUUAUCAUGCACAAAAUAUACAACACUGAUAGCCACUUUUAGAGCAAGAACAAUACUUUACCAGACGAAAACAACAAAACACUCAAAACCCAGAAACAGAAACACACUUAGGACUCAAACUCCUCAAAAACAUAAGAAAGAGAGUGCAUGAGGAGAGAGAAUAAAAAAAAAUAUUAUUUUUCACAAACUCAAAAUUGCUUAUAAAAUUACAAAUCAAAACAAAUGAAUGCAAAUCCAAAAUUGCCCUAAAUUAAAUCUGUUUAGUUAAAUGUUUGUUGCCCUUCAAAUGUCAUUACACCUGACAAUUGCUUUGAAGUUGAUAUUUUGGUCAAUCCAGGGGAAAAGGAGUUAUUUCUUUUGGAGCAGUUGUCAUGGAGAAUCCCAUCUCCAUGUUGAAUGAUCUAAAAAAUUACUUACAUCUUCUGGUGGCCACAAUAAUUUAGGAGGCCCUUCUCUCCAGAUUUUCUCAAUAACUUUGCUUUUCGUAGCUGGUAAGAUUGCAACUCCAAGAAUUGCUCUGAAGAGAUAUAUACAAACAAAAUCAACCUAAAACUAAGCUAUUGGAACAAAUUUGGAAAACACAAACACCACUACAACUCAGAGUUAAAGUCAAUAGAAACCAAAUGGGAGAAGUUGAAAAAAUAUAUGGUCAUGAAUCGAGAACUUCAUCAAACUAACAGCAAUAAAAUCUCAUAUAAUCUGUCUAAAACCAAAAGAGAGAGAGAGGUAAUUUCAAGACCUUGUAACGCUAAGGCCUCGUACAGUUGUAGUAAUAAUAUAUGGUUGAUGCACCUGUUGCUCAAUCAAAUCCUUUGUCUGGCUAAAAAAAUAAAAAUCUAUAAAUACAUUCACGUCCAAUUUAUGAGAAAUCAUGGGAAAGCAAAUGCACUGAUAACGGAAUCAUGAAUAUGAAGAACUUGCCAAAAAGAAAAAGAAAACUUCUUAUAGUGUGCCAAGAACAUCCUCCUACUCCUAGCAAAUUUUUUAUGGCAUUAUCCACUUCUCAAUUCAUAAUUCAACCAGUAACUCAAAGUCUAUAGUGUAUGAAAAAGUGAUAUCUUAGUUGAUCACGAUGAUAAUUAAGCAGAUUAAAUGACGACCCAUAAAGCAUACAAAUUCAGAAAAGAAAAGGUUCAAAACUGCCAUAAGAAAACACAGAAUAUAUAAACGGGAAAUCAAAAGAAGAGAAGCGAAAAGGAAGAAAAAACCAAACAAAAUUAUUAGGUUUGUGAUAUACCUUUAUCCGAAACGCCACAAUCAUCAAAGUCAAACAUAAACAAUCCAAAAAUUUGUGGAAAAUAACAAUAAAUGCUUAACUAAAAACGAAAGAAAACGUAGAAUAAGUUUACAUGUUCUCCCCCUAAUUAAACUGGAAUACAAUUCACCACUAAUAUUCUCGUCAUCCUCUUCAGCCUGAAAAAUUUAGUAGAAAUAUUCAAUGAAGACGCUUAAUGGAGACAGUAAUAUUAGCAAUGGAGGAAUUGAAUUGAUAACUAAAACUGCAAGACCAAAUGACUACAAUAGGUUCACAACAGAAACUCGUCUGUUAGAUGUCUCAUCUUUAGGCAGUGCCUUGUUCUUUUUUUUUCUUUUUUGUCCUUUUGAAUUUCGGCAACAACAACUUUAAUAUCCUUACCUGCAUUUACCAUGAUUGGUCACUCUCAAAACCUUACCUAAGAGACCCAAAAACCAAAAUAACUGCCAAAAGAGCUGAACAUACAUAUCUAGAAAAACUUAUUCAACUACAUGCUAAAAUGGAAGUGUAAAAUUGCCAGGAAAGAUAAGAAACUAUUCAAAUACGAGUUCUGGGCGUUACUGCCACAAAAGGCACGAGCCGAGCGGCUAUCAACAAGAACACACUUCACAUUUGGGUCAGAUUCCCAUUCAUCCAGAUAGCUCUUGUAUUUCACAUCCAAAUCUGCAUUUUCCAACAAUUCCCACUUAAACAGAAACACAAAAUUCUUCCAAAAAGAGCUAACUUCUUCGAAAUUUGAAUCUAACGUUUCGUCUUAUAACAAAUGCAAUAACAUAGACUUGUAAUCAAUACGAUGCCAUAAAGUUCAAGCUCAAAAAUUCAAAUCAUCUCCAAAUCAAAAGCAAUUACAGAUAUACACAUGUAUACAUAUGCGUUUGUGUGUUUAUCUACAUACCUAGGUUUAUGGCGUUGAGAGCUCGGGGGGCGACCGAGGGUGAUGACGGCGACGCCAAAGGUGCGGAGAAGGCGAGGGGAUUUGCUCAGAAUUUGGGUCGCUCGUCCCUCUUAUGAGAGUGACUCAAAAAUCGAAAAAGUUGAAAUUUAUUGAUUGUGAUCUGACUCAAACAUGUGAUGAUGACGAUGCAUCACCACCUUGGUUGUGCCUCUGGAUCAAAAACCCACCAUCACCAUCAAAAUCGUGCUCAUUUUCCUUCAUAGGUUUGUCCCAUACUAGAUUAACCCCUGUUCCCUUAAUUGUCACAUUAUCUAAUGUAACGUAUGGCUCUGGCAUUUCAAAAGUUAUAUCAACUGUAUCCCCGCUUUGCAAAUUGAGCUUAUCGUUCGAUAUUUGUCCCUGCCAAAGAAAACAUUCUUUAUAUACAACAUCGCGCAUGAGGUUUUUUCUUUUUUUGGCGUAACAAUCGCGCAUUUUUAUAACCCAAUCUUCCUUGCUUAUGCAGGUCCGCAACUCAGUACGCUUGGUAUUAUUUAUAUCAAUCCUGGCAAGAGGAUGACUAUCUUUACAUCUGAUAUAAGGGCCGAACUGAGAAGGACUUGAGCAAUAAAAGCAUAACAGAGUCAGCCCUUCAAAAUUACAACCAUCACUCGGGGGGAUAUCAAAAGUGAUUUUAUUACCAUCGUUGACAAACUCGAACCAAUCAGGAACAUAAUUCCCAUUGAGAAAAAUGCCACCAUAUCCGCAAGAAGUCCAUCCCUAUAUACACAGUGCAAGUGUCAUAUAUAUAUACAUGUACAUGUGCGUUGUGUGUGUGCAUGUGCCCAAUAGGAAGACAAUUAAAGAGAGAGAUACCUUUAGGACUUUCCUCAUAAAAUCAGCGGUGAGUUCGGCGCAAUACGUCAUAUCAAUCCAUGUCAUGGAGUUUAAUGACUUAUCCAAGUCUGGAACCUCAGUGAGUGCAUGUGAAUCACGUACAUUUAGCUCUCUUAUAUUCGACAUUUUCGAAAAAUUUGGCAUUGUUAUCAAACGAUAGCAACGAGACGCAUCCAGAAAUUUCAAAUUUGUUGGUAAACCAUAGAUUGUAUGAAGGUUAUGGCAGUAACCUAACCACAAAUUUUCAAGCUUUGAAAGACCACUGAGGCUGGGUAGGGUAUGAAAAUCAUUAGAUGAGAGAUCUAAAUUUCUUAAAAAGUCUAAGCUGAGUAACGAAUCGGGAAAUUGCAAAUGAGUGAGAUUCGUCAAUCCUAGAGAUAAAUGAGUGAGAUUCUUCAAUCUUACUGUGGAACGCGGUACUUGUCUUAUGGCUGUCUCAUAUGCUUUAAGUACUCUCAAUGAUAUCAUAUUCCCUAAAUCCUCGGACAGUUCACUGAAUUGCCCACAAAAAAUCAAGAACAAGAGUCUGAACGGAUUUGGACCUGUAGAAAUCCCCAGGAAGAGAAAUAAGAUUCUUGCAGCCUGUGAGGUUCACCAAAGAAAGUUUUUUAAGAUGACCAAUGGAGGGGUGAAUCUCGGACAAACUCUCACACCAUUCCAAUAUCAACUCUUCAAGACUUGGGAGAUUUGAUAAGUCUGGUGAUUUUUCUAAGUCAGAGCAACCACUGAAAUCAAGGAUUUUCAAGUUUUUAAGCGACUGUUGCACAAAAUCCAAGAAAAAUUAAAAUUAAUAUCCAAAAGGAAUAUCUCAUAAAAUAAAUAAAUAAAGAGAGAAGGAAAUCCAAAAACAAAUAGAAACUUAACAUCAUCAUGUGUAAUCGAUUGUACCUUCGAGCCCUCCCAAACUUGUACCAGUUUGCUAUACUUUAUCUCUAAAAUAACUAGUCUUGGUUGAUCAAAGAAGUCAUCUGGUAUGGACUUUAAAGGGCAUUCAUUCCAACACAACCAUAUUAACUCUUUGGGGAGAUGUUUGUAUUCUCCAUUGAGUUGCACGUUGUAGAGCUGGAGCAGUCUCAGUUUCUUCAUAUUGGCAAAUGCUUCUGUACUGAUACUUGGAGACAGAAGAUCAGGGAAACCUACAACAAGUCCUUCAACUUCUUUAGUUCCCUGUUAACAACACAUUAUACUGGGUAAGAAAAGGAUUAUGUGCAUCUAUUUUACGUGAUUUUGCUAAUUGAGCUUCUUAAUGCGAAUACAUAUAUUUACACAUAAAGGUCGUACCCAGUGCACAAGGCUCCCGCUUUACGCAGGGUCUGGGAGAGGUGAAUGUCGGCUAGCCUUACCCCCAUUUAUGGAGAGGCUGCUCCCAAGUCUCGAACCCGAGACCUACCGCUCAUGGGCGAAGGCACUUGCCAUCGCACCAAGUGCGACCUCUGAAUACAUAUAUUUACACAUAAAUGUUUUUAAUGUAUGACAGCUAUACGUGGGUUACAUAUUUGCUUUUCUUGUACGAUGCAUUAAUACAAAAUUUUAUAGGGAAUGUACUUACAGAUUUAUCUCUCAAUACAUCAGUGACCUCCUGCUGGUUCCACAACCUACUCCAUUCUCCAGGGUGACGAGGGGAUUUUUCAGAAAUGAUUAAUUUGGCCAUUUCUCGAAGCAAAUCAUGUAUAUUCAACUUGUUGUCUUCAACAGUUAUAAGGCAUCAUUCACGAAGGACACUCAUUCCUAUUGUCGCAAAAAAGUCACAUCCAUCUAAUAUUUUUGUGACAUAGUCAUUAUCCCAUCCAAUGAAGAAACAAGAUAUGUCAAGGAAUAUAGCCUUCUGUUUAUCAUCUAGCCCUUCAAAGCUUAUUCUUAGUCGUUGUAUUAUUUCUCCUUCAGGAGUUGUUUUCAAUUUUACCAAUUGAUUUUCCCACUCUGCUAUGGUUCUUCCAAUUAAAAAAGUGCCUAAAACUUCAAGUGCUAGUGGCAAACCUCCACAGUAAGAAACGAUCUUCCUUGAGAGUUCAAGAUAUCCUUCAUUAGGCCAACAAUUUCUAAAGGCAUGCCAACUAAAGAGCUCCAGAGCUUCUUCUUCAUUCAUUUUAUGAAGCGGAUAUAUCUUGUCCACUCCAACUUGGCGUAGUAAAUGUUCAUCUCGUGUCGUUAUGAUAAUUCUACUUCCUAAGCCAAACCAAUCACAAUUUCCAGCUAUUGCAUUUAGUUGUUUCAUUUUGUCUACAUUGUCAAUAAUGACAAGUACGCUUCUACGUUGGAGAUGAUAUUUUAUCAGGCCGAUACCUUCAUCAACACUGGUUAUCUCAGGCUUGGUCUGUUUCAAGAUGUCAGAAACAAGUUUUUUUUGCGAAACAACCAGAUCUUUUUCACUAACGUUGUCAAGGAAACUUUUGAAUUGGAACUCAUGAUGAAUUUUGUUAUAAAUGGCUUUGGCAGCUGUUGUUUUACCCAAUCCACCCAUCCCCCCAAAUUCCAACCAUGCGAACAUCAUCUGAUCCACCACUUGAAAGAUAACUGAUAAUAUCUUGAACGCGAGAAUUGAUUCCAACCAGGUGAUUGGCCACAUGUAAUUUGUUUGCUCUCCGAAGCCAUUCCGGAAUAAUCUUGUCAACAAUUUCUCUAAUACGCUGUGCUUCGCAACUGAAAAUUGAAUUGGCAAGCUUAGUAAGCUCAGUAGGAGCUAUUAGUACACAAACAAUUUUCUUUCCUUCGUGUGUGUGUGUGUGUGUGUGUGUGUGUGUGUGUGUAUACACACUAACUAGCUACUAGCUAGUAUGUGAGUUUGUGAUCAACUUCAAUAAAAGAAACAAAUUCAUUCACUGAUAUAUUAAAGUUUGGUGUAUCAAUUAAACUCAUUAUGGUUUAGAUUUUAGAAGAAAUUGGAGAAAUGGUCCAUGAACUAUGAUCGAAUUGUAGCUUUGGUUCUUAAACUAAAAAUUCAUUAAAUCUCGUCCCUGAACUUAACAAAAUAUGGAACAUUGGUCCCUCCAUGUUAACACCGUAAGAUUUUCUGUUAAUUUGAUAACGUCGUCUUUGUGGGCUCCAUAUUUUUGUUUAUUAGAUGCCACGUUGCUUGAAAAUUCAAAUAAAAGAAAAUAAAUACAAGCAUUGAGAAACAAAGAGAAAAAAAAAUACUUUAAAUUAUAAAAGUUAACUCUCUCCCAUCCUCCCUUCCGCCUCACCUUCUCCAAACCCCAGCCACACCAUUGUAGCACUUUCCCAACAGCCAAAACAAAAGAAAAGUUCCUCAUCCAAAUUUGGAACACACCUCACCUUGCAAACGACUUCACAAUGACAUUCAUCUACGCUGUCUCGAAAGGUAAGAUUCAAGAAAUUUGUGGGAUGCGGGUUCGGGGUUCGGGUGAAGGCUGUGGUCCGUGGGCUAAAGGUUGGGGUCGGCUGGGGAGUGGGGAUUAGGGAUUGGGGGUUGGAAGUGGGAGGUUGACGGGGUGGGAAUCAACGAUUGAAGGUGAAGGGGUGGGCUGCGAGCCUGCGAGUGUUGGUGGGAUGAGGUAGGCCUGCAAUUAUAUAUAUAUAUGUAUGUAUGUAUGUAUGUAUGUAUGUAUGUAUAUAUAUAUGUAUGUAUGUAUAUAUGUAUAUAUAUGUAUGUAUAUAUAAUAUAGGUGAAACUAACAUGUAAAGUUGUAAACACUUUUAACUAAAACUGAAAGGAAUUGGUUACGAAGGACUAACGCUCCAUAUUUUAUCAAGUUCAAGGACAAAAUAUAAUGAAAUUUUAGUUUAGGAACCAAAGCUACAAUUUUCCUCUAGAUUUGAUAUGAGAUUUAAGGCGUAUUAAUUAAGCAUGUUAAUUAGAGUAAUGCAACUUAGAUAUUGAAAAGCACGUGAAUGAUUACCUAUUAUCAGUGAUUUGAAGAUGGUAGCCAGACAAAUUUGCAGCUUCUCUAAGAGCAUUUCUCCACUGCUUUACCCUUUCUUGUUUUUCUUCACGUUUCUUGUCAUCUUUUUCUUUACGAAUGUUCUUUUUGUGUUUCUUAAAUGCUUGGGCUAAAACUCCAUUCUGGUUCCUGACAUGUGAAGGAUCAACGUGAUAGAAUAUUGGCAAAACAUGGCGCUCCAGUUUGUCUCUGCACUCGAUGAUCUUCAUCAGCUCAUUAAGACACCAACUCGAACUCGCAUACCUCUUUGAGAAGACAAUGAUAGAGAUCUUCGAUUCUUCGAUUGCCUGGAACAGUUCUUUUUGUAUUUCUUCCCCUCUUUUUAGAUCGUCCUCAUCAAUAUAAGCCUGGUAUCCCCUGUCCGUUAAUGCCCUGUGGAGGUGGCCCGUGAAACCAUUGCGUGUGUCUACACCGCUGAAGCUCAAGAACACGUCGUAAUUCCAAAGUUUUGACUUGGAGGACGAUGAAGAGGAGGCUUCGUGGGUCGUCAUGGCGGUAUCCACCAUUAUGGCGCUGCAGUGGUUCAGAU